Molecule: long non-coding RNA, 99161 nt
Filed under: Coffea arabica (coffee)
Lineage: Eukaryota; Viridiplantae; Streptophyta; Magnoliopsida; Gentianales; Rubiaceae
Description: long non-coding RNA (CARA_LNC000681)
Source: RNAcentral
UACUUUUUUUUUUUUUUUUUUUGUCGACACAGGGGUGUUCAGGUCAAUCCUUACGGGGCCCGACUAAUCCCUGCGGCCCGGGCCUUGGCGCCCAACCCGACCCAAGCACGGUAAGUGCGCGGAGGAAUCCAGCAGCGCAGGAACUCGAACCUGGGACCUAGAGGUUUACCAGGAGGAGGUGCUGCCGCUGAACCAUUCACGUGGGGGCGACUGCAGUUGUAGUGAACGAACUUAUUUCAAGGUAUAUCACUGUUUGGUAGUUGAAUAUAAAAAGUGGUAUCCAAAUGCUUAAGAAUAUUAUAUCUAACAAUAUAAAAGGAAGAGUUGGCUGAAUGAACAGUAAAAGAGUGUUUCCGUUGGGUAUUUCGGUAUUGGUUGAUGUUUUUGGGCUAUUUCGAUCCAUUUGCAUGUCCCUUGGCAGUUCCUCAUGUGAUUAGCUUUAGCCUUUGUACUUCUUCAUUUUUAGCAAUGUCAUUUGCUAUUUUUCCCUUACUCAGGACGCCAGAAGAUGCAUGUUAUAGUUGUGUGGUUCCUGUGUAAUUUAUUUGUUUUUUGUUCCUCUUUUGUUUGGUCAUUGUUGCCCUUGUGAUCCGCAAAGAUGGGUCACCGGUGGCAAUGGGGCAGGGGUGGAUCCCCCGUCCCCCGCCCCAUUGCCAAUUAAUUACCCCCAUCUCCGCCUCGCCCGCCGCCCCGCCCCGUUUCUUCUGGGGGCACCCGUGAGGUUAAAAAAUUUAUUAUAAUUAAAUUUGAGCAAAUAAUCAAGUACUAAAAUAUCAACAUAUCACUAAAUUAUUAUUCAUUGUAACUUCACAAUUGAAACUCAUAAAAAUAAUUAAACAAAAGUUAUUUGAAUACAAUCUAAUAUGAUAAAAAAUAUAUAACUAAAAUAAUCAAGUUUUCACUUUUGAUACAAAUACAAUCACUAAAUUAUUAUUAUUAUUUUUUAAAAAAAGUGUUAUUGUAUUAAGUGUAGUUAGGAAUUUAAUAUCAAUGUAUUAAUAAAUUUAGUAUAAAUAAUUAAUAAUUUUAUUAAUAAACAUGUAUAAUUAGUAGUAUAAUUGAUAAUAUUAUAUAUAUAUUAUGUACAUAUAUAUAUUUUUUUUUUGUUUCAAAUGUGGGGGGCAGGGGAAUAUAUCCCCGUUCCCCUGCCCCGUUUCUAAAUGGGGGGGAGGGGGGGAAAUUCCCCCCCCCCGCCCCAAUAGUCCCCCGCGGGGCGGGUGCCCGCCCGGCCCAUUGCCACCCCUAACCUUAGCUAUUCAUGAGUAUUAGUUUAGCCUUGGGUGUUGUCUUAUUUUCCAGUUAUGCCAUUCAUUUUUCCCUUCAUUCAACAUGUAUGUUAUGUUUGCUUGGUCGCUUUGUAAUUUUGUUAUUUUUUUAAUAAUUUUGUUGACUUGUUGUUUUUUUUGUGGACCACACAGAUGGGUCAUUUUUGAUUCUAUGCUUCUUUCAAAGCAGCAUCUUCUUCAUUGGAAAAUUCUCAUUUUGAGUUUGCCUUUUUUUGUUUUCCAUUCAUACUGUUGCAAUGCUGAUUGUCCUUUCAAACAACUCCAGUUUUGUUUGGAUUUUGAUAUAAAGAAAAAAAAUCACACAAGUUUACUUAAUCAUCUAUUUAUUCUGCGGACUACCUAACCCAAUGAUGCCAAACAAAAACAGCAUAAUCAUCUUUUAUUGCCAACACACAUGCUGGGACAUUAAAGUUGAAGAUAAUUUUCGAAGCUUUGGUUGGAAAAAAAUGCUACAAUACCAUGUUAUUAGUCCAGGCCUAUAUUCUCAUAAUUUCUCAUUUAGGAAUGAACGAAUAUCGGAUGCACAUUUUUUUAUGACGAACUUGUAGAAGUUCUUGCAAUAUAAAAUAAUAACCAUAAAAAUUACACUUUCACUGUUCAAUACUAUAUUAUUCUGCUACUUCAGGCACAUAUAUGCUAUAUUUUAUUAACAUUAAACUACAUUUUAUACAUAAACCUACCAACAAUUCUCUCCAAUUAUCCUAAUUUAAUAAAAAAUAACUAGCUCACAAUUAUUUUAACAUAUUAUAAAAUUAUUUCCUACAUCAAUACUUACCAAACAAACUUUACAAAAUAUUUUCGACAGACAUACUAUUAACACGGGUCACAUAUGCUCACCCUGUGCGUAGCGCAGGCUCCAGACUAGUAGAAAUUAUAUUAUAAAUUAUUGCUUCAAGUCUAUUUGCUUUAAAACAUUAAUCAUUUACUCAUACAUUAAGAGAUCAUAAUUCUUUCUGGCUGCGUUUUGAUUUUAAAAGCAUGGCUUUGACCUUUCUGUUCUUAAUUGUUGCUUGGUUCCUUUAAAUAUUCUCUUUACAUCAUUUGUUCUCGGAUCAGCAUCUAGAAACUUGGAUAGUGAAAGUUAUAUUGUACCAAUGAAGUACAAAGUCCUCAAUCAGGCAGUCUUCAAGAUAUCAGUGUUGAGUCGUUCACGUAUUGAUCAGUGUUGAUUGUUCAAGUAAUAUUUAACAAUUCAUCCUUUCUUUCUUCUUGUAAUCUUCACUUUAAAGGUUUGCGGAGUUGAAGACGAUGACGUACUAAUUAAUCAAGUGCAAAGUCCAAAGACGUGUCUCUCUUGACUGACUGACUUGGUUUACAUUUUCUUCGUUUAUUACAUUAAUGACACGACCUAUGCUUAUUGAAGAAAGAGGAAGGUAAGUGCAAGAAGAGACAUAAUUUCAUUUUCUAUGUGAAGGAUAACAUAUUUCACUUUAACAAAUAUUUUGGAAAAAUUCAAAGGAUUUGACUAACGGUUACAUACUCUCGUUAUAAGUGUUUAUAUUUUUACAAGACUAUAAUUAAUUCGGGAAAGCCUCGAAAUGCUAGGAUUGUAGUAACGGUAAAUAUAUGUAUUCAUAUAAUAAGUUCUGUGUAAUUUAAAUAUACUAAUGAGUUACUACUAGGCACCCAUUAGAAAAUCAAAGUUCAAAUAAUAGAAAAUAAUUUGUUUUUUCAUUAUCGAAUCAAAUAAGGAUUUAGGCUAACAUUUAGGACAAAUAGUGGAUAACAUUUAGGACAAACCACAAUAACAAAAAAGAAAUUUUAUCUAUGAUAGAUACAAUAUUUUAUAUUCAUUCUCAAGUUAAAUAGAGAUUUAGCAUGAAGAAAUUACUGAAGUAAAGUAUUGAUUUUAAAAGGUAGGAUAUGGGGUGUAUCUGAUUGGUGAAAAAAUCAAGCUUUACUUUUGCUUAUGGUGUUAGUUACUAACUACUAGGAUUAGAUUCCGGAGGUUGAAUUUGAUAAAGUUUUUGUGCUUACGCCCUGUUUGAUAACCCAAUUCAACAUUUAAAUUUAAUAGAUUCAGAUUUUAGCAUGUUCAGAUGCACUUAAUAACUAAAAAUUGAACAUUUGAAUUAAUUAAUAUUAAACAAAACUUGCUUCCAAAAAUAAAUGAUAAACUAUUUACUUAUCACUUAUUAUGAUAUAUAUUCAAAUGUAUCAAAUUUAGUACUUAAUAAUUCAAUAACUUAAUGGAUUCAAACUUUAGUUCUCAAUUUUUAGUUUUCAGCCUUCAGUUUUAUCAAACACACUCUUAGAAUCUGAUCAAUUAGAAGUGCCACGCUUUUCUAAGAUAAUUGCCCAUUAAAACUGCUAAUUUACUGAUUUCCCUAGUUAGGCACAUAAUGAAAUUGAAAAUGGCAGAAGAAAAAUUUUGAAGUACCAUAGUGCAACUACUAGCAUGACUAUCAAUAAUCUCCAUGUAAUUAGUUGAAACAUAGGAAAAAAUACAGAGAAGAUAGCACUUAUGAACAAUUUUAAUAACCAGGAAAAAAAAUUCAUUUUUCCUUUUUGUCAAUUUAAUAAUGGUUUGACCCGGUUGAAGAUUUUCGCUUAUUUGCUAAAUUAAUCGCUCUGAACUAACAACCAGAGAGUAAAUUGACUCUUUCAGGUACCAAUGGUUGCUUGAUUUAGAAAUCAAUACUAAAUAUAAUUCUCUUUCUUGCUUCUUUUGGCUUUUGAUAUCUAAAAAAUGAAAACCUAGAUAGCUGAAAUUGAUAUUGUCUGCUAAAACCGAAGUGAUUGGUUGUAUUUAUUAGCACUAGGAAUGGCAUUUCUUCUCAAAAUUGAUGCCUUUUUGUUUAACAUUUGUUACCUACAUUAUUCAUUGGAUGUCAUUUGCGGACAUGAUUUCGAAAAGUCCAAUUUAAACUGCAUUAUUGACUCAAUCGAAUAUUAGAAUAGGCAAGGAGCCCCACGCCUAAAACACAGUGGGAAGACUCUAGCUUUUUAGUCUCCCAUCUCAACUUCGAAGACUUAGCCCCGUUUGGAUUGCAAUUUUCUGUCGAAAAAUUACGUCGUUUUCUGUGAUUACAUUUUCCUAUUACCUUUUUUCCUCGUAUAUAUCAAAUCGUUACAGUAAAUUUUUCAUAAAAAAUCAUGAAAAAUGCAAUCCAAACGGGCAGUCUCCCAUCUCAAACUUUUCCAUCAAUUAGACCAAGAUAUCAUUAGUCUUCUCAACGUCCUUUCCUAUCAAUUCUUAGUCUUCCUUGUGAACAACUACCAAUUCCUUGUGUUUUAGUCAAUUUAGCUUAAUAAAGAAUUAAAAACUCCGCAUUAACUAUAAAUCUGUCUAACGAGUGCAUAAGAACACAAUAUGAGUGGACCUGCAAAUGUUUAUUGGGGCGAAUAAGGGCACAAAGAGCAUUAUCUGAUAUACCAAGUGCUGUAGAAAUAAAAGCGUGGUAGAAAAUUUUGAACUUGAGGAUCUGAAGCAAUAGACUCAUGGGUGUGGGUGUUGAAGUAAGCAUAACUAGAAGGGAUGGAAUCAUUUUAUACAAUCCCAAACCAGUUCCCCUCGCGGUGAAAGAAUAGAUAAUGACUUUUUAUGCCAAAACGAAUGGUGAUCUCGAUUCAUUAAAACUUUCUUGUUGAGCUACCUACUUAAGGAUUUGAAGACACCAAAAAAUAAAAGGGUGAAAAAGAUAAAAAGCACAAAGAUCAGGGGUCUCGUUGCCCUCGGCGUCAAUUAAAAAGACCAACCACUACCAAACAAUCAUGUACUAGACUGCUAGUAGUCUUAACAAAUCCAUUCCCAAUUCAUCAGUUUCUACUCAGAGAAAUUUCCCAGGCACCUCAUCGUCAAUUGUUGCCCUCCCAACUGAAGCUAUGACCUCAUCAGUGGCGCCACUGCUUCAACCCCGAGAUAAUUUCUCAAGCGUUAAACUACUAGCAGAAUCACCAGACCUCGAUUCCAUCCCUUCUAGUUAUGCUUACUUCAACACCCACACCCAUGAGUCUAUUGCUUCAGACCCUCAAGAUAGUAAAAAUUUUUUAUUCAUAUAAUCUUAAACUCUCAAAUUUUCACCAUUGAAUAAGGGUUAUAGCACCUCGUAAUUAAUGGCAACUUUUGCCUUUGGCAGAUAUGUAAUUUUGCCUCUCAAAUAAACUCUUAUCCAAACUGCUAUAUGACAAUAUAGAAACUUCUAUUGUUUUAGACUUGAUUUAAUAUGACGACAAUUACACUCAUACAUCAACAGAUCAUAGGUCGUGCAGGAUGUGUUUUGAUUUUGAAAGCGUGGACGAACUUGAACUUUCCAAUACUUAGAAAAAAAAUAUUUUCCAGUACUUAUUCAAUCGUUGCUUGAUUACUAUAAAUACUCAAGGCUGUUAUUUAUAAUAAUAUUUUGACCUGGGUCAGCAUAUGAACACGCUUUCUGGUUACAUUCGACUAAUUUAGGCCCAAGUCAUGUAUCAAAUGGUCAAUCGAGUCGACUUGACUCUAUCCCUUGUGGUUUUGAGCCCCUACCGUACUAUACUAAUGAAGUACGGAUUCCAACAUCCGUUAUUCUUGAUUAACUUGGAUUUCAUUUUCUUUGUCAAAAAAUGCCACGAGACUAGAAAUGUUUAGACAAUUCAUAAGAAUUAUAUUUUAGCAAAUGAACUCUUUGUUAGACCAAAAAGUCGCGUCACGUAUAUUUUUUAAUUUUGGUUAUACUCUUGCUUGGAAAAGUAGCAAGACAAAUAGUACGAGUAGAUAUGUCUAAACAAAAAAUAAUAUGAGUAGAUAGAAGGGUUUAAAUUUCUUCCUAUUCUUCUCGUAGACUUUUCAUGUGAAGAAAAUAAGAGUUUGUUCUCGGUUGAUUAUUUUAACUAAUUAUAGAUUCAGAUUUUAGAAAAUUAAUUUUAUUAUGUUCACGAUUGCUUUUGUAUUCUAAUUAUAGAUUUUUUUAAUGACUAGAAAAACUAAAAUUUAUAAUCACCCAACGAAUAGCUGAUUUUAUAAAAUCUAAAGCAACCAAUAACAAGGUCUAAGUGCUGAUUCUGUUCCAAUAAUAUUUUCUUUUCUUUAAUCACUUGGAGAUACUAAAACCUUCUUUCUUGAGCAGACUGCCACCAUAUUUAUAAGGUAAAUUACCUUUUAUCCUCCUAUGAUUUGAUACUUUACAACAUAACUCUCCUAUAAUUAAAAAAUCUAUAUAUGAGCCCCUUAUGAUUUGAUUAAAGUACUAUCAUUAAUUUUUCUAUUUAAACUAAAGUCAAUAUUAAAAAGUUGAAGUCAAAAAAUUUGACAAAUUCACCCUUUUAUUUUUCUCUUUUUUUCCCCUUUGAGAAGAGAAAAGAUGAUAUUGAAAAACAGGCUUUGUUUGAAAAGUAAUUUUUCAAAGAAAAAUUGUUACAUUUUUUGUGAACACAACAAAGUUACAGUACUUGCCGCUAAAUAACAAUUAAUGAGGGUCCACACUAAACUAUGAGCCUGCCUAAAGACUAACAAAUCCCCGUAAAACACAAUAAAAGUGGACCUGCAUUCUUUAUUUCGGGUGGAUAAAGACAUGAGGACCAUUGCCUAUAUACUACGUGUUGCAAAACUAAAGGCGUGUCAAAAAAGUUUGAAUGCAUUAUACCGGAUAGUAAAAUUUUUUAUUCAUAUAAUCUUAAACACUCGGGGUUCGUUGGAUUCCUUAUUUUGCUUAUAUUUUUUAAAAACUGUUUUUCACAUUUUAAAUGUUACAGUAAAUGUGUAUUUCAAAAAUAUUUCCAAAAACACCCAUAUCCAAACAUUAUAUCAAAAACAACUCCAAAUAUACAUAUUUAAUAUGUAUAUUUCAAUUAUGUAUAUUAUAUAUAUAUUAUAUUAAUAUAAAUUGAAAUAUACAAAUUGAAAAUUAUAUAUUUAUAUAUUUAUAUAUUAUAUAAAUAUUUAUAUACAUUAAUAUUAUACAUAAUAUAAUAUAAUAUACAUAAUAUGUAAUAUUGUAUACAUAAAUGUAUAAAUAUUUAUACAUAAUAUAUUAUGUACAUUACAUUAUAAUAUACAUUAUUAAUGUACUUUCAUUAUUAUGUACAUUAUUGUGUAUAAUAAUGUAUAAUAAUGCUAUGUAUAAUAUAUAAUAUACAUAAUAUGUAAUAAUGUAUAAAUGUAUAUUACGUAUAAUAUAUUAUAUUAUGUAUAUUGUUUAUAUAUAUAUAUACAUUAAUAUUAUACAUAAUAUAAUAUAAUAUACAUAAUAUGUAAUAUUGUAUACAUAAAUGUAUAAAUAUUUAUACAUAAUAUAUUAUGUACAUUACAUUAUAAUAUAUACGUUAUUAAUGUACUUUCAUUAUUAUGUACAUUAUUGUGUGUAAUAAUGUAUAAUAUUGCUAUGUAUAAUAUAUAAUAUACAUAAUAUGUAAUAAUGUAUAAAUGUAUAUUACGUAUAAUAUAUUAUAUUAUGUAUAUUGUAUUAUAUAUAUACCAUAUUAUGUAUAUUAUACAAAUUGAAAAAUAUAUAUUAUAUAUUUAUAUAUUAUAUAUUAUAUAAAUAUUUAUAUAAUGAAAUAUACAAUAAAUAUUACAAAUUGAAAUAUUAUAUAAACACCAUAUUUAUAAUAUUAUAAUAUUUAUAAUUAAUGUAUAUUAUAUAUAUUAAAUAUUUAUUUAUUUAUUUAUUUAUUUAUUCAUAUUAUAAAUAUUUUAUUUUAUUUAAAAUAUAUUUUCAAAUAUUUUUAAUAUAUUUAUAUAAAUAUUAUAUAUCCAAACAUUAUAUCAAAAACAACUCCAAAUAUACAUAUUUAAUAUGUAUAUUUCAAUUAUGUAUAUUGUAUUAAUAUAAAUUGAAAUGUACAAAUUGAAAAUUAUAUAUUUAUAUAUUUAUAUAUUAUAUAAAUAUUUAUAUACAUUAAUAUUAUGCAUAAUAUAAUAUACAUAAUAUGUAAUAUUGUAUACAUAAAUGUAUAAAUAUUUAUACAUAAUAUAUUAUGUACAUUAUAUUAUAAUAUAUACAUUAUUAAUGUGCUUUCAUUAUUAUGUACAUUAUUGUGUAUAAUAAUGUAUAAUAAUGUUAUGUAGAAUAUAUAAUAUACAUAAUAUGUAAUAAUGUAAUAAUGUAUAUUACGUAUAAUAUAUUAUAUUAUGUAUUUUGUAUUAUAUAUAUACAAUAUAUCCAUAAGCAAAUUUGUAGAAAUUAAAUAAGGAGUACUACUCCCUUAUAUCAUAAAAAUCUAUACAUUAGUGAGUUAUAUAUUUCCUAAAAGGUGGAACUUAUAACCUAUCCAUUCUAAUAGCACUGCGAGCCAUUUUUGAGAGAGCCAUCUCCACCUCAUAAUUAGUAUCCCUAGAGUCCAAACAGCCGACAUUAGACAAAGCAUCUGUUACUUGAUUCGCUUCUCGAAAGCAAUGAUUGAACUGCAUAAAAUAAGAACUCAGAUUCCGUAGUUGUUGUAUAUAGACUAUGGACAUACCCAUUCUUUUUAAGAACCUUUAACAACAGCAAUGAAUCCACUUCAACCUGGAAAUUAGUAUAUUCCCCGAAAAUACAUAAUUGUACACAAAAGAAGGGCACGCGCCUCUGCUUGGAUACUUGUAGCCACUCUAGAAUGACAAGAAAAAGCUAACACCAUAAGACCUUGAGAAUGCCGAAACACACCUCCACCCCCACUAGCUCCUUGAUUGCCCUUAGAACAUCCAUCAGUAUUUAGUAUUGAGCUUAAGUAAAGGAACCAUUUUCAUAUUAUUACAUAGUAGUCGGAAUACAUCUUAUGAUGGGAAUAAGGUAAUAAUAUUCACCCACCCUUUUCAUAUUAUAACAUAGUAGACGAAAUAAAUAUCAUCGAUUGACUAUCGAUUUUUUCUCUUCUUCUUCCUCAAUAGUGUCUUAUGGUGAUAUUGCUCAUUACAUUCGCAUAACCCGCUGAUGGCCUUUGCAGGGCUGUAUCAAAGGUUGCACAUCCCUUUACAUAUCUAAAGUCUUUAGUCCCAGAAAGUUAACUACUGAAAGCUCUAGCCAGGCACGUUGAAUGCUACCUCCCUUUUGUUUGUAAAGAUAAAGGAAAGCAAUCUCUGUAGGUUAGCUCCAUCGAGGGAUGAGGUUGCAUAAAUCCCUUGGGUGUGUCCAAUUUGUGGGAAGCUGAUACUAAUGCCUUUGUGUUAAGUCAGCAUCAACAACAAAAAUAGUUCCAAAUUGAAAGGCAUUUAUUGGCAUAUCGGGAAUUCCUGCAACCGCGGCAACAGUGCCAUUUGGUGCGGCAUGAACUCUUGACUGAACACAAUCAUCAUUGUUUCCUUUGGAAGGCAACAACAUUCAUGAAGAUGAGCUUCUGAACAGACAAAUCUGGAGAGUAAAAGUACUCCACAUAUUUGGAUUGAUGUUAGAACUAAAUAUUUUGCCAUUGGCUAAAGGAGUUGUUGAAUAUGUACAUGGAAGGAAGUAGUAGAUGCAAGGUGAAAGUAAGUCGCUAAGUGACUGUGUAGGAAAUUUCAACAAAGCUUUAAUGUUUAUUUAUUAGUGGUCUAUGUUUCAUAUUUGGUUGGUCAAUUUGUGUUGGAGUUGCAAAGGAUCACAUAACUCCUCUUGAGGAGUGUGUUACAAAUGAAGGUUCCCAGGUCAUAAUCGUUAUAAUCGUAGAAAAUUCAUGCUGGCUUUUUUGGUUUUGAUAAAGAAGCGAUUAAAACUUUAAAGUUUGCAACUUGGUCUAAAAGACGAGAAAAACGUAUUUCUAGUGGUCGCUACUUUAGCCUUAUAAAGUGUACAAGUUUUGGCAAAAAAUUCAGCUUAUAUACCUCUACUAAAAGAAACUUGAAGACUCUAAACAACCGAUGUUCAAUUCGACGACGAAUCACCGCACAAGUUCCAAGUUCACUCACUUAUCCCUUGAACGAAAAUUUGGGCAGCAUACCCUUUGUAUUUAUCUAUUUUUUCAGCCAUUUAAGGCUUCACGUUUUUCCUCAAAUCAACCCAAUUCAAACACCACAAGUAAGCAUAUCAAGAUAGCUCUUCAUCUAGGCUAAAACCAUCCAAAUAUAACUUAUUUCUAGCAAAUAAUCAACCACUACCAAAGCUGGAAUUUUCUCAUCAAAGCUGGAAAUUCAUCUUUUAAUACUAAAAAGUCACAAUCAUGCCACUAAUCACGUCACAAAUUCCAUAUCCAAGUUCAAUACCAACAUUUGAUAGUUAAACAACAUAAUCAAGGCUGAAAAUUUCCAAACCCUAGCUGAAAUUUCAUUAUUCAACACCAAACUAGAGUAUCAUCCAAUAUAUUCCAAGAUUCAAAGCUUCUAUAGCAUAUUUAGCAAGAUUAAGGUAGAGACAAGAAGUGGAUGAACUUAUACCUUCCAAAACCUUCUUGAAAGUGAGGAACCAAGCAAUUUCUCCCAAGAAUUUCACACUCCUAGCUUCCUAAGCACCAAGAUGCAAGUUUAAUCGGUUUGAUUUUUGUGAUUCAGCUCAAACAAGGCUAAAAUCAAAGUUGAAAUUGGAAGUUUUGUUCCCUCUUUCUCCUCUCUUUGCUCUAGGCCAACAAGAAGAAAUAAUGGAGGAAUAUUAGCCAAAAAUGGAAGAUAAGAAGGAAAGAAUUUGGCUUGGUCAAACAUCCUUAGAUUGCCAACACUUGGCACAACAAGAUUCCUUCUUAUUUUUUUUCUUUCCUCACUUUUCUUUAGUCAACAUUUUCGGCUGGUUUAAGGCUUAAUCUAGGGUUAAUUAGCUGAAAUAAAAACAAAGAAAUUAGGGUAAGAAAGGAGUGCUCAAGUGGUGUACUCAAUCGAUAACAAAUUGUGCACGUUGGUUCAAGCUUAUUUUUCUUAACUCUCGCGUACUUAUGUUUUACUUAUGAUUCACUAACUUAAUAAUAGCACUUCUAAUCAUACACUUUCUCUUAUCUAAUACUCACUUUUAUCUACCAAAUUUAGUACACACACCUCAUCAAUUAAUCACACUACCAAAAUACGUAAAAAUCUUAGUUUACCCUAACUAUAAAAGUAAAGGUAAAACUCUCGAUUCUAUCAUUUAUUACAACUAUUGAGGGAGUAAUUUAGUAGUAAAGAUAUUAUAAAAUAACUUAUUCAAAAUAAAAUGAAAUUUUAAGAAAAUAUGGAGAAUUUUGCAAGUCCUCACAAAAGCAGUUCGAAAAUCACUGGUAAUUGGCAAUCUUCUCUAUGGGUUCGACCCUUAAUAUCCUAUACUCAAUCACGACUCGUAUACUUGUGAAAAAUUGCUUGUGGGGUAUUUAGAAAUUUAUAAAUAUAAAACUUGAUUGUGAAUGGGUUAAUUAUUAUAUGUAUAUCCCGCACUCGUCAAUUUCCUUAUGCAUGUGAAACCUACUCUCAUAGUGAAUCACCUAUAGCUAUAAUUAAUCCAUACCUAAUCUCAUUACUAUGAAAUUAGCUACAAGUUCAUUACAUCUAUGAAAUUAUAUGGAACAAAACCACAAAAGCCACAAAGGUGCACAUCUACUCUCUUGAGUGUACUCCUUAAGUUUUUCACUUUCUUGAACUAAUGUUAAAUUAUAAUUUUCAUUGUAAAUCUAACACCUUGAGAUUAUCACAAUUAAUGGCAAGUCAAUCAAUCUUAGAAGAGCAAAAACCCUAAAUAACUUGCUCAAAAUAAUAAGAAGAAAUAUCACAAACAAUCCACAGUUAGUUCAACCAAAACCCAAGGCAAAAACCUUUAGAAAUACAUCACAAACAUAAGAUCCAAACUUGUAUUAACAAAGUUUAAAAGUCAAUACAAAGAUUAAGAGGUGGAAAGAAGAAAACCCUUGUUACUAGAGCCCAUUGAAUCUCACCUUUUUCAUCUCCUUUUGCUUCCUUAUUGAGCCAAUACAAGAAUAGAAGAACAACCAACUAAUCCUACACUAAUCUAACCUAAACUAAGAAACUAAGUAUUUCCAGUAUUAGAUCUACAUUUUGAUGGUGUUUUUCUCCCCUUUUUCUCUACAAAAAUCAUCCUCAAAAAGCUCCUUUUAUAAAAAGAAGAUAGAGCUCAAUUGCUAUGCAAGUUGUACGAGUUGCAUUGGUUUUCUGACACAAAUCCAGCCCACAAUCCGCGUAUGGAUUGCUGGCUGGAUUGAUCAAUUAGCGUAUAGAUUUUUGGCUGGAUUGAUCAAUUAGCAUAUAGAUUUUUGGCUGGAUUGAUCCCCUAUUUCUGCCUUGAAGAUGCUCAAAAACGGCCUUCAAAGAGGGAUCCGUAGACUUAGAUCCGUGGAUCCCUCAUUUUGCUUUGUUCUUCAUUAGACUUUUGCUCUCUACCUGCAAUCCAUUCAUGAACCCGGCCCAGGUUAAUAUGAAAAUUUCUCUAUGAAGAAUGCUGAAUUAGCUCUUGUGGAAAACAAGAAAACUGCAAUCCUUUGAGAUAGAUUUCCAAUGGAUAUGAAUCAAGUCAUUUCGAGAUCUGGGGAUUGAGUUAUGGCCAAAAAAUUAAUGACUAGUCAGAAAGCAUUGUAGGAGAAAAGUGCUUCAAUAAUUUGGACUUUUGGCUAUGAAAACGAGAGAAUUGGAUUUUGGUAUCUCAUAAGAAUUGUAGUCCCUCUUAGCUUUAAAAUGAUUUAAAAAUCAUCUCAAUCCACGAUUUGUAGCUCAAAUUAUAACCAAUGUACCAAAAUAUAUCAUUGUUACCAAUGCUUUUGUUCUUGUUUCUUGAGUGUAUUUCUUCCUUUGGUCCUUCAUGUCACAUGAUUUCCACAUUAAAUCAUCAGCAAUCAUGCAAGCAUCUCCUCACUUCCCUUCAAUUGAUGAUUGAAUUAUCAAAACUGAUAAGUGACUAAUUUACGUAAUAAUUGUAUGAUAUUUUAUAUUAUUUUUAGUCACUUUAGUUAUAUUAUUGGAAGAAAAUGAAUCAUUUUGGCUAUAAUUGGUGAAUAAAUGUUUUUAAGUGAUUAAAUGAGGUUUUUAUCACUUUUUAAUUGGAUUUUGUGUAUUUUGACAGUUUUGACACAUUUUCGUAUUUCGGCUAUAACUUGAGCUACAAUGAUCGGAUUGGGAUGAUUCUUGAACCCAUUUGAAGAUAAGAGAUAGAUCUACAACUUUGUGGAAGACAUCUGAAUCCAGUUUGAAGGUUUUCCAGGUCAAAAGGCCGAAGUACAGAGUCAAUUGCUAUUGGUCGAAACUGGAACAAGGCAUGGAGCAGGCAAGGGUAUUUCAGUCAUAUCUCAGCCUACACAGAUCCAAAUGAGGUGAUUCUUGAUGCAUUAGAAAGAUAACUCAAAAGGCUACAACUUUCGUGUUUUAGACAUGAGCUGGUUCAGCCUCUAACAUCAGGAAAAGAUCAGUUGAAGUUGGGACAAAAACAGAGCAAGUGAUCCACACUCGGAUCCACUAUUCAUCCGAACCCUCGGUUGUUCUGGGUUAGUGAACCGAGCUCGGAUCCAUACGGAUCCGAGGUACUGUAGCAGCUCGAAUCACUGUAGCAGCCCAUUUACUGUAGCAAUCCGGCCUGAAUUUGGCCGGAUUUGUGGCCGGAUUCCUGGCCGGAUUGUGGUCAAAAAAGGCUGCUCUGUACGCGUAAAACUCAAUUUCACCUCCACCAACUCACAUGUGAUGCUAGACAUGUGAGAGACAUUACCAGCUGUAAGGAGAAAGUGUAAAGCUUCAUUCCUUGACCAACUUUCAUCAUUAAAAAGUAAAAUUCAUUGUAAUGAGAGAGGGAUGGGAGUCCAUAGCAAAAUAUAGAGAGUGAGCUACGGGAGAAAGCUUGAAGCUGCAGAAAUGUCGCUCUUUCAUCUCUCUAGUGUUAGUUUAGCUUAGUAUAGAGUAGUGUAGCUUUUCCAUUCUUGUUUAUUAUCUAGAUUAGGAUGAGGAUGGAGGAUGAAGAAGGCAAGGAAGAAAGCUCAGGUGACAAGGGUUGUAUUCCUUCCAAAUUCUUUAUCUUUUGUAUUUGAUUCCAAUUUUAGUUAAUAUACAAGUUCUGGAUUUUGUGUUCAUUAUGUGUUUCUAAAGUUUAUACCUUGGGUUUGGUUGAACUUUAUAUAAUUGUUAGUGUUUAUUAUUUGGUUAUUUGACUGCUAUGAUUUGAGCAAGUUAUUUAGCACUUUGGCUCUUUAAAUCAUGAUUAAUCUGGUACCAUUGAUUGUGAUUAUCUAAGGUGUUGUUUCUGCAAUGGAAAUUGAGAUUUAACACUAGUUCAAGAAGUGCUAAACAUAGGGAGUACACUCACGAAAGUAGAGGUGCACUUAUGUGGUUUUUAGUGAUUCAUUUCAUGUAAUUUCAUUGAAGAAAUGAACUUGUAGCUAAUUUCAUAACCAUGAAAAUAGGUAUGGAUUAGUUAUGAGUAUAGUUGAUUCACUACGAAAGCAGGUUUUACAUGUUUAAGGAAAUUACACCAUAACUAGCCUAGAUGUAGUACUUAAUGAUCCAAAUAUAGCACUUGCAUGAGUAGUUAGGGAUACCACAACCUAAGGAGCUUUCAUUUGCUAUUUUAUUGCAUAAUUUCAGUAGGUUUUAAUUUGUUAUAAUUCAUUGAUAGUCUAAAUAAUAGAGAAGCUUUAGUAAUACCGGUAAUUGUUCACUCUUCCCUGUGGGAUCGACCCGAUAUAUACCCUAAACUACUAGUUGAUCUGUAUACUUGCAGUGAACGGGUGUAAUUCGGUUUUUUUUUAACUUGUACGUAUGUAAAAUACCCGUCAAGUUUUUGGCGCCGUUGCCGGGAAGAUUUGGCAAUAUCGGUGUGAAGAGCAACUUUAUUAGUUAUAAUGUGAAUGUUAUUUUCUAUUAUUUUUGUAUUUUAUGUGUAUGUGUUUCAUUACCUAUUUUUCUUACUAAUUUUGCUUUUGAGGUUGUUUAAAAGCAAUUUUAGGUAAUGAGAAGGGUAGGUCAAUUUGGAGGACAAUGCUUGAGAAGUGGAAGAUUGGCAAUGGAUGGUUAUCAAGUGCAAAGCUCCUUCAACAGAGGUAACCAAGAAUUUACUGAAUGUAUGUCUUUUGAAGAUGGUUUAAGGUGCUUAAAGGCAAAAUUUGAUGUAAUUAAGUUACAAGUUCAAAUGGACACCAUGAUGCAUGAAAUUGAGCAAAGGAGGAAUGUUAAUGCUUUUAAUUCUUAUCAUGUGAUUUGUGACUUGUGUGGAGGGUAUCAUGCUACUAACACAUGUAUGCAAGCACAAAAUGUGGAUUAUUAUGAUGAAUUAGAGUAUUACAAUCCUUGUUUUGAUCAAUACAGUGCUAAUUGGAGCAAUUCUCCUGCUUAUGGUUGGGAUAAUCAAUGUACAUGUUAGAUUAAUAAUAAAAGAUAUAGGCUGAUACACAAUAGAGAAGAAUAAAUACAACCCAGAAAGAAAGAAAUGAUCGAAAAUAACAAUAAUAACAAUCCGAGGCUUGUGAGCACAAUUUCCUUAAAACAGAUUCGCCCCCUCCAGGUAGAGUGCUUGAGGUUGAGUAGGCGUCUGUCUCCCAGGAUACAACGGAUUAAAGGUGAAUAUGUCAGCACCAAACGUUCUUCACCCAGCGAACUCGAACUAGAGCAAUAUGGAACACUAUAAAAAUGCAGAUGCAAGAAGAAAAGGAGAGAGAGAGCGCCCUUUGCUUUUGAAACAAAAGAGAUAUUUAUAGAUGCUGGCCAAGGGUGACUGUUAGAAAUUGGCAACAAGUGUUAAAUUCCAGAUAAUUAUCUUCACGUUUAUCAAAGGACCACAUUCAUGUACAUACAUGUAUCUCAAUAAGAUAACCCAAAUGAAUCCUAUCCAAAAUCAUGUAUCAAUAAUUAAUACACAUGAAUCCUAUCCAAAAUCAUGUAUCAAUAAUUAAUAUACAUGAAUAGAUAAUUAUCCUGAUUCUUUCAAGAGUGCCAUUAUGAGAACAAUUUUCUCAUUCACUCUACAAUGAAUAUAGCCAUUUUUCCAACAAUCCCCCACAUGAAUGGAAAAAUUGUUUUGAUUUGACUCUACAGUAGUGUUCCACGACUGAAACCUGCAUAAGAUAGGUUGGUGUUACCCUUGAACCUUCUCUUGUGAAAUAUACUUACUUUACUAGCAAUCCAGUAGACAUGAUGUCUUUGAACUGUCCGCUUUUUAGUGUAAAUGAACCAUAUAUUUCACACAGGAAUCAUGCUCCAUUUGUUCAGUUCUCAUAGUUAUGUUCGUUUUGGCCAUGAACAUCAACCUGGUUCAGCAAGAGUUUUUAAGAAUUGAGCCCUAAACAAUUCUCUUUUGAAGCGGCCCCACUUCACUCUCACAUAGGUGAUUUACUUAAGUCUUCAGUAAUUAAUUACUUCACUUAAGAAUCAUUAAAGCACACCAUUGUGCUAUCCUUAAUUCUCCUUUGCGUCAUUGUUUCAUUAUGGAAUGGGUCUAGGGUAUCCCCCCACAAUGACUAUGCUAAGUCCUUAUAAUUAGGUUGUCCCUUUGAACCUAGAUCUUGGGAUCUCCAGUCAGCUAGGUUGGGUUUCCUUUAUAACACUUAGCCUUCCAUGGGCUUUAGUCCCAUUCCCUUUGCCAUUUUUGCAACCAACUCUCUAUUCAAUCCUUUGGUUAGCGGAUCCGCUAUGUUAUCCUUUGAUUUCACAUAAUCAAUAGAGAUAACUCCUGUUGAGAGUAGUUGUCUAAUGGUAUUAUGCCUACGACGUAUAUGUCUAGACUUACCAUUAUAUAUGUUAUUCUGUGCUCUUCCAAUUGCUGAUUGACUAUCACAGUGAAUACAUAUUGGUGGCACAGGUUUUUCCCAUUUUGGAAUGUCUUCAAGGAAAUGGUGGAGCCAUUCAGCUUCUUCUCCACAUUUGUCCAAGGCAAUGAACUCAGAUUCCAUUGUAGAUCUAGCUACAAUAGUUUGUUUAGAAGACUUCCAAGAUACUGCCCACUGGCAAGUGUGAACACAUAUCCACUUGUGGAUUUUGAAUCUUUAUAUCAGAUAUCCAAUUUGCAUCAGCAUACCCUUCUAAAACAGCAGGGUAUCUAGUGUAAUGCAGUCCAUAGUUCCGAGUGUACCGUAGGUAUUUAAGUACCCUUAAAAUUGCUUUCCAAUGAUCAGCACUCGGAUUGCUUGUAAAUCUGCUCAAUUUGCUUACUGCAUAUGCAAUGUCAGGUCUAGUACAACUCAUUAAAUACAUUAGACUGCCAAUGAUUCUUGAGUAUUCUACUUGAGAAAUACUCUCUCCUCUAUUCUUAGAUAGAUGGAAACUAUUGUCUAAUGGAGUUCUUGCAAUUCCAGAAUCAUCUUAUUGAAUUUUUCUAGAAUCUUGUCCACAUAAUGAGUUUGGCUCAAGACCAACCCGUCUGAUAUUCUUGUAAUUUUAACUCCUAAAAUUACAUCAGCAAGCCCCAUAUCUUUCAUGUCAAAUUUUGAAUUCAACAUGUCCUUGGUAGACUUGACCAUUUUGUCAUUACUACCAACAAUAAGUAUGUCAUCUACAUAAAGACAUAAGAUGACAUAGCCAUUGUCUGUUUCUUUAGUGUAGACACAUUUGUCACACUCAUUUAUUCUGUAUCCAUUAGUUAUCAUUGCAUUGUCGAACUUUUCAUGCCAUUUCUUUGGCGCUUGUUUUAGUCCAUACAAUGAUUUUACUAAUUUACAAACUUUAUUUCCUUUUCCCGGAGUUAUGAAACCCUCAGGUUGCUCCAUGUAGAUUUCUUCAUCUAAAUCACCAUUUAAGAAAGCCGUCUUUACAUCCAUUUGAUGUAUCUCCAGAUUUCUCAAUGCAGCGAUAGCAAGAAUCAUUCUGAUAGAAUUUAUUCUCGUAACAGGAGAAUAAGUAUCAAAAUAAUCCAAACCUUCUUGUUGCUUGUAUCCUUUGAUUACAAGUCUGGCUUUGUACUUAUCGACAGAGCCAUCAGGUUUCAUUUUCCUUUUAAAGAUCCAUUUGGACCCUAAAGGUCUACAACCAGGAGGAAGAUCCACUAACUCCCAUGUAUGAUUCUGUAAAAUAGAAUCAACCUCACUUUUUAUUGCUUCUUUCCACAAAAAUCCUUCAGAAGAACUUACAGCUUCUGUAUAGGUUUGUGGUUCCUUUUCUAAUAGAAAAGUUGUAAAAUCAUCUCCAAAUGAUUUUUCCACUCUAGCCCUUUUGCUACGUCUCGGUUCAUCUUGUUGAAUCAAGUCAUGAUCAUGUUUUCUUGAUUCAUAACUUCAUGUGUUCGUUUUGAUGAACUUGAUGCACCAUUCGAUUUACAAGGAAACACAUCUUCAAAGAAUGAAGCAUUCCUUGAUUCCAUUAUCGUAUUUUUGUGUAUAUCCGAAAUUUCUGAAUUAUACACAAGAAACGCGAUAAGCAGCACUAUUAUGUGCAUAGCCUAUAAAGAUACAGUCCACAGUUCUAGGACCUAUCUUUAUUCUCUUUGGUGCUGGAAUAGCCACUUUUGCAAGACACCCCCACACUUUCAAGUAUUUGUAGGAUGGUCUCCUACCUUUCCAUAACUCAUAAGGAGUUUUAUCUUGUUUUUUCCGGGGUACCCUAUUUAAAAGGUAAUUGCUUGACAAAAUAGCUUCACCCACAUAUUUUGAGGCAAUCCUGAACUUAGUAACAUCGCAUUCAUCAAUGAAAGUGAUAAAAUAUUUAUUACCACCUCUUGUUUGAACAAAUUUCAAAUCACAGACAUCUGUGUGAAUCAAUUCAAGGGGUUCGGUGUUUCUUUCAAUUGUUUGAAAGGAUGACCUUGUUAAUUUUGCUUCUACGCAAAUCUCGCAUUUAUGGUUUGAAUUGAUGUGAAAGGAAGGAAUAUGAUCCAAGUUAAUUAGUCUACGCAAAGUAUCAUAAUUAACAUGACCUAGUCUACCAUGCCACAAAUUGGAAGACUCAAGCAAAUAAGCAGAAGACUUAUUCUUAUUAUUCACAAUAGUCAUUACAUUCAAUUUGAACAACCCAUCGGUUGUAUAUCCUUUCCCUACAUACAUCCCAGAUUUGGAUAAUAUAACUUUAUCCGAUUCAAAAACCAUGCGAAAGCCAUGCUUGUUCAGCAACGAUCCAGAAACAAGGUUCUUGCGGAUUUCUGGCACAUACAAAACAUCGUUCAAAGUCAAUGUUUUUGCCAGAAGUCAUCUUUAGUAACACCUUCCCUUGACCUUCAAUAGCAGAUGAGGCAGAGUUCCCCAUGAACAUUUUUCUCCUUCAAUUUUUCCGAAGGUAGUGAACAGGUCUUUGUUUGUGCAAACAUGUCUUGUAGCUCCAGUGUCAAUCCACCAUUCUUUCGGAUUUGACCCUAUCAUAUUUACUUCAGAGACCAUAGCAGUCAGGUUCAUGGUUUCCAUGUCUCCCUCGAUUCUAUCAAGCAAGUUUGCUUCAUGUUUCUUCUUCUUUGGAAGCUUACAUUCAGUGGACUUGUGACCUUUUUUGUCACAGUUGAAGCACUUUCCUUGGAAUUUCUGCUUAGAGAUUUUCCCUUUUGCCCCAAGAUUUUGAGUUGGCUUUUUGCCUUUGGAGUUUUGCCCUUGCUUAUACUCCACAAUAUUUGCUUUAGCAUCAACAGAAGUUGUUACCUUGCAAUCAGAACCCCUGUUGUCUUCUUCAAUUCGAAGUCUAACGAUAAGGUCCUCCAUACUCAUCUCUUUGCGCUUGUGCUUGAGAUAGUUCUUGAAAUCCUUCCACCCAGGAGGUAGCUUCUCAAUAGCAGCAGCUACUUGAAAGGUUUCACUCAAAAUCAUGCCUUCAGCUAGAAUCUCAUGCAAGAUAAUCUGAAUUUCUUGCACUUGACUGAUAACAGUUUUGGAAUCCACCAUUUUAUAGUCUAGAAAUUUUCCAACGACAAAUUUCUUUGCUCCGGCAUCUUCGGUUUUAUAUUUCCGAUCUAAGGAUUCCCAUAAUGCCUUCGCCGUUUUGUGUACUUGAUACACGUUAUAUAGCGAGUCAUGCAAGCAGUUCAUGACAUAAUUUCGACAAAGGAAGUCGGAGUGCUUCCAAGCAUCAAUAGCAUUGAUAGCUUGUGCAUCAGUUAAGCCUUCAGGCAGCUUUGGAGCAUCCUCACUUAAGAAUCUCGAGAGAUUCAAUGUUGUCAAAUAGAACAACAUCUUUUGUUGCCAUGUCUUGAAGUUCGAGCCAUGGAACUUCUCAGGUUUCUCACUAUGGUUGGUAGACACCAUAGGAGUAAUCUUUCCUUCAGGUUGUUUCACAAUUGAGCCAGAGGCAGCGGCAUCAGAAGUAGAAAUAUUGGUGUCUCUUCCUGUAUUGUCAGCCAUUGAGACCGAUUCUGUUUUAAGACUGUUAGAUUAAUAAUAAAAGAUAUAGGCUGAUACACAAUAGAGAAGAAUAAAUACAACCCAGAAAGAAAGAAAUGAUCGAAAAUAACAAUAAUAACAAUCCGAGGCUUGUGAGCACAAUUUCCUUAAAACAGAUUCGCCCCUCCAGGUAGAGUGCUUGAGGUUGAAUAGGCGUCUGUCUCCCAGGAUACAACGGAUUAAAGGUGAAUAUGUCAGCACCAAACGUUCUUCACCCCAGCGAACUCGAACUAGAGCAAUAUGGAACACUAUUAAAAAAUGCAGAUGCAAGAAAGAAAAGGAGAGAGAGAGCCCCCUUGCUUUUGAAACAAAAGAGAUAUUUAUAGAUGCUGGCCAAGGGUGACUGUUAGAAAUUGGCAACAAGUGUUAAAUUCCAGAUAAUUAUCUUCACGUUUAUCAAAGGACCACAUUCAUGUACAUACAUGUAUCUCAAUAAGAUAACCCAAAUGAAUCCUAUCCAAAAUCAUGUAUCAAUAAUUAAUACACAUGAAUCCUAUCCAAAAUCAUGUAUCAAUAAUUAAUAUACAUGAUAGAUAAUUAUCCUGAAUUCUUUCAAGAGUGCCAUUAUGAGAACAAUUUUCUCAUUCACUCUACAAUGAAUAUAGCCAUUUUUCCAACAGUACAUAUAGUGAUUAUUCAUAUUUUUAUGAUUACCAACAUGAAAGUGUCCAAUAUGAAUCAAACCAUCUUGGGAGUUGGCAAUAGAAAGGCUAGCUAAUGCAUCUCUGCCUUGGGAAUUAGAGAAUGAACCAUUAGCUAAUGAUUCUAAUGCAUCUUGGGAGCUAGCAGUAGAAAGCGGAGCUGCCCUGGGGGUAUACGUCUACUUGGUUGGCUUUGAUUCCCAAGGUCCCCGGGGCUGCCUCUUUCUCAGAUUUUCGCCCAAUUAGCCUGUGCAAUUUUGUCAAUAAGAUCAUUUCCAAGCUAUUAGCUAGCCGUUUGGAAAGUGUGCUGCCAAAGAUUAUUUCACCGCAACAGAGUGGCUUCGUUAAGGGUCGGCAGAUCUCGGAUAAUAUUUUGCUGGCUUUAGAGAUGUGUUCGGCUUUAGGGAAGAAGGUGCGGGGAUCUAAUGUUGCACUCAAACUGGACAUGGCCAAGGCGUAUGACCGGGUAUCUUGGAAUUUCCUAAUCCAAGUAAUGAGACGGUUUGGAUUCGGGGAGCAAUGGCUUGACAUGGUGUGGAGGCUGAUUUCGUCGUGUCAUUUUUCGGUAUUGGUUAAUGGGAAGCCUUGCGGAUACUUCCAAUCCUCUCGUGGGUUACGUCAAGGGGACCCUUUAUCCCCGGCUCUUUUUAUUAUUGCAGCGGAGGUUUUAUCUAGGCGAUUGAAUGAGCUACCUCGAGCCUCAAGGUUUGUCCCAUUCUUGGUGUCGCGGGGCUCUCCGCCGCUGACACAUCUGGCCUAUGCUGACGACAUCAUCGUUUUCUGCAAUGGUGGUAAGCGUUCCUUGGAGUGUGUCAGGGAGGUGCUCCAGGGGUAUCAGGAGGUGUCAGGGCAGCUGGUGAACGUGGCGAAGAGUUGUUUUUUGGUUGGCAAGAAGACUUCGGUGGCUCGCAGGAGGAUAAUUGCACAUGUUACUGGUUUCUGUUCUAGAUCUUUACCAGUCACGUACUUGGGAUGCCCGUUGUUCGAGGGGAGACGAGUGAAAGCUUUGUUUUCUAAUUUGCUGUCUAAGGUUUCCCAACGGAUUGCCUCCUGGCAUGGUCGGUGGUUAUCUAUGAGUGCUCGAGCUAUAUUGAUUAAGCAUGUACUGUCGUCUAUGCCUAUUCAUAUUCUAGCGGUUAUAGAGCCGCCCAAGGGGGUGAUUUCUGAUCUAGAGCGGAUUUUGGCGAGGUUUUUUUGGGGUGAGUCGGAGUUUGGAGCUAAGCGCCACUGGUCGAAAUGGGCGAACUUAUGUUUUCCGGUGGAGGAAGGAGGGGUUGGUUUUCGGUCACUUCAGACGAUUGUGGAGGCUUUUUCCUGUAAACUUUGGUGGAUGUUUCGACAUGGUCAAUCGCUCUGGGCGCAGUUCAUGAGGGCUAGGUAUUUUGGGCCUCUGCAUCCUAAUCAAGGCCCGUUUUCUGUUCAAUUGUCUGCUACGUGUAAACGUAUGCUGAGUGUCCGUACAACCAUGGAGCUUUGGUUGCAGUGGGAUCUUUCGAGAGAGGAGGUGGCUUUCUGGUGGGAUAAUUGGAGUGGGCUAGGCCCUUUGGCGUGGCGGUUCCCGGAAGCGGCGUCAGAUGUGAAGGUCUUGGAUUUUGUACGAGAAGGGAGAUGGGAUUUUUCGGCUUUGGCCUCGGUGCCCGCAGCGAUUUGGGACGCCGCUCAGGGGUCUUUCUUCUGUUUUGGGUUGGAUCCGGAUACCCUGGUUUGGCGGCGGGAUCCUUCGGGAGUUUUCUCCACUAGGUCGGCAUAUCAACUUGCUCGCCCGGCUAGGGCUCGCUCCUGGACUUUCUCUUUUGUUUGGCAUUCCUUUAUCCCGCGUAAAUUGUCUUUCUUUAUGUGGCGAUUACAAAAUGGCCAGCUGCCGCUGGAUGAUGUUCUCGAAAAGUAUCACAUUCAUGGUCCUUCUAAAUAUCACUGCUGUGUGCUUGGCCAGGUUGAGACAAUGGAACAUGUUUUUUCAGCUGGACAGUUAGCUUCUGCGACAUGGGUGUUUUUUGAGAAUUCUCUUGGUCUAUCGACAUCAGCGGCCACGGUUCGCUCCCGGUGCGCCGCUUGGUGGUUACGCCCUGUGAAAGGUAAGGCUUUACGCUGGUUAAUGCGGAUUCUCCCAAUUCUGAUAUUAUGGUUUCUAUGGCGGGCGAGGAAUUUGUCCCGGUUCGAGGGUCGCAAGUUUUCUGUUUCGCAGGUCCGUGCUUUUAUCAUACAAGAGGUAAGAAUGCUAGUCAGAGCCCAUUUUCUGGGUAUUAUGGUGCCUUGGCAAUGGGAGGAACUUCUUCAGGCUCUGUCUGGGGUUCGGAGGGUUUUAACUGCAACGAUUGUCAGGUGGGCUUUCCCUCCGACGGGCUGCUACAAGUUAAACACUGACGGGUGUGCCACGGUGCGUGGUAGUGGGAGUGGGGGGUGAUUAGGGAUUCGUGUGGGAGAUUUAUUGUAGCUUUUGCGGAUUCAUUUGGCGGGUUGGACUCUUUGCAGGCGGAGGCUCGUGCUCUCCUUUUGGGGCUGCAACUGGGCCGCCAAGUAGGGGUCCCUCAGCUAAUUGUUGAAUCUGACUGUCUGGCUCUGAUUAAGUGUUUAAGGAAGGAAUGGGGAGUUCCCGCAGGGAUUCGGCCUAUUGUUCGUGCUAUUUGGAUGGGUGAGUCAAGUUCUCACUGCUUCUUCCAUUGCUACCGGGAAGGGAAUACAGUGGCGGAUUCGCUAGCAGCAUAUGGGGCCUUGUCAGGCGCUCAAGUUAUUUUCACUAAGGGCUCUCAGUUACCGACUCGUAUUAGGGGACUUUUGGCUUUGGAUAUGCAGAAUUUUUGUAACUUUCGAUUUUCUUUUAGGGGUUAGGGCAUCUGCUCGAACCUCGGUUUUGUUCUCAGUUUAUGAUUAAUAAAAUAUUAAUUAAAAAAAACAAGAAAGUAUAGUCUUCUAACAUGUACUAAUUUAAGAGCACGUGCGUCGCACAUGACAAUAAUUACUAGUUCAUUUGUAAUAUUUUUUGUCCUUGUUGUUUUAAAACUAGUCUUGACAUUAAUUGGCCUAGAAACUAUGCAUCAAAUGAUCAAAAUUAGUUACAUCGAUUCUUUCAUUGAUAUGUAAUGAAAUAAAUUAGAUUAAUUAUUCCUAGAAACAGUAUAGCAAUUCUAUGCUAUGUUCCAGAAGUUAAAACCUCCAGGCUAUCUUUCAAUGGAAAUUAGUUGCAUCUGAAUUUCUAGAGAUCGCUCAUAAUAUUAAUCAAGAAAUGCUUGUUAUAUAAAUUCUAGACAAAAUUAACUUGAAGUGGAAGUGUGACCAAAAAAAAUAAAUAAAUACCUUUCAGAAGGGAGAUAAACUUGUAGCAUCAGUGUUGGAGAGCUCAUGGCGUUUGAGAUGAAAUGAUUUAUUUGGAAAGCACUUAUUUUAAACUAGUCAUUCAACAUCCAAGAUUUUUUUUUUAAAGUAAAGGAACAUUCAAGUUGAAGGUAGAGGUUGUGCAAAUACGAAAUUAGAUGCAAGGAAAGGUACAGACUACAAGGGCUUAAAAAGUUGUUUAAAGAGAUGUGAUAUUUUAGCUGCCUCUGUCCCCUUGAAUGUUGGAAAAUACCCUUAUUUCUUGAUAUUUCCCUUCACAUUACCUUCCUAAGUAACCAAUUACUUUUAGAUAUCUCUCAUAUAGUAAAAUUGUUUCAAUAUUAACAUACAAAAGUGGUUAAUAUUGUGAUAAACAUUAAUGCUAAGGACUCUAAAAUACAACAAAAAAGAAGAGAAUAUUCAAAAUAAAACUAUAAUAUUGAAUCAAAUUUUUGUUGACAUCAUUUUGGUUGUACAAUACUACCCCAUUCGUCACUAAAUUCACAAUUCCACAUUGUCUAACUUCUUCAAUUCUUUAUUUCAUAUUGAACAUCUUUAUCUGCAUAACGGCAUUGUAACCAGGAUACUAGUCAAAUCAUAACUAAAUUUUUCCUCAGCUCAUUUGGAUUGUAUUUUUUUGUUGAGUUUUUGAAGAAAAAUUACUGUAACGCUUUACGUAGGAUGUGAAUCUGUGAAAUAAAAAAGUGAUUGGAAAAUGCAUAAGAAAUAUUCUCAGAGAAACUUGAAAACUUUCUCUGCAAAAAAAAUGCAAUCCAAACAAGGCCUAAUUUCUCACAUCCUUCAUUUGUCACCACUGUGCAAAUUUAAGAGAAUAGCAUUAUUCAUUCAAAUAACUAAUUUCGAAAAACCACUUAUUUAUACAAAGGAAAAAAUGCAGUUUUGAUUCCCAAAAUUUGCCAUAGGAACUAUUCUAGCCCCCAAAUUAAAGUUUCAGGCGAAACAAAUCGGGUCCCUAAUAUUUCUGUAUCCAACUUGUUUAAGACUAUAGUAAUGUUUUCAAUUCCCGCUAAGAUAGAGUUACGUGAGAUUACGUGACCUGUGCCAGAAAUUUUGGUUUUAGAUUUUCUUCUAAAGAAGGCGGGAGAAAGAAACGAUAUCAAUCGAAAUUAAUUUUGGAAUACUCGAAUGUAUAUCUUUAUGGUUUUUAUAAUUUCUCUUUUUUUUUAGGUUACAUGCAUGUGGUUAUGAUGUUAUUUGAGUGAUUAAUCUUAGUAUCAUGACUAUUUUUAAUUUUAGGUAAAGGUCACAUCACUACAUUCCCAUAAAAUUCAAAAGAAUCAAUCAAUUAUCCUAAAUAUGCUUCAAAUUUGAAACAUUGGAAAUGAGAUUUACUUUGAUUCAAAUUUCGAGAACUAAAAUCCCUCCUAUGCCAAACUUUAGAGACCAAAGUUACAUUUUUUUCUUUUAUUCAAACAUAUUUCAUUAAAUUAAAUUUAAUUUACCCAAUUCAAAUAUCGAAAUAUGCUUGCCUACACUAGUAGAUAGAGCAAGUAUUUGUUUGAUUAUUAUUUCACUAUUAUACAUAGUCUACUUUCAUUUGAUUAUUUCAUCUUAUUUUAUCAUCAAGUUUUAAAAUUUUGAUUUUUUUUGUUGGAGUUAAAUCAAGAUUAUUAUUCUUUGUUAAUUCCUAUGCGGUUGGUUCUGGUUUCUUAGUUACAGUUGGUUUCUUAGUUAUGUCAGUUGUGUUUUUAAGUCCUAGUCCAAUUGUAUAAAAGAUUCCCUUUGUGGUUCCGAAGCUAAGUUUUAGGAAACUAGCUGAUCUAUAUAUACCACUACUGGUAGUGUUGUUUAGCACACCGUGAAUUGAGAAGAAUAAGAUUGAUUGGUGCCUCCUAGAGCUCUGCUUGUUUCCGUCUCUUGUCGUUGCUUUUUCCUGCGAUUUUCGUUUCCGCUAUCAUACUUAUUUCUUUGACUUUGAGAUUUGUCUUGAUUUGUUUUAUCCUGUGGGUUAGAUUCCUACAAAGUGGCAUCAGAGCUUUGCUUGAGGUCCUGAGAAAUUAAAAUAUGGAUCCAAAUUAUUUGCACAAUUGUCACAUUUUUUAUCUUCGAUGGUAAAAACGAUUUUGAGGCUUGGAGGUCGAUGAUGAAGAAUUUUUUCCAAAAUAUUGUCGAGAUAGGAUAUACGGAAUCGGUAAUAGGUAUAGAAGUAUCAAGCGAUGCAGUUAAAAAAUUAGAGAGAAAUAGACAGUUGAAUUGCCAGGCAAUGUACUAUCUUAACACUCAAGUCCAGUUGCAUGUUGCAAAAAAAUUUAUGCAUGCAAAGUCGGCAAAAGAGGUUUGGACAAUUUUAGUGAACUCAAAUCGAGGUGCUGCUAACGUGAGAAAAAUAAAAUUGCAAGAACUUAGGAGACAAUUUGAGUUGGCCUAGAUGAAAUCCACGGAGUCAAUUAAAUAUUUUAUUGGUACAAUUAAAGAAAUUGUCAAUGAUAUGGAGUCCAAUGGUGAGAAUUUGGAAGAGGUUAGAGUUGUUGAAAAAGUUCUGAGAUCUCUAACUACCAAAUUUCACACCAAGAAGACGGUCCUUGAAGCCACAAAGGACCUUGACAAUUUGUCACUUGCUGAAUUGGAAGGUGAAUUGCUGACUUAUGAGAUGUCCCUGAAUCAGUAGCCAUUGGAUACAAAAGAGAAAGUGUUACAAGCCAAAGUGGAUCACCCAAAAGGAAAAGAGGAAGUGAAUCAUAUGGACACAAAUCAAAAGGGCUAGAACUUCAGAGGUAGAGGACGUGGAGGCAAAGGUAACUUUCGUGGUCGUGGAAGAGGUAAUUAAUCUUACCAACCCAGAAAUAAUUCUAAUAGGGAUCAGAAAAACAAUCACAGCAAAGUCAAAGAAAUAAUUUUCAAAUGCGUGAUAGAUCUAAUGUCCAAUGUUAUAAUUGUGAUAAAAUUGAUCAUUAUCAGAAUGAAUGUUGGUCCAAUAAAGAGAUGCAUGCUAAAGUGGCUGAAAAUAGUAGUGAUAGAGAGAAGACCUUGCUGUUUUGUAGUUCUACAUCUGAAGAGUCUAUGAAGAAUGAUUAGUUUAUUGAUUCUGGUUGUAGUAAUCAUAUGUGUGGUAAAAAAAAGAGAUGUUUUCUGACCUGGAUGAAUCUUUUCAUACAUCUGUGAGAUUUGGAAACAAGGAAAAAGUACCUAUCCUUGGAAAAAGAAAAAUUAGAAUUAUCUUGCAAGAUGGGUUUUCAAAUUAUAUUUCUGAUGUUUUCUAUGUGCCAAGUUUAUAUCAUAAUUUGUUGAGUUUGGGACAACUAUCUGAGAAAAGUUACGAUCUGCAUCUUAAAUAUGGUGAUGGCACCAUAAGUGAUGAGAAAUUGGGAUUAAUUGCCAUGAUAAAAAUGAACCGUAGUCGUUUGUGACCUCUUUCUCUUAACUGUGGUGAUUUACCUUAUUGUAAUUCCAUGACUUGUGAUGAUUCUUGGUUAUGGCAUAUGAGUUUUAGGCAUUUGAAUUUUGGGAGUUUGAAAUUUCUUGAAAGAAAGAAAUUAGUUAUUGGGUUGCUUUCUGUUGAGUUUCUUGAUAACAAGUGUGAGUCUUGUAUUUUGGAAAAGAAACACAGGGAUCCUUUUCCAAAAGGCAAGGCUUGGAGAGCCCAUCGACCGCUUGAACUGAUUCAUUCAGAUUUAUGCUUAGUUGAAGUUCCUUCCAAUGGUGGUAGUAAGUAUUUUAUUACCUUCAUUGAUGAUUUCAGUAGGAAGACAUGGGUGAAUUUUUUAAGAAAUAAAUCUGAUGCAUGUGAUGUGCUUAAAAAGUUCAAAUAUUAUGUAAAGAAGUAGAGUGGCUACUUUAUUAAAAUUUUGAGAACUAAUAGAGGCACUGAGUAUCUUGUUUGUGAUGACUAUUUGGUGGAAAGUGGUAUAAAACAUCAAAUGACAGCCAGAUAUACACCUCAACAAAAUAGUGUGGCAGAAAGGAAGAAUAGGACUGUGAUGGACAUGGUGAGAUCAAUGAUGCAAUCCAAAGGUAUUCCUAAAUCCCUUUGGGUAGAAGCAAUAUCUUGUGCUAUUUAUGUUUUGAACGGGUGUCCUACUAGAUGUAAUUUUGGAAAGACUCCACAAAUAAUUUGGACUAGUAUGAAACCGGAUAUUUCUUACUUCAAGGUAUUUGGCUAUCUUGCGUAUGCGCAUGUUCCAGAUCAUUUGAGAAAGAAAUUGGAUGAUAAAGCAGAGAAGUAUAUUUUUAUUGGAUAUAGUCAUGAGACUAAGGAGUAUAAGUUAUUCAAUUCAAACACAAGAAAGGUGAUUGUUAGCAGAGAUGUAACUUUUGAUGAACAUGGAAUCUGGGAUUGGUCUAGAAAAGAUCCUGAGACAUCGCCAAAAUAUUCAUUCAUUUCUCCCAUUAUGGGACCGAGUACUAGUAAGCAAGUAGUGGAGCAAGUUGUGCACUCUUAUGGUGAUCCCUCAACUUCUACUAUUCAGGUUGAGACAUCUAGCCGACCAUGUGAGACCCCGGUCAGUUCUUAAGUUUGAUAUUAGGUGAUAUUCAUUAUUUGUGUGGUAAAAUUUGGGGUUUUAGGGUUAAUUAGAAAACCCUGAAUUGGGGUUAGGAUUGAAACCCUAGUUUUUGUAUUAAUCAUCAGUUCGAGUGGUUAUUAAAGUUAGUUAUGCUAGUGUGUGUGUUUUCGUGCGGGUAAGUAUAGGAUUUGAUCCAUUUUAUAUUGGUUAAGUAAGUUUAAAAGGUAGAUAACCUCAGACUAGUAAACCCUCUAGUGUUCCAAUAGAUUAGAAAGCUUAAGUUGGGUUAAAACCCUAAUUUUGCCAAUGUUAUAAAGGUUGUUGUUUAAUUGUUUUUAUUAUGGAGAAAGUAUGAUUAAGUGUAGAUGAUUAAGUUUGUGAGAUAACUGGCCAGUGAGGGUGAUAAAGUGUUAGGUGGAAGCACAAGUGGAGUUCUACGGAUUUUAAUUGUGGUCGAUGGAGUGUCGGCAGGAGGUCACGCAUGGCAAACGACUUGGCUUUGGAGCCAACUCGUGUCCUACCAUUGUGAUGUUACAAUUCUAUACUGAUGUGAAAUUUUUGGAUUUAUAUGUUUAUUCAAAUAUGCAAUUUACGAUUUUACCCCUGUUUACUUACUAAGCAUAUAGUUUACCCCGUUUCCUUUUUUUUCCUUAGCAGGGGACGACACGGGGAACUCCUUAGCACAUUCACUAGUAUAGUUAGGUUUGCUUGUAAUAGUUGGACAAUUAAGAUGGUUGUUUUUGUUUUGGUGGUUUGUAUAAGAACCCUCCUUAGGGUCUACUUUCUGCUAGUUGUUAUCAUAAUGUAAUGUAGUGGCUUGACUAACUGAUUUUGGGGAUGUAAAUAGAACUCUUUUGGAGUUGGCUAUAUUGUGAAUAGUACGCUUUUGGUUUAUCUAGUUUUUAUUGCUUUGAAAUUUCGAGUUCUGGAGCGAGUUAGGCAGGCCUCCCUCCGAUAUCCUAGGGUUCGCCCUUGGGAGAAACGGGGGCGUCACAGACCACAAAGAGAGCGCCGCAUGCCAGCUCAAUUUGAUGAUUAUGUUGUUGGCAAAGAUGAUGAUUUAACUGAUGAAGCAAUUGUGAAUUUUGCUCUUUUUAUAGAUUGUGAUCCUGUCUCAUUUGAAGAAGCUGUCAAAGAUGAUCGUUGGGUUCGUAUAAUAGAUGAAAAAAUUCAUGCCAUUGAGAAAAAUGAUACAUGAGAGUUGGCCACUAUCCCACCUCAAAAAAAGCCAAUUGGAGUGAAAUGGGUAUAUAAGACCAAGUAUAAGCUAACAGAAGAGGUGGAUCGUUUCAAAGCGAGAUUGGUUGUCAAAGACUACAAGCAGAAGGCAGAUAUUGAUUAUUUUGAAAUUUUUGCACCAGUUACCAGACUUGAUACGGUUCGUAUGAUUGUAUCACUUGCUGCAAAUAAUUGCUGAAAAAUUCAUCAAAUGGAUGUGAAAUCCGCAUUUUUAAAUGGUUUUCUUGAAAAAGAGAUAUAUGCUGAGCAGCCUGCAGGUUAUGUUAGAAAGGGUUAAGAAGACAAAGUAUAUAGAUUGAAAAAGGCAUUAUAUGGUUUGAAACAAGCUCUCAAAUGGAGUUGGUUGCAUUAGUAGAUACAUUCAAGGUACGCAAUCUGAUGGUAUAUUUUAUUCAUCUUCACAUGGUAGCAACCUUGUUAGAUAUACAAACAGUGAUUGGGCUGGUGAUACAAUACAAAGGAGGAGCACUUCUGGUUAUGUAUUUUAUUUGGGAUCUAGUGUAUUCUCUUGGUCUAGAUAUGUACGUCGGGUAGGAAUCUCAAAUGUGGAUGAUUUACUCUUGGGACCGGCCGACUUGAGUUGUGAAUUAUCUUAUUUUCGGAUUCUUGUAUCCGAAUACAAAAUAUUUAUACAUUGGUGUAUUUGCAAAUUGACAGGAGUUAGUAUAUUACAUUAUGAUGUGAAUAGAAAUCGUGAUUAAAUUUGGGGAAGGAGAAUCGAACUAAGGCUAGCUUUUGAGAGUUAAAGGUAAAAGGCAAUAGUGAGAUCUUGAAGAUUAGUGCAAAUCCCCCAUCUUAAGGUGAAUAACUUUACUAGCCUUUCAAUAGUAAAUGAAUUAUAAAUUAUCUAUUGCCUAAAAUGUGGUUUUCAGACCUGAAAUUUAAGUGAAAUAAUAGUUCAAGUAAGGAUUCUAGAGUUGUAAACUAAUGUGAUAGAGGAGCAAGAGUGAACUAACAUAAUGCAUGAUCAAUUGCAGGAGACUAAAGACCGCCUUAUUAGGGUACCAAGAUAGGCAAGGGAUAAAAUUGAAGGGAUUUUGGCAGAAUGUAGGUUGUGAUUGAAGAGAUUGUGGGAAUGAAUUUGGAUAGGAAAAAACCCAAAAGAAAAAGCUCUUAGGGUUGAAAAUAAAUUUGAACCAACUAAAGAGACUGGAUCUGCCAGCUCUAUUAUGGACUGACCCAAUAAAUCACUUGAUUAAAACUUUUGUAUGGAUGAUUGAGUUGGAACUUUGUCAUGUUUUUAUGGAUACUGAAUGUACUUAUACUAAAGACUUGUUUGACUUCUUAUUAAAGUGUAUUUCAGCUUGAUAUAUAUUACAAUUGACCUUGUUAUGUGGCAUAAUUUAAUUGAUCAUGAAUUGCUUAAUAGUAAUGAUAUAUGUGGAGUGAAUGUGUUUCUGGGUUACAGUUGAAGUAUAAAUUAAAGUAGUUGAAUUUUAUAUACUUGAGGAAGUAGUCGAUACAACACUUAAAUUGGAAAGGAGAAAAUGCUAAGACCAAAUUUCUUUUGUUAAGGUUUUGUGGAAAACAUGAAUGAUUAGACGAAAUGAUGUGGAAAUGGAAGAUAAAAUAUGGAAAGAAUACUCAGAACUUUUUACAAUUAAAAGUGUGAAAUUUCGAGGACGAAAUUUUCUUAAGGAGGGAAGCAUGUGAAAUAAACAACAAGUGGUUGCUUUGUCCACAACAGAAUCAGAGUACAUGGUAACUACAAGUAGUGCUACUCAAGCACUUUGGUUGCGGAGAAUGCUUGGAUUCUUACAACACAAGCAAGAUGGUCCUACCAAAAUAUUUUGUGAUAGCAUGUCUGCUAUUGACUUGACAAAAAAUCUAGUUUUUCAUGGACGCAGCAAAUAUAUUGACAUCAAAUAUCAUUUUAUUCGAGAGUUGGUUCGAGAGCAAGAAAUUGCUAUUGAUUAUUGCAGAAGUGAAGAUCAAGUUGCUGACAUUUUGACAAAGCCGCUCAAGUUGGAGAUGUUCAUGAAAUUGAAGACAAUGCUCGGCAUGGUGAAAUUUGAAGAUCUUAAUUUAAGGGAGGUAAUGUUGGAGUUAAAUCAAAAUUAUUAUUAUUUGUUAAUUCCUAUGCGAUUGGUUCUAGUUUCUUAGUUAUAGUUGGUUUCUUAGUUAUGUCGGUAGUGUUUUUAAGUCCUAGUCCAAUUGUAGAAAAGAUUGAAGGUAAGUUUUAGGAAACUAGCUAAUCUAUAUACACCACUACUGGUAGUCAUUUUUUAGCGCGCCGUGAGUUGAGAAGAAUAAGAUUGACUGGUGCCUCCUAGAGCUUUGCUUGUAGGGGUGGGCAAAAUUAUCCGCUAACCUGAAAACAUGUCAUAUCCGAUCCGAUCCGAUCCGAAAAUUAGGAUAUCCAAUUUUUAUUAUUUGAUCGGAUCAAAAGAGGAUCGGAUAUCUGCUAAGAUGCGGGACGGGUUAGACUCACAUAAUUAAAAACCCGCGGGUACCCGAUUCGCCCCGCAUAUUUAUAUUUUUUUAUUUUUAUACACACACUAUAAAAUAAUAAGUUAGAACUAAAUAAGUAAUCCUAUUGAACAAAUUGCAUUAAAAAUAUGAGAGAUUAUAGUUUAUCUACAAGAUUCAUUUGUAGAGACCAUGAUCUUGUAUUUUAUGAAAAAAAGUAAUUAAUGCGGAACAUAUAUAUUAAAAAUUGUGCUAUUUAUUUCAAAUUUUUAUUGAUUUUGAAUUCUUUUAAUUGUUUUACUUUAUCUUAUAUUCUCUUCACAUGUUUAUUUCUUGGUGAAAAACCUUUUUUUGGAAAAAAAUUAUUAAAUCUUAGAUGAAUGUGUAAAAUAUAAAAUUAAAUUGGUAUAAAUUAUUUUUUUUAAAUUAAAUGAUAAAUGAAACGGGACGGAUACCCGCUUACCCGAUUAUAGGGUACCCGCUGAUAUGCAGGACGGGUAAGGGUCAGAAAAUGGCUGACCCGUAAAGUGAGGGUCGAGUCAGCCAAAUGGUGAAUAGGACGGGUACCCGACCCGCACCCACCUCUAUCUGCUUAUUUCCGUCUCUUGUCGUUGCUUUUUCUUUUGGUUGUCGUUUCGCUGUCAUACUUAUUUCUUUGACUUUGAUAUUUGUCUUGAUUUGUUUUAUCCCGUGGGUUAGAUUUCUACAUUUUUGUUUUUAUAUUCUUCUUCAGUAUCUCCGAAAGGUGUCAGCAUCCCACCGUAAACCCUAAACCCUGUGUCUCUCCCCUCUGGCUCGCCCUUCAAAUUUCAAUACGUCAUUCCCCAAAAACUACUUAAAAAAUACGAGAAAGAACCCAAGAAAAGAAAAACAAGCUCUGCACCGAAUCCCAAUUCCAGCCAAUUAUCAGCAGUAUUCCUGAUGAUAUUUUGCUUGAAAUAUUCACGAGGCUUCCGGUCAGAUCCCUGAUGAGGCUCAGCUGCGUUUCAACAUCUUGGCAUUCCUUGAUCUCUAGCCCCGAUCUCGUUAAAUCCCAUCACAAAAGAUUGACGGAAGACAAGGAAAACGAGCAUCGCAGGAACAUGUUCGUUAAGGUUGAGAGGCAAAUUAGUAUGAGGCUCGGGCUCAACCUUAGGCUCGAGCAGUUUGAGUGUUCUCUUCACAGUGCUUUUUCCUGUGCGGUACCCGAGAAAAUUGAGGUAACCAACAACUGCGUUAUUAGUUUUCCUGCAGAACGCUACGGCUUUAGUACAUUUAAGAUUGUGGGUUCUUGUUAUGGGUUGGUUUUGAUCAUGGUUGAUGAAGAAAUUAUGUUGUUGUGGAAUCCAGCUACAAGAAAAUAUAGAAAGUUGCCUGUGAUGGUAUCAAACAGUAACUAGGCAACAGACCAACCCCAAUGGACUGAUUUAUGAGACUAGUGCAGAACAAGAUUGAAUAACAGGAAGAAUCAAUAACGAAUGGAUGAAUAACUAAUGAACUGAUAGUGAUAUUGAUCAAAUAAGUAGAUUACAGAAUUGGCGGAAAGAAGAAAGGAAAUGACAGAAUGAAGGAAAACAGAAAGAGAAAAGGCUCAGGAAAUGAUCCCUUACAAUCAGCUAACAAAUCUUACUUUCUGCUUCUGAUCCUAUCCAUAUAUAUAAGCUAGCUAACAACUAACUUCCUUGGCAUUUUAUAACCCAACUUGGCCAUGUGAGUGGUUACGGAAUCUGUUGCAAAACCACUUGCUUGAGAGCUCAUGCUGAUUGAGCUGGUUUCCAGCAAAGGCGUGUUUGCUGAUUCUGCGCCUUUGAUUCUCUGCUUCUUUGUCCUUCACGUCUUCUAUCUUACUAAAACGUGAUAAGGAAUUUCACGUCUUCGAUUGAUCUUAAGCUACUUAAUAAAGGCGUGAUACUUAGGUUCACGCUUUCAGCUUGCUAACUUCUAUUCCAUGACAAUUGCUCCUCCUUCAAUCAAUCUUGUCCUCAAGAUUGAAAUUCAGGGAACUCCUUCCUGAUUCUCUCUGCAUCUUCCCAAGUAGCUUCAGCAGGGGUGGUUCCCUACCAGUGGAUGAGCCACUGUACUACUGCUGCAUUCCUUUUUCUGAUGCUCCUUUGAUCCAGAAUGGCUAUUGGAGCCACCCUUAAAUGCCCCUUCUCAUCCAGGUUUGGUAGCUGGGGAGCAAGAGUUGCCUUCUCCCCAACCUUUUUCUUCAAUAACGACACAUGGAACACAGGGUGGAUUCUGGACCCUUCUGGCAGCUUGAGUUUAUAAGCUACUUCUCCUAUUUUCUGGAUCACCUGGUAGGGACCAAAGUAUUCAGCAAACAGCUUGGUGUUGUUCCUUAGUUCUACAGACAUUUGUCGAUAUGGCUGCAACCUCAAGUGAACCCAGUCUCCCACAAUGAAUGACCUUUCACUUCUGCUUUGAUCAGCAUAGAAUUUCAUCCUGUCCUGAGCUUCCUGUAAGUUCCUUUUGAGUAUUUCAUCCAUCCUCUGUCGCUCCUUCAAAUGAUCUUCUACGAUGGCUACUUUAGAGUGAGAGUAGGGUCCUAGUGCCAACUGUGGGGGGGCCAUUCCGUAUAGAGCCUCGAAUGGACUCAUCUGGAUAGCUGUGUGAUAGGUAGUGUUAUACCACCACUCAGCAAGGGAGAGCCAUGCACUCCACCUCUUUGGCUCUAAGUGUGUCAUACACCUUAAGUACAUUUAUAGCACUUGAUUUACCCGUUCAGACUGGCCAUCUGUUUGGGGGUUGUAGACACCAAAUUUUUGUCAAUUUUUAAUGUUUUCCUGAAUUUUUAUCUAUUUAAUAAGUUAUCUAUUAUUAUUAUUAUUAUUAAUGUGUAAUUUUCUCAUUUUUGCAGGUUUAUUUUAGAAAAGAAAAAGAGAGAAAAAAAAACAACAAAACAAAAACAAACAAAAAAGGGAGAAAAGUUAAAAACAAAAAAAAAAUCAAAAAAUCAAAAAAAUCAAAAAUCAAAUCAAAAUCAAAUUAUUACUAAACUUACACAUUUUCAUCAUUUUCUCUACCAAAACCCCUAUUAACCCAUUCUACACUCAACUCCCACGGGCUUUUCUUUUCAUUUGGCAGAAGCCAUCAUUUGGAAAAAAACCAAACCCAUUUGACUCCUUCUUAGCCAUGAGUUUUUUGCUCUGCCAACACUCAACAUUUGCAGAGGAGAAAACACGCACAAAAAGCUAAUUUGGCGACCCAUUUUACUCACUCGGCUCUCUCUGGAAAAAUCAGACAGGCCACAAAGAAAAAAAAUUCCCAACUCCCUCUCAAUAUACAUCCCUCGGCCCUUUCUUUGACUCUCACCAGAAAACACACAAGAACAAAGCUCCCCAUUUUGGCCUUCCUUAAGCUCUCAACGGACAGAAAAGGAUAGACGAAGGAAACUUUGGGAGCCAGGGAGAUACGCUCAAGGUGUGGAAAUUGUAUCAAACAUUUUGGUUAAGGAACUACCACCUACAUUGAGGUAUUUUCUAGUUUUCUUUCUACCAUAUUACAAUCCAUGUUUCAAUGUCUAGUUUCUCUUGUUUUGCUGUUUUAUUAUUAUUAUUAUUAUUGUUGUGGUUGCAUAUUAAUUUUUCUUGUUUGCUGGUUUGUAUUGUUGUUGUUGCAUUGCUGAAAUUUGGGAAAAGGCAUGAACUAGAUGAGGGAAAAGGAAAUGAUGUCUGUGAAUGCAUAUUAAUUGUUUGAAAAAAUGCCAAAAAGAUUUUUAGGGACUGUUUUGCCUUAAUGUAGUCUUUUGUUAUUGUUUUCUGGUUAGUUAAAAUCAUAGUUGUAUUGUAGAGGUUAUAAGGAGUAUUGUAAUAUAUUUUUUAUGAUUUUUGGUGAAAGAUUUGGGUGUUUUGAAAAAUAAAAACUGGACUGUAUUUUUGACAUUUUGGCCACUUUCAGACCAUCUUUUGUAAAAACUAACUCCGAAAAUGGAGUCUACUCGAAAAAUCGAGUGAAGGGGUGUAUUUUGAGAAAUUUUGAUCACCGGAAAGGUCGCCGGCGGUGGCGGUCCGGUGGCGGCGGCGCCACCGGCGGCCACCAUGGCUGCCAGCUGAAGCUUCUUCGGUUAGCCGAAGAAGAAGGAAAGGAAACGUAUGGGGAAGAAAAGAGAAAGAAAAGAAAGAAAAGAAAAGAAAGAAAAAAGGGGAUUGGGCUAAUGUUUAUUUUUCGUUGGGCCAAGAGCUAGUCUUGUUAGGUUUUGGGGCUGGGCUUUGGUUGAUGUUUCUUUUGGGUUUCGGUUGGGCUAGGAGGUUGGAGCCCACGUGUUUUGGCUGGGUUUGAGUGAUAGAAGACGGGCUGGCCUGUGUGUUUUGGCUUGGACUUUCGGAUGGGCUUAGGUAGUUUUCGGCCCAAAGAAAUAAAUAAUGGCCCAGUGGCCUGUUUUCUUAAGAAGAUCUGAUAACGAAUUUGCAUUUUAGCCCCUGAUCUUUGGAGUAGUUUCGUUUCGGCCCAUAACAUUUUAAAUUCUUUUCAACUCGGUCCUUAUAGUAAUUGCACUUUGGUCCCUGAUUUUUAUCUUUCAUUUAAUUUUGACCUCUAAACUUUGAAAAAUACAAUUUUUGUCCCUCAAAAGUUUUCAAUUUUUGCAAUUCAGUCCUUGACAAAUUUUGACUCUUUUUUAUUGUGAUUGCUUCUUUUCUUUAAAAGCUAAUGAUGUUACUUUUGAAUAUAUUUAACUUGCAAUUUUUAGAUGUUCUUAAAUUUCUUUGCGUUUGACAUGUUAAUGUGAAUUUAGUAUUUUAACAUUAUUAUCAUUUGCAAUUAAAGUGGUGCCAUGAUUCUUUUGUUCAUUGUGAGUAUAAAUAGGAUAAUUUGACUCCACUUAGUCACCACUUCAAACGGGAGGUACUCCUAUUUUAUUAUUUCAAUGUCAAUUACGUGUUCUUAUGUGCUCCUAUGUGCUCCUAUGUGUUUAUAUAUUUUUAUAUGCUUUAUUUAUUUGAUUUAAAUAUUCAUUCAAAUUUUCUUAUAUAUGUUUUAGUUAGUUUUUAUAAUGAUUCGAGAGGUAUUUAAAUACCUCAAAAAUGUAAUAGAUAGGAUAAUUAGAUUUGUUUUAUUAUAUUUUCCCUUCCUAGAUUGUGGUUAGGCGCUCCUCGAUGUAAUAGAUAGGUUGCGUGUUUAUGUGGCUUAUGUGUUAAUUGUUUUAUCCGCUUUUCUUAGGAUUUUGGCAUCUAGAUAUUAUGCUUACGUGUUAUGUGUUACGUGCUCUUAUGUGUUUAUUUGUUUUAAUUUAUGCUUUAUUUGCUUCACUAUGAAUUGUUAAUGCAUAACGUCACCACACUAGUCCAACGCUAGUUGUGGCUUCUCUCUUCGCUUACUUGCUAGUCCAACGCUAGUAAGGACUAUUAGAAAUGGGCUAGUCCAACGCUAGACCCUUUAGGUUGUCUUGCGCUAGAUUCAUCUUUGUGUGCUAUUCACUACAUUUUCAUGCAAUAUUUUCAUUUUUAAGAUCUUUUCUCAUUUGCAUGAUAUUCCCUAUUAUAUUAUCCCUUAUCCUCUAUAUGUGUUAAUCAUAUCAUUUAGAAUUGCAUUUCAUUUAGAACAUUGUAUAAUAGGUUAGUUCAUUUGCUUGUGCAUAUUAGGAGAAUUAUUUUUCAAACAUGGGAAAUGGGUGAUUAUAACUUUUUAGUUCAAAUACCCCAUUAAUCCCUGUAUAAGAAAAUUAUGUCACGAGUUUUUGCCUCCCAUACCCUUUAUGUUGCAUUCCCUUUUUCUUUGAUCACUUAUAUCUAUGUAUAUAAUUUAAUUUACUUUCUUUACUUUUCUUUUUUUCAUCAUUUGCAUACUCGUGACCCUUUCAAGGAAAUAUUUUGGCUUUCGCAAUUAAUGCGAUUGUUUCAAUUAAACCUUUGAAUGGAUAUUUUGACCCUUUCGAUAUUUUAUAAAUUUAAAUUUGCAUUCAUGUAGGAAACAUCCAAAUAUGAUAAAAUUAAGGGUUAGAUUAGGAAGAUUUUGACUAAAUCUCGCGACUAGCUUAGACUAGGUUGAAAGGGUGCCUUAGGUUUGAGUCAAUUGAACCUUUGCCUUCCCUUUCUUCAACCGUGACUCCCGAACCCAUUUUCUCUUGUUUUCAAUGACCUGGAGUUGUCAAAAAAGGUUUUGAUUUAUUUUAUUUUUGUCAAAAAAUAUUUUUGGGUGACUUGGUACACCAAAACACCAUACCAAGUGGCGACUCCUAUUUUUUCUAAAAAGCCCUUUUAGACUGAAUUUUUGGACCCAAAUUGUCGCAUUCUUUUAAGUCCCAUUCUAGGUCCUUUUUAAUUUAUUAUUAAUAAAUCACAUCUUUUUAUAAAACUCUUUUUCUUUUCCAUCGCGAAAAAUGGGGCGCGACAACUUGGCGACUCCACUGGGGACCUAAGAGAGUCCAAGCACUUGGUUUAGUCGUCUUUUUCUCUUUUUAACCCUUAUAUUUAUCAUAUUUGGAUGUUUUAGGUUGCAUUUUUCUCUUUUAGGAUAUUUUGCAUUUCACCCUCGUAUUCGUUUAUCGUUCCUCGUAUAUGUGAUGAAUGAUUUAUUUAUUUACUUUUGUUUAUUUACUUAUAUGUAUCGCGCUUUGCAUUUGGGGGUGGGAAAUAUUACCCUAGAGCUUCGCAUUGGUUAUCGAUCCCUCCCCUCCAAAAUGAGCACUGGCAUACGUGCAUACGUUUUAUUUUUUAUCCCUUAUUUAUUUUUCUUUUAGUGGCUUGUCACGCCACUCCACCCUACUAGGAUUUUAGGCGACCCACUUGGACAUGUGAUCGUAUCACGACGUGUGCGUAGCAUGAUCCGAGGGGUCACUCGAUCUUCCGCUUCAAACUUUAGGUUGAUGACCUAUUAGUUUUUAGUCGAAGGUUGAGGAUUCUUUUUAGAUUCGCCCAGACGGGUAGCCGUAACACGACGUGUGCGUAGCAACGUCUGGGGAAUCGCUCGAGCCACCGACAAGGAACCUUGGGAGUGAUGACCCUUGGUUUCUAAGUCUGAAGGCUCGGGGACCUAUGACUUAUCGAGUCUAGAUGCAUUAGUGAACCCUAACCUCAUGCAUCCAUUUUAGCUUGCCUAGGGUAGAGUCGACCUUACCCUAUUAGGGACACUAUUCACGAGGGGAGGGGUCCAACCCUUUUCCUCUUUUUAUUGCUUUAUUUCCUUGUGUUGAUUCCGUUGCUACAAUGUGUUAUGUGUAUUUAUCUGUUUAAACUAACUUUUCUUGGUUUUUGUGUCCCCAUUGCAUUCACAAACCCUUAGCAAAUAAGAGGUCUGACAUGACCUUCUUUUAGAAGCCCACCCUUGUAGAUAGGUUAUCGCACGUUUGAAAAUUGUGAUGCAUUUUGUUCAUAAAUUCAUAAUGUUAUACCAUUUUAGGCUUACCCUGGCAAACAAAGGGCUCCUUAGGUCACGUCUCAUUUCAAAUCGCAUUUUUCCCUGCUUUGAUAAGAAUGGCAUCAUGCAUAAGCCUUAGAAAGGGAAUGCCUCUUAGGGAAUCCCACAUUAGGGACAGGCCAACCUAAAUCCCGUGGGUAUUUAACCCAAUUUUUGGGAUUUGCACGUUUAAAUUCCUGUUAACCAGAGAAAUGGGACCUGUAGGUAAGGUAUUUAACUCCGGUUUUGGUUUCUAGAUGGAAAGCCCUCGCCGAGUGCAACAGAUGUUAGUAGUGCCGCCAGAGGUACAAAGAUGGCCCACGUUACUCUCACCCAAUGAGGUUAACCAAAUAGCCGAUCGAUUAGGACACAUCGGGGAUUUCAAGAAUAUUAAGUCCGAUGGAUAUUUGGUAGAAGCUUUGGUGCAUCUAUGGGACCCCACUUGUUCUGCUUUUAGAUUUGGAAAAAGGGAGAUGACCAUAACGAUUGAGGAAGUCGCCGGAUUUCUCAAUUUGCCGAUUCAAGGAACUGCCGUGGUAUUGCCACUAGCAUCUAAUAAAGUUGAAUUUUGCCGUUUCACUGGGUUAAAGGAAUCAGUACUACAAGGGGCAGACCAAAAUAUAGAGGCGAAGUUCUUAUUUGAUCGAUUUGCGCUAAGAGAUGGUUUUGAGAGGCAUCGAGGGGACUUCUCGUUUACUUCCAAGGAAACGUGGAAUCGAAAGAGAGUCUGGGUAUACGGUUUAGUCAUGACGGGAACCUUCUUUUUUCCUAGGAAAGAUAAAAAGAUAGCCUUCAAGCUCACUAGAAUCCUGUAUGACUUGUUUCUUGGAAUUAAUGAUAGGCCGUGUUCCAUUAUUCCUACCAUUUUGGCCGACAUCUUCAUAGCCUGCACUACCUGUCAGAAAGGGAAAAAGUUUUUUUGUGGUUCAAAUUUGAUCUUACAUAUAUGGGGAAUGGAGCAUUUCAUGAGACGACCGGCUAUUUCAUCAAGUCUACCAAUGUUCGCAUACAACUGGAUAAUCACACAUCACAAGAGGAUUAAUAGAGACAGUCUGCCGUGCAAUGCAUCUGAGUUUGUGGAUUUCUUGAAGAACGUGACUGAUCAAAAUAUUAGAUGGGUGUUGGAUUGGACCGAUUGUACUAAACCCGUUCUUCGCACCCAAGCAUCCGAAUUCAUUCUCUUACUGGGUACUCAAGGGAUUACUGCCUACGCCCCAAAAAGGUUUCUCAGACAAUUAGGGCGUACCCAAGAAAUACCACCCGUGCUUGACAUGAGCGAAGUCACCAUUAUUUUUAACUGGGGAAUGUGCCCAAAUCAAAUCCCUAUGAAAGAUCGGAUUAUUGACGCCUGGGUGACGCUAUCUAAUGACGUGAGUUUUAGAUACAUCCCAGAGCUCAAGCAGAAGGGUUUGACGACUUCACAAUACGAAGACUGGGUAGGAGGAUCCGCUGCGCAAGAAAUUCAAGAUGAGCCAUCUGAGGAGGUGAAAAUGUUGAAAGCCAUUAUCGAAGCAAAGGAUAAGGAAAUUCUGCAGUUAAGUAAGUCUGCCGAAGCAUACAAAGGGAUGGCCGAGCAAAGCAAGCAAUUGUAUGAAAAUGAACGAGGAAGGCGUCAAGAGCUGAAAAGGAAAUGUGCAGAAUUAUAUGACCAAACUGAAUGUGUUAGAAUUUCAUAUGCUAGGGAAACAAAGGACUCUGUAUUAGAUAGGUUCAGAAGCUUUGGCAAUCUUGUACGGAAUCGUCUUCGUGACAUGAUGUAAAUAUUGGCAAGUUUAUCAAUGAAAAUGAUUUUUCUUCUGCUCUCAUUUUGGAUUAUUGUCAAAAACAGGUUUGUAUUACGGGUCCCAUUUCGAAGGUGUUGCAUCAUGCUAGGCCUACCCUUGGCACAAAAAGGGCUCCCCCAUAGGACAUGCAUCCGAAUUAUUUAAAUAUUUACUAAUUCGUGUUUUUUUUCUUUUCCUUUUUCUUGAAUAAAUUACAGCAAUUUGACAGAGAAUUCAAUUCUAAAUCAGUUUCUUUUCUCCACUAUCAGGUAUUUUUCACAAUUGCUACCCAAAGAAGCCCCAUCAUCACCAGGUCCCGAAGUAGAGCCUUGAGACAGUCUGUAAACAUGAGUUCAGUUCCUGAAGCUUCGGAAAGAUCUGCUAUGGUUACAUCACCGGACUUCACAGCAUUGGGAGCUCAGUUAAGUGAGGUACUUGGCAAGUUCAAUGAAUUAAGUGCUGAAAUAGCCGCACAGAAGCGUGUAAUUGAUCAGUUGGUCGCAAGCAACAAUGGUGGUGGUGUCCCAAACGACCAAGAACCUAUCGAUAAUCACCCACCUGCACAAGACUAUCAACCACCCCACACAUCCAAUACCCAAACACCUUUCUUUCCUCCUUUCGCUAACCCCGUUGAAAAUACCUUUGCCCGAUUAAACUCAGACUUUUCCUAUAUGCAUCCGAAUUAUGUAUUGGUGAACCCAACCAGUAGUCAAAUCCCUCAAACUCAUCCACAAACCAAUCUGAACAUUCCUCCCAACCCUCAGGGACCGCACCACCACAUUCCGGAGCCUUUUGUAAUGGAUACGGCAUCUCAAGGGAAGGCGGCAAUAGAAGAACAACAUACACCCGUUGAUAAAGACCUGUUAAGAAGGUUGGAUCGAUUCGAUGAUUUUAUGAGAAAGAAUCAAGGAUUGAGCAGGCAUGGUGGGUUAGAUUACGAUGAAUUGUGUCUUUUCCCGGAUAUUCAGCUACCAUUGGGAUUCAAAACCCCUAAAUUCAGCAAGUAUGAUGGAACUGGAAAUCCAAAGACGCACCUCAAGAUGUUUGCCAACAAGUUAGGUAAACCUGUGGAUGAUGAGAAUUUGCCUAUGCGUCUAUUUCCGGAAAGCUUGGAGGGAGAUGCUCUAGAUUGGUAUUCAAAUUUGAAGUCUGGAGAAGUCAAGACCUGGUUGGAUCUAUCAACUGCUUUUGUGAAGCAGUAUGAAUUUAACUGUGAGUUGGCACCAACACGAACCACACUGGAGGGUACGAAAAGAAAGCCGUCGGAAGAUCACAAGACCUACGCAAAACGGUGGAGAAAGUUAGCUGCCAAAGUGGAGCCUCCUAUGACUGAGGAGGAGAUUGUUCGUACUUUCAUCAAGGCUCACGAUCCACCCUAUUUUGAAGAGAUCUUCCGCAUGACUGGAAGUCCAUUUGCUGCUAUCAUUAACAAAUUGGAGGAGUAUGAUGAAUUUGUCAAAGCAGGGAAAAUUGUUAAUGUGUCUGCAUUAAAGUUGCAAUUGGAUGCUCUACAGAAUCAAAACAACAAUGGGAAAAGGCCCCAAUUCAAGAAAAAAGAAAGUGAUACUGCUUUUAUAUGGGAUCAAGGCCCGUCUUUCAGACCCAGAAACCAUCCCACCUAUUCCUUUCCUUACCCGUAUUACACCAAUCCUCAACCAGUCUACCACACCACUACCCAAUUCCAUCAUUCCCGGCCAAAUCAUUUGAAUACCUCGCCCUUACCUCCAACUCCACAACCUGUUUUUCAAAAUCACUCUCGUCCCAUUUACCAUUCCAGACCAAUCCUGCAAAACAAUAACCCUCCUCAAAAUCCUUUGCAAACCAGUGGAAUUCAAACUCAGAAGCAAUUUCGAGCCUUCACCAACUUGGGCCGACCUAUUGAUCAGUUGUAUGAGCAAUUAAAAGCAGCUGGGAAAAUUGGCACUGUUCCUCCCAAAAUCUAUCCCAGAGGUCCUCCUGCCGGUUAUGAUCCGCAUGCAAUCUGUGCUUAUCAUUCUGGAAGUCCAGGUCAUACCACUGGCAAUUGUUGGGCUUUAAAACAUAAGAUUCAGGACAUGAUUGACUCUGGAGACAUCCUUCUCAGAAGAAAGGGAGAGCAGGGACCGAAUGUUAGUAAGAAUCCUCUACCUGAGCAUGGGAGCACUGUGGGGGUUAUCAUCGCUGAUGAAGAUUUUAUCGACCCCAGUCAGUACAUCGUAGAUGAAACUGAAGUGUUUGACGUGAUAGAGACUGACCAUGCAGAGAUGAGGAAAAUGCUGUCUGUUGAAAAGUCCAUAACUAAGGAUAAUGCUGAGGAAAAGUUAAAAUCUUUUGUGUUUGAGAAAGAGGAGCCGUUUAUGAUAGAAGGAGGGCCUUCCGAGGCCGACAAUUCUGAAGUUCCUUUUAUUUUGGAUCUACCCUCUUUUGAAUGGGAUAUAUCAGAGCCUGCCAUUCUCGAAUUUCCAGAGCAAAUGCCUGUCAAUAACUUGCAAGAGGUACCAUGGAACUACGAGGAGCCCAGUCUAUUAAUUGGAGGUAAAGAUUGCCUGAAGGAAGAUAUAUCUACUAUUACUAGAUCUGAAAAAAUUGUGGGAAACUCCGAUAUUGAUGUUCAAUCCAGGGCCAAGGUUAAAUCUCCGACACCCAAGCCUCGUGUGUCUGAAAAUGAAGCUGUAGAUUUUCUGAAGAUGCUGAAAAGAAGCGAGUACAAAAUAGUAGAGCAGUUGGAUAGGACGCCUGCUCAGAUUUCCUUUCUGAAUCUUCUCCUGACUUCUGAGCUGCACAGAGAAGCAUUGCUCAAAAUUCUGAACGACGCUCAAGUCCCUAAAGAUAUUCCGGUGGAUAAAUUUUCCAACAUUGUGGGGAACGUACUUGCUGCUAAUCAUAUUAUCUUCUCCGAUGAUGAUCUGACUGCAGAAGGGAUCGGGCAUAACAGAGCUUUGUAUAUAUCAGUCCGUUGCAAUGGAAAGCUGUUGCCGAGGGUUUUAGUGGAUAAUGGGUCAGCGUUGAAUAUCUGUCCAUGGAACACUCUCACCAAGCUUGGAUUUCUUGAUAUUAAACUCCGUCCAUCUGCAACUGUGGUUCGAGGAUUUGAUGGUUCAAGGAGGGAAUCUAUGGGUGAAGCAGAUCUGGUAUUGGAGAUAGGCCCUGCUCAAUUCCAAGUUACUUGCCAAGUCAUGGACUUCUCCAGUGUUUACAACAUUUUACUUGGAAGACCUUGGAUACAUGCUUCCAAUUCAGUGCCAUCUUCUCUGCAUCAAAUGUUGAGAUUUAUUGUGAAUGAUCAGCUCAUUACUGUAUUUGCUGAGGAUGACUGUACCAUGAUCAUUGAUGCAAAAUUCAAAGGUGAAGACAGAAAAGGGACUCCAAUUUCAUCUCAUCAUGUUGCUGACAUAGUCUCUGUAGGAUGGGCAUCUAGGGAUAAGUCGUUGACUUAAUCAGAUUUGCCAGAGGCCAGUAUUAUGAUGGCGAGAGAGAUGAUCCGAGACGGAUAUGAAAUAGGAAGAGGUCUUGGGCAAGAAUUGCAAGGAAUUUUAGAGCCGAUAGAGAUCCCGACGCAAAACGAUACAUUUGGAUUGGGAUUUCAUCCGACUGCUAAGGAUAGGAGGGAAAUGCAAGCUCGAAAACAAGCUGAAAAGAAGGGCAAGCAAAAUCCCUUAAAUGUCCCACCGCUGUAUCACACCUUUCCUCGUCCAGCAGAGAUGAUUAUGUCAGAAACAAAGAAUCCUGUGGAGGAGAUUGAACUGGACCUGUCUCAAUUAUUUGUCGGGGCCACUUGUGAGGAGGAGCCAUCGGAGAAUGCAGAAUUUUUGCCAAUUACCGAAGGAGCUAUUCAGAAUUGGACUGCUGAUUAUCUUCCCUCUCGAAGGGAAUUUCAGUAAAUUUAAGGGGAUUGUCUUUUGUCUAGAUCAUAUCCAGAUAGGACAGUAGUCUGGAUCUUUUGUUAAAAGAAAUUGCUUUCAUCUUUUAAACCUUUAUUCUUGUUUCAGUUAAUAUAGCUUGCUUUGUUCAAGGAAAUUGCUGAAACGAAAAUAAAUGUUUGGGUUAAAUAUGUCUUUAAAUAGCAAUCAUGUCUGUAUAUUUAUCCUUUUGUGAAGUCUCGAUGCAUUUUGAAUUUAAUGAAAUGAAAGACUUCUUUGGUAUUUGCUAUUUAUUCAUUACUUAUGUUCUAUUUUAUUUUCAGAUGGCCACAAAUAAAAUCCUUUGACCCUUUGGAUGUCACCAUUUUGGAAUUCGAUGGCUGCAAUCUCGAUAUCUCUCAUGAAUUUGAAAUCAUGCAAUCUGAAAUUCAAAACGAGAGCGAUACUGAGGAAGAAUUUGAGUCUAUUUCAAGGGAUUUAAAACAGUAUGAAGAGAAACCCAAACCCAACUUAGAAGAAACAGAAAUCAUCAAUAUUGGCACUAAGACGGAGGUUAAAGAAGUUAAAGUCAGCAUUCAUCUGAAUAGGAAACAAAAGGAGGAAAUGAUUGAAUUCUUAAUGUUUUUUCAAGAUGUGUUCGCAUGGUCAUACGAUGAUAUGUCAGGGAUCUCUACGGACAUAGUGGUUCACAGGUUGCCAACCAAUCCAAAUUUUUUACCUGUAAAACAGAAACCACGUAAAUUCAAACCAGAAAUGAGUCUCAAAAUAAAGGAACAAAUUGUGAAGCAGCUCAAUGCUAAGAUAAUCAUGGUGUCUCAUUAUCCCAUCUGGUUAUCGAAUCCUGUGCCAGUGCCUAAGAAAUCUGGGGAGGUGCGAGUGUGUGUUGAUUACAGAGAUCUGAAUAAGGCCAGUCCGAAAGACGAUUUUCCUUUGCCAAACAUUCAUAUUCUUUUGGACAAUACUGCUGGACACGAAAUUGAAUCUUUUGGUGAUUGUUUUGCUGGGUAUCAUCAAAUUUUGAUGGCAGAAGAAGACAGAGAGAAAACCUCUUUUAUCACCCCAUGGGGAACAUUUUGUUAUAGAGUGAUGCCUUUCGGGUUGAAGAACGCUGGAGCCACUUAUCAGAGGACCAUGACUACCCUGUUCCAUGACAUGAUUCACAAAGAGAUGGAGGUUUAUGUGGAUGAUAUCAUAAUUAAAUCCAAGAAGGUUGAGGACCAUUUGGUUGAUUUAAAGAAACUGUUUGAAAGAUUGAGGAAGUAUAAUUUGAAGUUGAACCCUGCGAAAUGUGCUUUUGGAGCUCUGGCUGGUAAAUUAUUGGGUUUUAUUGUUAGUAAAAAGGGUAUAGAGAUAGAUCCUGCAAAAAUAGAAGCAAUUCGAGAUAUGCCCAUUCCAAAAAGUCAAAAAGAUGUGAAGAGUUUUCUUGGAAAGAUCAAUUUUAUUGGCCGAUUCAUUGCACAGUUAACCUCUACCUGUGAGCCUUUGUUCAAACUGUUGAAAAAGAAUGCGCCGAUGGAUUGGAAUGAAGAUUGUCAGCUGGCUUUUGAUAAGAUCAAGAAUUAUUUGUUAAAUCCUCCGGUCUUAGUGCCACCUCAGCCAGGGAGACCUCUGAUUAUGUAUUUGUCUGUUCUUGAUGAGGCUGUCGGAUGCGUUCUGGGACAGCAUGACGAGUCUGGAAGAAAGGAGCAAGCCAUCUACUAUCUGAGCAAGAAAUUUACAGCAUAUGAGCCCAACUAUUCUUUCCUCGAGAGAAGUUGUUGUGCUUUAGCAUGGGCAGCUCAGAAGUUGAGACAUUAUUUGCUUGGUUAUACCACUUACUUGAUUUCCCGUUCUGAUCCUCUAAAAUACCUAUUGGAAAAGUCGAUGCCCACGGGACGUAUGGCUAAGUGGCAAAUGAUCCUUUCCGAGUUCGAUAUUGUCUUCACAACACAAAAGGCAGUCAAGGGUCAAGCCAUAGCAGAUCAUUUGGCAGAAAAUCCAAGAGAUGAUGAUUACCAGCCGUUGCAUACCUACUUUCCUGAUGAAGAAAUUCUGUUCGUUGGAGCAGUUGAGGACAUGAGUGAGCAGUAUCCUGGAUGGAGGUUAUUUUUCGACGGUGCGUCAAACUCUUUUGGAGCUGGAAUUGGAGCAGUUUUAGUGUCGCCUGAAGGGAAACAUUAUCCUGCUACCGCCAAAUUACAGUUUCCUUGUACCAACAACAUGGCUGAGUAUGAAGCCUGUAUUUUUGGAUUGAAAAUGGCAUUGGACAUGGAAAUCAAGGACCUGAUAGCAUUCAGUGAUUCUGAUUUACUUGUGCACCAGACGCUUAAACAGUGGGUAACUCGGGAUUCAAAAAUUAUGUUGUAUCAUUGUAACUUGCUUAGUUUGGCCAGCAAAUUCAGGAAUUUGGAACUCAGACAUAUUCCCCGCACUCGUAAUGCCUUUGCUGAUGCUUUAGCUACUCUGUCUUCAAUGAUCCAACAUCCAGAUGAGCUGGUGAUUGAACCUAUACAGAUCCAACUUCAGAAUGGGCCAGCGCAUUGUCUGGUUACAGAAAGGGUCACUGAUGGUCGCUCUUGGUACAAGGAUGUUAAGGAAUUCAUGAAAACGGGAUCCUACCCUCCUGAUACUGAUUCUGUUGCAAAAAGUUUCUUACGCAGAAUGUCAUCAAGAUUCUUCUUGAAUGGAGAAGUGCUAUACAAGAAAACAUCUGAUUUGGGCCUUUUGAGAUGCAUCAAUGAAGAGGAAGCCGAUUAUAUGAUGAAAGAAGUGCAUAGUGGGGUCUGUGGGCCACACAUGAAUGGGCAUCUACUGGCUAAGAAGAUCAUGAGAACAGGAUAUUUUUGGCUUACCAUGGAGCAUGACUGUGUAGAUUUUGUUAGAAAGUGUGUUAAAUGUCAAAUGCAUGGUGAUGUUAUACGUGCUCCUCCUACGGAAUUGCAUAGUAUGACUGCCCCAUGGCCAUGUUCGAUCUGGGGAAUGGAUGUGAUCGGAACUAUUGAUCCUCCUGCUUCAAAUGGGCAUCGAUUCAUUUUAGUGGCGAUUGAAUAUUUCACCAAGUGGGUUGAGGCCGCGUCCUAUAAGCAUGUGACUAAGAAAGUGGUGGCGGAUUUUUUGAGAAAUAAUAUCAUCUGUCGUUUUGGGGUACCAGAAACGUUGAUCACUGAUAAUGCCAAAAACCUCAACAAUGAUAUGGUGGAUGGAUUAUGUGAACAGUUCAAGAUCAGACAUCAAAAUUCUGCUAUUUAUAGGCCUCAGAUGAAUGGAGCCGUUGAAGCUGCAAAUAAAAAUUUGAAAAAGAUUAUACGUAAGAUGACUGAAGCACACCGGGAUUGGCAUGAGAAGCUGCCUUAUGCACUAAUGGCAUACAGAACUACCAUCAGAACUUCUACUGGUGCAACUCCUUACUCUCUUAUGUAUGGAAUGGAAGCAGUCCUGCCUGCAGAAGUUGAAAUUCCUUCCUUGCGCAUUCUGAUGGAAGCUCAGAUAAAAGAAGCUGAAUGGGUCAGAGAACGUCAGGAGCAGUUGUCUCUGAUUGAUGAAAAGAGGUUGAAUGCCGUGUGUCAUGGACAAUGUUAUCAGCGACGAAUGGCUCGGGCUUACAACAAAAAAGUCAAGCCCCGCUUAUUUGAAGUUGGAGAUAAGGUUUUGAAACGGAUUCUUCCAAUGCAAGAUGAGGCUAAAGGGAAGUUUGCUCCCAAUUGGCAAGGACCAUUCAUUAUUAAAAAAGUGCUAUCCGGAGGAGCGCUUAUUCUUAUGGAAAUGGACGGUCAAGUUUUUCCCCAACCAAUCAAUGCAGACAUGUGCAAAAAGUUUUUCAUUUGAAGAAAAAAAAAAAAACACUGCAAGAGACGGAUUUCAGGCAUACUUCCUCUCAUUUUUCCAUUUCGAUAUUCUACCCCUAAUUUUUCUUCUUUCCUUUUGACUUUUCAUAACCAUUUUCCUUUUCGCUUGGUUGUCCCUUAAGAUCACUAACCCCAUACUGGGGCAAUUCGUUUCUUAAAAAAAAAAAAAAAAGAAAAUAAAAGAAGAAAAUAAAAAAAAAGAGAGAGAGAAAUAGAGAUUCUGUCAGAAUUAAACUGGGGCAAAUUUUAUCUCUUUCUCACCCUAGAUCGGGGUAAGUUUUGAAAGAAUGCUAUCUCAAAUGAUUGCAAACCCAUCAUAUGAUCCGCUGUCAAGCCUUUCAAGCCUUAACCUUUCCUUUGCUACUCUAUCCGAUCCUAAUCACAAGAACCAAAAUUGCCGAAUUUCGUCUUUUGCAGUACUUUGAAGAAAAAAAAAAUUUCAACUAGCAAAUGAUGUAAAUACAAACUUUUCUGAAACAUGUCAGAGAAGAUUGUCUCACUGAUGCUACUCAUUAUCAGAGUAUGACUGCAAUGAUACAGUUGGGAUUAAACUUGUCUUGUCUAUGUCUCUAGGUGAAAACCUGAAAGGGCACCUUCUAAAAACAAAAGUUCUAAAAAAAAAAAAAAGUCAAAAAAGAGGAAAAAAAAAAGAAAAAAAAAGAAAAAAAAAGAAAGAAAAAUGAAAAGGGUGGGGGUAACCUUAGUGAAAACCCGAAAGGGCGCUGAGGUAGGGUUUUGGAAUACAAGAGAAUCAGCAACAGAGAAGAAGAUGUUGAGGUCUGAAAGCUGGUGACUAUGUUGAUUUGGGUCUCUUUCAUACUGUUGUUCUUUUGCCGACAAUAAAUUCCAAAAUGGAUGACUACGAAAGGGUCAAAUGGAGCAUUUUUCCUCAGCAAAGGCCAUCCUCUAAACACGAAUCCAAAUUUUGAUCCUUGGGCCUAUAUUCAAAAACUCAACAAUUUUGUUUUACUAUUCUAUUUGCUAUUUCAUUUAUUUAUUGUGUAUCAUUGUUUAUUUCAUAUUAGCAUUAUUGCAUGAUGAAUACUAUUUUUUGCAAUUGUUUAUGUUUCCCAUUUAUUGGGUCUCAUUCAAAAGACAAUCCCCUAUAAUUUGUCCCAAAGGGGUCCUGAGAUUGAGGAUCUUAUGGUAACAAAGUCUGGAUGACUGACAUUUGACGGUUACAAAGAUUCUGAAGAGGUUGUCGACCGGACCUAAAGAAGCAGUUUAUCGAUAUUGAAACUCAUGUUUACACGGCUCUCAAGGCAAAGGGAUCUCAUGGUGGUGGCAGUGUUUUCAUCACAGUUGUUUCUUUUCCUUUCUUUUCCUUUUUGCAGGAAAGGUUAUGUGACAUAAUACUGGUUUAGUUGAGCAUGAUUCACACUGGGGCAAAUGGUAGAAGGAUUGAGCUCCAAGUUUUGCUGCACAUUUUCGAAGAAAGAAAGAAAAUCAUAAUUCCCUUUCUUUUAAAGUUCGAAAAAAAAAAUUAAUCAAGAAAGUUGUAAGUCCGCCAAGUACGUUUGUCUUGUUUUAUUACUACUUGAGCAACAUGCAUUUUAAUCUUUCAGUUUGAUGGUUUUGAACUUGCAUUUUCAUUUCUUUCAGUGUUUAAUUGGGCUCGGGUCAAUCCCACCAAUCUGUUAAAAAAAAAAAAAAAAUCAAUCAAAAAGAUCAAUUUAAAUUCCUGUUGGUGAGUCUCAGCGUCCACCGCGCACCCUUCUACCUCCCCUUCUUGACAAUUUAAUUUUCUGUUGGUGAGUCUCAGCGUCCAAGCGUACCCUUCUAUCUCCCCUUCUUGACAAUUUAAUUUCCUGUUGGAGCGUAAUCGCGUUCCUCCGCGCAUCUUUUUCCAAAAAGAUCAAUUUAAAUUUCUGUUGGUGAGUUUCAGCGUCCACCGCGCACCCUUCUACCUCUUUUUUUUGACAAUUUAAAUUCCUGUUGGUGAGUCUCAGCGUCCACCGCGCACCCUUCUACCUUCCCUUCUUGACAAUUUAAUUUUCUGUUGGUGAGUCUCAGCGUCCACCGCGCACCCUUCUACCUCCCCUUCUUGACAAUUCAGCGUCCACCGCGCAUCCUUUUAUCUCCCCUUCUUGACAAUUUAAAUUCCUGUUGGAGCGUAAUCGCGUCCCUCCGCGCAUCUUUUUCUAAAAAGAUAAAUUUAAUUUUCUGUUGGUGAGUCUCAGCGUCCACCGCGCACCCUUCUACCCCCUUUCUUGGAGCGUAACCGCGUCCCUCCGCUCAUCUUUUUUCUAGUUAUGACAAGUUUCUUUUCCUGAUUGUUUUGAUUAAUAAUUGUGCUUUCUCAUUCAUUUUGUGAAGUUCUAAGAGUUCAGACUUUUUCGACUUUGCAAAGAUCAUAGUUGGUCAAUGCACUUGUUUCAUUGUGGAGGACUGUAGAUUCGAACUACGUUUGACCUGAUUCCCAUAGUGGGAUACGUAGGCAACUCUACAUGGGUUCGGUCACAUUUUCUGCAAUAUUAUCGCAUCAUUUUGUCCAAUAAUUUCAGCCAAGUGUUGGCUUGUUUAUUUUGGCUCGGGUACAGCUAGAAGAGAUAGGUAAAUAAUUUGGUGUCUACGUUUUUGUCUUGAGUUUUUUUGAAACUCUAGACAAAGAGGGGCAAGCUGUAGACACCAAAUUUUUGUCAAUUUUUAAUGUUUUCCUGAAUUUUUAUCUAUUUAAUAAGUUAUCUAUUAUUAUUAUUAUUAUUAAUGUGUAAUUUUCUCAUUUUUGCAGGUUUAUUUUAGAAAAGAAAAAGAGAGAAAAAAAAACAACAAAACAAAAACAAACAAAAAAGGGAGAAAAGUUAAAAACAAAAAAAAAAUCAAAAAAUCAAAAAAAUCAAAAAUCAAAUCAAAAUCAAAUUAUUACUAAACUUACACAUUUUCAUCAUUUUCUCUACCAAAACCCCUAUUAACCCAUUCUACACUCAACUCCCACGGGCUUUUCUUUUCAUUUGGCAGAAGCCAUCAUUUGGAAAAAAACCAAACCCAUUUGACUCCUUCUUAGCCAUGAGUUUUUUGCUCUGCCAACACUCAACAUUUGCAGAGGAGAAAACACGCACAAAAAGCUAAUUUGGCGACCCAUUUUACUCACUCGGCUCUCUCUGGAAAAAUCAGACAGGCCACAAAGAAAAAAAAUUCCCAACUCCCUCUCAAUAUACAUCCCUCGGCCCUUUCUUUGACUCUCACCAGAAAACACACAAGAACAAAGCUCCCCAUUUUGGCCUUCCUUAAGCUCUCAACGGACAGAAAAGGAUAGACGAAGGAAACUUUGGGAGCCAGGGAGAUACGCUCAAGGUGUGGAAAUUGUAUCAAACAUUUUGGUUAAGGAACUACCACCUACAUUGAGGUAUUUUCUAGUUUUCUUUCUACCAUAUUACAAUCCAUGUUUCAAUGUCUAGUUUCUCUUGUUUUGCUGUUUUAUUAUUAUUAUUAUUAUUGUUGUGGUUGCAUAUUAAUUUUUCUUGUUUGCUGGUUUGUAUUGUUGUUGUUGCAUUGCUGAAAUUUGGGAAAAGGCAUGAACUAGAUGAGGGAAAAGGAAAUGAUGUCUGUGAAUGCAUAUUAAUUGUUUGAAAAAAUGCCAAAAAGAUUUUUAGGGACUGUUUUGCCUUAAUGUAGUCUUUUGUUAUUGUUUUCUGGUUAGUUAAAAUCAUAGUUGUAUUGUAGAGGUUAUAAGGAGUAUUGUAAUAUAUUUUUUAUGAUUUUUGGUGAAAGAUUUGGGUGUUUUGAAAAAUAAAAACUGGACUGUAUUUUUGACAUUUUGGCCACUUUCAGACCAUCUUUUGUAAAAACUAACUCCGAAAAUGGAGUCUACUCGAAAAAUCGAGUGAAGGGGUGUAUUUUGAGAAAUUUUGAUCACCGGAAAGGUCGCCGGCGGUGGCGGUCCGGUGGCGGCGGCGCCACCGGCGGCCACCAUGGCUGCCAGCUGAAGCUUCUUCGGUUAGCCGAAGAAGAAGGAAAGGAAACGUAUGGGGAAGAAAAGAGAAAGAAAAGAAAGAAAAGAAAAGAAAGAAAAAAAGGGGAUUGGGCUAAUGUUUAUUUUUCGUUGGGCCAAGAGCUAGUCUUGUUAGGUUUUGGGGCUGGGCUUUGGUUGAUGUUUCUUUUGGGUUUCGGUUGGGCUAGGAGGUUGGAGCCCACGUGUUUUGGCUGGGUUUGAGUGAUAGAAGACGGGCUGGCCUGUGUGUUUUGGCUUGGACUUUCGGAUGGGCUUAGGUAGUUUUCGGCCCAAAGAAAUAAAUAAUGGCCCAGUGGCCUGUUUUCUUAAGAAGAUCUGAUAACGAAUUUGCAUUUUAGCCCCUAAUCUUUGGAGUAGUUUCGUUUCGGCCCAUAACAUUUUAAAUUCUUUUCAACUCGGUCCUUAUAGUAAUUGCACUUUGGUCCCUGAUUUUUAUCUUUCAUUUAAUUUUGACCUCUAAACUUUGAAAAAUACAAUUUUUGUCCCUCAAAAGUUUUCAAUUUUUGCAAUUCAGUCCUUGACAAAUUUUGACUCUUUUUUAUUGUGAUUGCUUCUUUUCUUUAAAAGCUAAUGAUGUUACUUUUGAAUAUAUUUAACUUGCAAUUUUUAGAUGUUCUUAAAUUUCUUUGCGUUUGACAUGUUAAUGUGAAUUUAGUAUUUUAACAUUAUUAUCAUUUGCAAUUAAAGUGGUGCCAUGAUUCUUUUGUUCAUUGUGAGUAUAAAUAGGAUAAUUUGACUCCACUUAGUCACCACUUCAAACGGGAGGUACUCCUAUUUUAUUAUUUCAAUGUCAAUUACGUGUUCUUAUGUGCUCCUAUGUGCUCCUAUGUGUUUAUAUAUUUUUAUAUGCUUUAUUUAUUUGAUUUAAAUAUUCAUUCAAAUUUUCUUAUAUAUGUUUUAGUUAGUUUUUAUAAUGAUUCGAGAGGUAUUUAAAUACCUCAAAAAUGUAAUAGAUAGGAUAAUUAGAUUUGUUUUAUUAUAUUUUCCCUUCCUAGAUUGUGGUUAGGCGCUCCUCGAUGUAAUAGAUAGGUUGCGUGUUUAUGUGGCUUAUGUGUUAAUUGUUUUAUCCGCUUUUCUUAGGAUUUUGGCAUCUAGAUAUUAUGCUUACGUGUUAUGUGUUACGUGCUCUUAUGUGUUUAUUUGUUUUAAUUUAUGCUUUAUUUGCUUCACUAUGAAUUGUUAAUGCAUAACGUCACCACACUAGUCCAACGCUAGUUGUGGCUUCUCUCUUCGCUUACUUGCUAGUCCAACGCUAGUAAGGACUAUUAGAAAUGGGCUAGUCCAACGCUAGACCCUUUAGGUUGUCUUGCGCUAGAUUCAUCUUUGUGUGCUAUUCACUACAUUUUCAUGCAAUAUUUUCAUUUUUAAGAUCUUUUCUCAUUUGCAUGAUAUUCCCUAUUAUAUUAUCCCUUAUCCUCUAUAUGUGUUAAUCAUAUCAUUUAGAAUUGCAUUUCAUUUAGGACAUUGUAUAAUAGGUUAGUUCAUUUGCUUGUGCAUAUUAGGAGAAUUAUUUUUCAAACAUGGGAAAUGGGUGAUUAUAACUUUUUAGUUCAAAUACCCCAUUAAUCCCUGUAUAAGAAAAUUAUGUCACGAGUUUUUGCCUCCCAUACCCUUUAUGUUGCAUUCCCUUUUUCUUUGAUCACUUAUAUCUAUGUAUAUAAUUUAAUUUACUUUCUUUACUUUUCUUUUUUUCAUCAUUUGCAUACUCGUGACCCUUUCAAGGAAAUAUUUUGGCUUUCGCAAUUAAUGCGAUUGUUUCAAUUAAACCUUUGAAUGGAUAUUUUGACCCUUUCGAUAUUUUAUAAAUUUAAAUUUGCAUUCAUGUAGGAAACAUCCAAAUAUGAUAAAAUUAAGGGUUAGAUUAGGAAGAUUUUGACUAAAUCUCGCGACUAGCUUAGACUAGGUUGAAAGGGUGCCUUAGGUUUGAGUCAAUUGAACCUUUGCCUUCCCUUUCUUCAACCGUGACUCCCGAACCCAUUUUCUCUUGUUUUCAAUGACCUGGAGUUGUCAAAAAAGGUUUUGAUUUAUUUUAUUUUUGUCAAAAAAUAUUUUUGGGUGACUUGGUACACCAAAACACCAUACCAAGUGGCGACUCCUAUUUUUUCUAAAAAGCCCUUUUAGACUGAAUUUUUGGACCCAAAUUGUCGCAUUCUUUUAAGUCCCAUUCUAGGUCCUUUUUAAUUUAUUAUUAAUAAAUCACAUCUUUUUAUAAAACUCUUUUUCUUUUCCAUCGCGAAAAAUGGGGCGCGACAGGGGUGGUAGGCAGUGCUUAACUUCAGUUCUGUACCCAUCAAGAUGAAUAAUUCAAUCCAGAAUUGAUUGGUGAACACUUUGUCCCUGUCAGACAGCAUGCUUAAAGGAACCCAUGUAACUUACAGAUGUGAUCUAGAAAAAGUCUGGCUACUGCUGGUGCAUCAAAAGGGUGUGAGAGACUGAUGAAAUGUGCUAAUUUAGUGAAUCUAUCCACCACUACCAUGAUAGUGUCCCUUCUCUCAGACAUUGGCAGUCCUUCAAUAAAAUCCAUUGUAACAUGACUCCAUGAAUACUGUGGCAUGGGGAGAGGUUGCAAAAGGCCCGGAUAAGCAGUGUGCUCAUUCUUACAUUUCCUACACGUGUCACAUUGCAAGAUUGUAUCCUUGAUAUCCCUAUGCAUCCCUGGCCAAUGGAAUAAUUGCUUGGCCCUUAAGUAACUAGCCUGGAUUCCAGAAUGACCUCCAAGCUGUGAAUCAUGUACUGCAGCAAUGAUCUUCCUCCUUACAUUCCCUUCUGAGCCCACCAGAAUCCUCCCCUUAUAUCUGACCACACCAUCUUGAUAAGUAAAAUCUGGUUGGCUGUCAGGAGCAAGAAGUAGUUGCCUGAUGAGAUCCUGGGUUUGUGUAUCCCCUUUAUAACUGCCAAUUACCUCCUGUAUCCAUUCUGGAAUGACACAAACUAAUGCAGUACAGUCCCCUUCCUCACUGCUAGCUCUCCUAGACAAGGCAUCAGCAACCACAUUUUCCCUUCCCUUUUUAUAUUGUAUCUCAUAACUUAAUCCCAGUAACUUUGUGAGCCAUUUCUGUUGAAGGGUAGUAGUGACCCUCUGAUCAAGUAGAUACUUGAGGCUUUGAUGGUCAGUCCUUAUUAUGAAGUGGUGUCCCUCCAGGUAAUGCCUCCAUUUAACCACUGCCAUCACCAGAGCUAAUAGCUCUUUUUCAUAAAUGGAGAGCCCCAGGUUCUCAGGUCCUAGGCUCUGGCUUAGAUAUGCCAAGGGCCUCUUGUCCUGUAUCAGUACAGCUCCCACUCCUCCAUAGCAGGCAUCAGUCUCAAUCACGAAUGGUUUGGUGAAGUCAGGCAAUGCCAGCACAGGGGUGUUGCUCAUUGCUAGUUUGAGUCUUUGAAAUGCUUCAUCAGCUUCUGCAUUCCAUAGGAACCCAUCUUUUUUAAGCAGCGUAGUGAGUGGUUUGGCUAUGGUUCCAUAACAUUUCACAAACUUCCUAUAGUAUCCAAAAUCCCUUUAGUUGCUUAACUGUAGUUGGUUUUGGCCACCCCAGCAUGCCUUCUACCUUCUUGGGGUCAGCCAUGACUCCUUGAUCAGAGAUAAUGUGGCCUAAGUAUUCCACCUCUAUUUGAGCAAAUGAGCAUUUGCUCUUUUUAGCAUAGAGCUGAUGUUCUCUUAAGAUGUUCAGCACUGUGGCCACAUGCUCCAUAUGACUACUCCAAGUAGGACUGUAGACUAGGAUGUCAUCAAAAAAAACUAGAACAUACUGUCUAAGUUGGUUCCUGAAGAUGUGGUUCAUGAGACUUUGAAAUGUGGCAGGGGCAUUGGUCAGGCCAAAUGGCAUGACCUUGAACUCAUACAACCCUUGGUGAGUUCUGAAUGCUGUUUUGUAUCUGUCGUCCACUUUGACUCUUAUUUGAUGGUAGCCAGACCUUAAGUCGAUCUUGGUGAAGAACUUGGAGCCCUGCAAUUCAUCCAUCAGUUCAUCUAUCAGUGGCAUUGGAAAAUUGUCUUUGAUUGUCAGCUCGUUGAGCUGUCUGUAGUCAACAUAAAAUCUCCAACUACCAUCCUUCUUCUUUACCAGUAAUACUGGAGAUGCAAAAGAGCUGUUGCUAGUCUGGAUGAUUCCCAUCUGCAACAUUUCCUUGACCAACCUUUCUAUCUCAGCUUUCUAUACAUAAGGACAUCUGUAUGGCCUAUUUUGGAAUGGUGCUGCUCCUUCUUUUAGUGGAAUGGCAUGAUCAUGGCUCCUAAUUGGGGGCAUGCCCUGAAAACACAGUCUCAAACUGCUUUAAUAGUUCUUCCAUUGCUAUUGGAAUUUGCUCCUGGUGGCCUCCACCUUCUUCCAUCAGAUAGAUUUGAGCAGUGAUUCCAUAAGUCUGCUUCCUUCUCCAUUUGGCAAGCUUGCUUCCCUUGAUAGCUUUCAGCUUAAGUUUCUCUACUUCCCCCUUCAGCAUCACUGUUUCCCUUCCUUUCAAGAACUUCAUAGUUAGUUGCUGAAAAUCGAAUUCGAUGGGGCUGUGUUUGGCCAACCAGUCAACCCCAAGUAUCAUGUCACAGCUGCCUAGUUUGAGUGUGUUGAAUUGGUGCUGGAAUUUAUGUCCUUGCAUCUCCCAAGCUAUUUCCUGUUGGAGCUGUCUGGAAUCCAGCUUCUCUCCAUUAGCCACAUUUACAGUCAAGGUGGUAUCAGUGGUCUGGAAUUUAAAAUCCUGUGCCAAUUUUUCAUCCAUGAAGCAGUGAGUACUGCCACUAUCAAUGAGUAUUAGCAGUUCCCUUCCUGCUAGCCUCCCCCUCAGUUUGAUAGUUUUGUGCUUAUUUCCCCCUGCUAAGGCAUGAAUGGAGACCUCUAUGCUCUCUUUGCUGAUGCCUCCUUCAGGAUAGUCACUAUACUCUUCAACACUCUCCCCUUGUUCCUCCAAUGGUGUGUUAGAUUCAGUAGGCUCAUCCACCACUAUGUAGUGAAUAUGAGCUUGUUUGCAAGUAUGUCCUAGGGUGUAUGGUUCAGCACACUUGAAACACAACCCUUUUUCCCUUCUGUAGCUAAAUUCAGAGGGGGUGAUUCCCUUAUAGUGAGCGGCUGAUGAUCCCCCCAGCUUGGUGUUUCUGUUGACAUGGUGGUCUGGUUUCUGAUGAUUAGGCCAUUUCAGCCUGUUUGGUGGAGAAGUGGUAUGUAGUGGAGGUAGUGAAGGUUUCUGUAUACCCCUACCCUAUGCCUUCCUAAUGGCUUCUAGAUUCUUUUCCUGCAACUUAGCAGUCUCAAUAGCAUCUGCUUAUGUAAGAAGUUUGGUCAUUCUAACCAUACUGACAAUUUCAUCCUUCAUGCCACUAAGGAAACAAGAUUUGUAAUAGGAAUCAGGUUGUCCAGGGAGUGAGGUCAUUACCAGUGAUUUAAGCGUUUCAAAUUUUUCCAGGUAGUCUGCUACACUACCAGUUUGUACCAGUUUGUUGAACUCCUCGAUGGCCUCCUGGGGGUCUCCCUCUCCAAAUCUUUCACAAAUUGCCAAGGCCAGCUCACUCCAUGGAACUGCUCCUCUUUCAGAGUACAUUCCAUGGAACCAGAUGUCUGCUCUGUCCCUGAGGUAGAGCUGAGCAAUAUCAGUCUUCAUUCCCUCUUCAACUCCAUAUAUCUGAAAAUGCUUGUUAGCUCUCCUAACCCAUUCCCUGGGAUUGGCUCCCUCAAACGAAGGAAAAUCCAUCCUGGGCAAUUAGACUCCCCCCCUUCCCUCAUUUCUCUCAUUUUUCUCCUUAACUCCCUCUGCUAUCUGGCCAUUUCCGGAACUACCUUCUCCUACUCCCUUCCCUUUAUCAUUCAAUUUGGACAUAAUCUGUGCCAUCAUGUUCAUCAUUCCCUCAUAUUUUUUGAUCUAAAUUUUUUAUGGCUUUAUCUGUGCUCUCCUGCCUAUACUACAUUGCCCUCACCGACUGCUCUAUCCCAUCAUUUUUAUUGGCGAAAGUCCUCACCACACUCCCCAGCUCAGUGAGCUCCCUCCUCAGCGUUUCCUCCUGAGUUUUAGUCAUCCCGUUGGCUCGUAGCUGCGCUCUGAUACCACUGUGAUGGUAUCGAACAGUAACUAGGCAACAGACCAACCCCAAUGGACUGAUUUGUGAGACUAGUGCAGAACAAUAUUGAAUAACAGGAAGAAUCAAUAACGAAUGGAUGAAUAACUAAUGAACUGAUAGUGAUAUUGAUCAAAUAAGUAGAUUACAUAAUUGGCGGAAAGAAGAAAGGAAAUGACAGAAUGAAGGAAAACAGAAAGAGAAAAGGCUCAGGAAAUGAUCCCUUACAAUCAGCUAACAAAUCUUACUUUCUGCUUCUGAUCCUAUCCAUAUAUAUAAGCUAGCUAACAACUAACUUCCUUGGCGUUUUAUAGCCCAACUUGGCCAUGUGAGUGGUUACGGAAUCUGUUGCAGAACCACUUGCUUGAGAGCUCACGCUGAUUGAGCUGGUUUCCAGCAAAGGCGUGUUUGCUGAUUCUGCGCCUUUGAUUCUCUGCUUCUUUGUCCUUCACGUCUUCUUUCUUACUAAAACGUGAUAAGGAAUUUCACGUCUUCGGUUGAUCUUAAGCUACUUAAUAAAGGCGUGAUACUUAGGUUCACGCUUUCAGCUUGCUAACUUCUGCUCCAUGACAAUCUGAUUUUGGAAUUGAAAUGGAGCAUAAGUUUUCCGCUUAUUCUUGCUUGUCAUGUGGGAUUGGUUAUGAUGAGUCUAAUGAUGAUUUUAAGGUACUUGUACUUUCCUGUGUUUUCUAUGCUGGUAUGCAGCAUGAGACUCUGGCUAAGGUUUAUAGCCGGAAGACAGAUUCUUGGAAGAAGAUUGAGGAUCUUAACUACUGUUUGAUUGAGCAGGGCUGUUAUUAUGUGAAUGGGAUAUUCCACUUUACUCAUUAUGAUUCUAAGUCGUGGUACUUGGAAUAUAACUUUUGAGCGGAAAAUUGUUGGUUUUGAUUUGGUGAAUGACAUUUUUAAAGAGAUAGAACUCCCUGAAGAGGUUAAUAAUUAUGAUAACUGGAAUUUAGGAACAUUAGAAGGAUGCCUUUCAUUAUUGGUUUGUUGCAGAGGCAAUCAGGUGAAUCUGUGGAUUAUGAAGGAAUAUGGAGUGAAAGAAUCUUGGACUAAAAUGGUUGUGAUUCCUUGUUUUCAAGAUCCUGAUAGUAAUUUAUUGAGUAUGCCUUUGAUCUUAUCGGAGGAUGGUCAACUUUUAUUUGUGACUUGGCCAAGCCCAAAGUUGGGAGUUUAUGAUCCAAAUCAGAAUUCACUCAAGUAUUCUCGGUUUAGUAACUUUAAUACAGAUCUUUAUGGAGCAUAUGUGUUUGUUGAAAGCUUAGUUUCUCCCUGAUGCUGUUCAUGGAGUUCAAAGGGACUGGAAUCAAUGAGGUAACAAGGGCUUUUCUAAUUUUCAUCUGCUGAAUUAUUUUUGUUUUACUGAUCUCCCUCCAAUACCACUUAGUUAUCUACACUCACAUUAUUUGCCAAAUGUUUAUGAACUGAUUUUAUUGUUUAUGAUGUAAAACUAAAUCAAUUCAAAGGAGAGUUAUUGCUCAGAAAGCAAUAUAUUAAUAUAGGAUUAGCUUUUCACUAAUUUUCUUUUUUUGCAACCAUAGAGCUUGCAUCAAUUGAAGUUUUUUGUUCUACUUUGCUUUUUUACUUCUAUUGUGUCUUAGGUAGAACAAUGGAACUCUUUUAUUUCUAGCUAAUACAUAUUUUACCUGAUUGAUGCUAUCAUGCUGUCUGAUGGUUGCUUCACUAUGGUAAUUUCUGUAUAUAUUUGUUCAAGAAAGCAAGUAAAUUAACUAUUUUAACGUGGCUAUCUUCUAUUUCUACCCAUAGUUAAUACAUUGUGUUUAAAUGUGCAUCUGCUUUGCCCUCGUUUAUAGUUCAAACACGAAGUUCCUUGGUAAGAACUCAAAAAAUGUAUUCUAGAUAACAAAAGAAGGAUAAAAAUGAAAUCUUUUGAAGCAUUCUUACAUGUAUUCUUAAUGGUCCGUAUGGCAGAGGUCCCAUGGAGCUAUAAUGCAUAGUGCAUUGCAUGGUUUGUCCUACAUUAAAGGUAAGUGCACAAUGCGCUAAAUCUGAAUUAUAUGUAGUAAUUCUGCAAUAAAAGCACUAUAUUCUUGUUGUCUAUCCAAUGUACUUGAUGAAUCUAUCAAUGUUCUUAAGCAUAAAAGGAAACCAAUUUGAAGACAUGUUAGCAUCACAAAUGUAAAUUAAUUAUAUGGAGAAUUACAUCAUGAUAAGCAAUGAUGCUUCCAGCAUCCUAGACAAGAGUGAUAGUCAUUUAAUUUAUCUCCUAUUAAGUCGUCUUUAUCUUCAUUUUAUUUAUAACACUCAACAUCUUCCUCUUCCUUUUUAUCAUCAUAUUUUUAAACUCAUCCUGUUCAUCGAUGAGGCAAACUGCUGAAUUAAAGAAAAGAGGAAGAGAGAUAUUACCUACAUAAGCAGAGGUCGAAGAGAGAGACCUAUGGUAAAAACUGAGAGAGGAGUGUUGCUAGAAAGCUCUGUUUUUGUCCUAGGUUUGGUGCACAUUUGCCCCUUUUCCCCUUUUUGUCUGGAAUUGGGUUUCACAGGUUAUAACCUGUGUUUUUAAACUCGGACCGGACCGGCCGGUCCGACCGGUUGGACCGGGAACCGGUCAAGUGUCCGGUCCGAGUUGAUCAUCAGAACCGGAAGACUAAAAACCCGGUCAACUUCGGUCAAAAACCGGGUUUGACCGGAGAAAACCCGGAAAACCGGUUCAACAUUGCAUUCAAAUAUUGGCCAACCGAAUUGGGGUGUUUGGUCAAUCACUCGCCAAGGACAAGUGUUAAUGACUUAAUGGUGUGACCCUCCUGAUCCUAAACUAAGCUAGUUUGAAAAGCAGCUAUAGCUGGGCCCACACGAAAAAGAUAGAAUAAGGAUGAAAUUGUUGGAAUAGUUCAGGAGCGGCCGGUGAAAUAAAAACACGGCCUCUGUUUCGGAUGUUGUAAAAAAAAGUUCAAAUUUUUUCAAUAUUAUGUUUUAACCCCCUAAAUGGUUAAAACUUAUUAAUAUACAUCAAAUAUUUCAUACUUUAUAAAUAUUAUCCCAAAAUUUGAUGUUAUUUUUUAAUUAAAUUCAUAAUUUUAAUUCUAAACUUGUUAAUAUUUAUUAAAUAAUAGAAAUUGCUACUUGAUUGUUCUAAUUUCUUUUUAUUUUCUUAUUAAAUAUAUUUGAAAUAUCAAAUAUAUAUGAAUAUACCUUUAUUAAUAUUAACAUGCUAUGAGGUAUUUUAUAUAUAAUAUUUUAAUUUUUAAAUAAUUUUUAUUUAUGACGUCAUCCGGUUCGACCCCCUAUCGAACCCGGUUGAACCCAUUGACCCCUGACCCCUGAGCACGACCGAGUCGAUACCCGGUCCGGUUCUGAAAACAUAGGUUAUAACAGAAGAUGUACAGCCAGUUGUUUUACUUGUUAGACUAAAGAUCCACAACACUCAAAUGGCCCAGAUUAGACAUCUCCAAAACUUUAGGAGGCAAGCUAUUUGGCUGUAGGUGGUAUAGCAUAAUUAGCGAGCACUAUUGGUGUCCGUAUACUAUGCACAAACAUAGUAUCUCUAAUUGACAUGGUAGUUUAUUAACUAGGUGUUUGUUUGGAGGUUGGUGGAGUUAGGAAUAGAAUAACUCCAUUUAGAGCUUUUCUACAAAUUUUGAUGGCCAUGAAUAUUUGUGAUCCAGAAAAUUGCCAUUCUGGAUUUUUACUCUAUUACUAUUUUAUUCAGAUGUAUAGUUUGAACCAUAAAAAUUUCCACUUUUUUAUGGGCCUUUCAAAAUUUUGACCCAAGUGCCAUUGACAAAAAGUUAAAAUUGUUCAAUUAAUUAAUCAACAAAGUAUUUCUACUAUAUCAUGGUCUUGAUUAUUUUUGUUUCUAGUGAUAUCUUGAAAAUCUCGCUCUUUCAAACCUUAUCUCUUGCAUUCACACUAGUGUGGGAUAUACACAGAUAUAUUUAUGGAAGCUCUUAAGAAAUUUGUGUCCCCUCUUCAAUGUCUCAGAUUAUUUUCCUUUAGUUUCACAAUAGAAUACAGGAUUGUGUGUUUGCUGAUUGGAAGAAUGUUUAGAUCGAUUCAAAUUGUUUCAUGGCAUUCUUGACUUAAUUAGAAUUCUAUAUUCUCUGAAUGCUAUACCAUUGUCAUAACAAGGUAAAAGGGUUUGCUAAAAGAAGCUGAGCUCAAUAGAUUCUCAACCAAUUUCCAUUUUAGAUAAUUUGAGGGACUAAAGUGUUAAAAGGUUCCAAGCCAUUGAAGUCCACUAAAGUGUUAAAGGUCUUGAUUAUUUUUGUUUCUAGUGUUAUCUUCUGAAUCUCUCUCUUUGAAAGCUUAUCUCGCGCAUUCACACUGGCGUGCGGACAAACACAGUAAGAAAUUUGUGUCCCUCUUCUAUGGCUUGGACUAUUUUCCCUUUAUUUCAUAAUAGAAUACAGGAUUGUGUGUUUACUGAUUGGAAGAAUUUUCAGCUCAAUUCAUAUUGGUUCAUGUCAUUCUUGUCUUAAUUAGAAUUCUAUAUUCUCUGAAUGCUAUACUAUUGUCAUAACAAGGUAAAAGGGUUUCCUAAAAGAAACUGAGCUCAAUAGAUUCUCAACCAAUUUCCAUUUAAGAUAAUUUGAGGGACUAAAGUGUUAAAAGGUUCCAAUUCAUUGAAGUCCACUAAAGUAGGGAUGGCAAUGGGGGCGGGGGGUGGGGCGGGGGCGGGGGGGAAUUUUUUCCCCCCGCUUAGAAACGGGACGGGGGGCGGGGGAGUAUACCCCCCCGCCCCGCCACCCGCAAAACAAAAAAAAAUAUAUAUAUAUAAAUAUAAAUGAUUAUAUAUUAUAUGUAAGUUAAUUAGUUAUAAACUUAUGAUAAUGAUAUUAUUAGUUAGAUGUAUUAUAUAAUGUAUAUUAGUUUAUGUAAUAUAAUUGAUAUUAUCAAUUAUAUGAAUAAUUAUACAUGUCUACUAAUAGAAUUUAUUAAUUAGUUAUACUAAAUUUACUAAUACAUUAAUAUACUAAAUUUCUAAUUACACUUAAUAGAAUAACACUUUUUUCUAAAAAAAAAACACAAACACAAUGAUGAAUUAGUGAUUGCAUUUGUACAAAAAGUGAAAAUUUGACUAUUUUAGUUAUAUUUAUUUCAUCAUAUUGGAUUGUAUUCAAAUAACUUCUGUUUGAUUGUUUUUAUGAGUUUCAAUUGUAAAAUUACAAUGAAUAAUAAUUUGAUGAUGUGUUGAUAUUUUAGUACUUGAUUAUUUAUUAAAAUUUAAUUAUAAUAAAAUUGUAUAAUAAAAUUUUAUUAACCCCACGGGUGCCCCGCGGGAGAAGCGGGGCACGUCCCCCGCCCCGUUGCCAUCCCUACACUAAAGUGUUAAAGGUCUUGAUUAUUUUUGUUUCUAGUGGUAUCUUUUGAAUCUCUCUCUUCGAAAGCUUGUCUCACGCAUUCACACUGGUGUGUGGACAAACACAGACAUAUUUAUGGAACUCUAAGAAAUUUUUGUCCCUCUUCUAUGUCUCGGAUUAUUUUCCUUUAAUUUCCCAAUAGAAUAUAGGAUUCGGUGUUUACUGAUUAGAAGAAUUUUCAGUUCAAUUCAUAUUGGUUCAUGGCAUUCUUGACUUAAUUAGAAUUCUAUAUUCUCUGAAUGCUAUACUAUUGUCAUAGCAAGAUUUAAAGUUUUGCUAGAAGAAACCGAUCUCAAUAGAUACUCAACCAAUUUUCAUUUGAGAUAAUCUGAGGGACUAAAGUGUUAAAGGUUCCAAUUCAUUGAAGUCCGCUUUUAACAUAUGCAAUUGAAUUCAAUAAAUGGCCUAGCAUGUAUUGAGCUGCAACAAACUUCUCUAAAUGCAAUUACCGAUUUAUAGUUCUAGCUAGUAUAUAUAGAUCUCGUGAAUCAAAUUCUUAUCACCCAACUUCGCUCUUUUCCUUCUCUCUGAUCCAUUCUCAUUCGGUUACACUGUUCUAUUUUACUUAUUAGUGGUAAGCAUGCUUGUCUCUACUUUCUUUUACUCUUGUUUUCUAAUUGUAUAAUUAGUUUUCUUCUCUAAAAAGUCUUUACUUCCUUUUUGUUUUCCACUGUAAUUAAUUAGCAAUUCUUUUCAGAGGAGUUGCAAGUAACGUCAUCAUUUUUUCCCUAAUUUUUUUUUCGUCUCUCAACAUUUAUUGUAUGUUGGGGGUGUCAAACAGCACUAUGACAGCAAUAUUUUGUAAAGAACUUAACAUUUUAUUAUUUGGUUUCAUGCUCAUGGAUUGUUAAUGAUGACGUUUUGUUUGAUUAAUUAGAUAAUCACUAUAUAUCUAUUUGUUUAAGUAAAAGUGUUUGUAUAUGAUGUAGCUAAUUUUGGUAGAAUAUAUUGAAUCAUGCGUCAAAGCCUGUUGUUUGCCUUGCAGGAAUUAUAAUAUCUUGAUCAUUAGUUAGUUAACUUUGCCAUUCAUUUUGGUAAUUACUUUUUCUUUGUUGGUUACCUCAUCUUCUUUCUCUCUGUAUUAUAAGUUGCAUUUUCUUCUCUCUCUGUAGAUGGCUGACGCCCCUUAUGACAUAGUUGUGUACUACAAGAAUGAAAAGGCAAUUAUUAGGAAUGUGAACCCUAACAACUACUCUUUUCUCCAUCUUGUGAAUGAAGUCUGUGAAGCUGCAAUUCAUGAUGCACCUGGGAAUGAGAGCAUUAUGAUAGACCUUAGUUGUGAGUUUCUUGGUACAUCACGUAUGCUGGAUGUGUCCAGUGAUGAAGAUACGAGACUCAUGUUUUUCAUGUAUAGAAAAAUCAGAGUCAUCAAUCUACAUGUGAAAAUAAGUAAUGUUGCUCCUCUGAUUGUAUUAGAUGAGAGUGCACUGAAUUUGAACGAUAAGAUAAACAUGAAUGAUGGUGAUAGAAAUGCCAGUCAUGAAAACCUUGCUUCCGACCUUGGCGUUGUGAAUGAAGAUAGUGAUAGUGGCUCAACGGGAAGAGUAAAUCAAGAUUGAAGAGUCAACCAUGAGGCCAAUGCUGCACCAGAUAAUGAAUGUUGAAGAUCACAAUUAUGUAUGUAAUUACUUGUAUGAAGAGGUUUGGUUUUGAUGUGAUAUAUGAUUAUAGGCUUGGAUGGUGAAAUGAAAUUCUCACAUAUAAAUGAGGAAGAACAGUUCCUAUUAUGACUCAUUGGAUUGCUAGGAAUAUAAUGAGUCUAAUACAAGUGACUAUCUGCUUAAUGAUAUGAAAAUGAAUAUGCCAUGUUAAAGUAAUUAUAGGAAAAGAAAUACAUUCAGAGUCUCUUUACACUUCUACUUGACUUGGUAUAUUGGUCUACUAGCCUAAACGAGUACUUACAGUUACAUCUAACUAUGGGCUACGUAAUCCUCUUCUUCCUACCUAGCUUUUCGUGACCUCUCCCUUAAACAAUAUGAGUGGCAUUGUUGAGCCAAAUACAUUCUCAAAUCCCAAAAAACUUGAUAGACAACUAAUGCAAUAAAAAGUAUGAACAAUAAUUAGCACUGAUUAAGAUUUGAAGUUCAGAUCCAUAUAGAUAAAACUUGAAAUUUACGCGUAAGAAAUUCAGCUUGUUAGAGAUUGACUUGCUAAAGCCUCACUUGAGUGAGGAGUGAGGCUCAAACAGAAUAGUAAGCCUUUUAGAAUAAAAGUUAAGCUAACCACUGAGUUUUGGCUCAUUGGCUACAAAAAAAGGACGAAGGGCUUUUUUGUGAUGUAGGUCAGGGGGUUUGAACUCUACAUGUAGUAAUCUGCAAUAAAAAAUUUCGAAAGAAAUAUCAGAGUAUCCCUUUAAUCUAAGUCAGUUUUGUAUACCUAUUUGUAUGUUUUGAAAAAAAUUCAAAAGAAAUGCUAGAGCACCAAUGCACCCCUUUAUACUAAAACACAUCCUUGUGUACUAACUCCUUAUAUGCCCAACUCGGGAUAGCUCGAAUGGUUCGUUGCUCCUCUUUAGGAUAUGGUGACCACGGUUCGAGUCCCCGGAAAUAACGCGUUUGAGGGGAUAUUGGGCUUCUCCUCUUUGACUGCAGGGGGAAUAGUCAGGCCGAAAACUCAGAUACCCCUGUAUCGAUAAAAAAAAAAAAAAAGUAUACUAACUCCUUGUAGAGCCUUUUAUACAGAUGACAUAAGAAGGCAUUCUUGAAUAUUUUGCAGUAGCAAUAGAUGCAACGGAAUUUUUUUUUUUUCGCCUACUUCUCCGGCCCAUUACUACAAUUCUUGACCCACAUGCGUUGAGCCUAAGCCCACUAUAAUUUUAUGUGGCCAGAGCAUUGGACAUAAAAUAACCCACUAUUCGAAUUUUGGAAUAUACGAUUGUCUUGUAAACCACUCUAAAUACUCCAUUUUAAAAAAAAAAAAGAAACUCCAGAUUAUGUUACAUAAAAUAUAUGUAAAUACAUACAAAAAAUUUAGUAUUCCUCUUUUGGACUUCCAUUUCUAGAUAACUUUUCAUCGUUUUGCCCUCUAGCUGAAUUUUUUAAUCAUUAUUUAUUUGAUCAUACAUUUUGUCAAAUUAAAGACGUAGACUUAGGCAGAUAACUCUUAUGCCAUCCCUGUUUAGAUUGUUAUUUUGGAGAGUUUUUGCAGAAAAAUGUACUGUAACGAUUUGAUACAUGUGAAAUAAAAAGUGAUUGGAAAAUAUAUUUAUAAAAAAUGUAAUAAUUUUUUUUUUCAAAAAAUCACAAUUCAAACAAGGAAUCAGCUCACAUGUACUCAUAUUCAUAUUUCACUUUUCAGAUUUGAAAUAUAUACUUCUAGAAUUUCGUGCAAUUAGGGUGAUUUCAAAGUUUUUCAAUAUUACUUGACCGCCAAUUUGCCAAAUCUUUUUCAACCUAACGUUCGUAACUUUUAUACCUCAAAUGCUUAGACAUUAAUUUUUCAUUGAAAAAAUUUUAGUUCCACGCUACACAAAACACAAAAAAGAAAAAUGAACUACAAUAUCUACCUUAAUUUCAAUUAUGCCAAUUUUUUCUGAUAGAAAGCAAAUUUCAUUAACAGAUUGUUGAAAAUUAAUUGUCCAACAUGCUUUAAUUUAUAUCGCUGCCCCAAUGACAAAUUAAACAUACACUAGAAAUUACAAAUAUAUAAUUUAACAAAUACAAUAGAUCUAAAAAAAUCAAGAACAAACCUGAAAGGUACAACAAAUUUUAAAAUCGUCUUCCAAUAGAUAAAUUGCUGCACUUCCUUUUUCUCUUCAAAUUUACAGUAUCUAUUCUUUAUUUCUGUUCUUUGAAAUCUACGUAUGUUCGAUGAUAUAACUUCUAUUAUUAGUGUAGAUGUUGAUGGAAUUGUGAUUUUUUUUUUUUUUUUGAAAAAAGCCCACAACUUGUCCAAGGCAGUGGGCCACUUGUUUAACACAGCCUUUGUGCAGAUGGCCAUGGCAGGAUCAGGUAUCAAUGUGCAGAUGGAUUUGGGGCAGGGACGGUCAUCAAUAUGACCAUCCUGCACAGUUAAGGAUCAAGAUUGGCCCUCAAAAUUUUGUACGAUUAAAAUUACAUCAUGUAACUCGAUUUUCGCAUUAAGUGUGGGGUUCACUACUAUCUGUUGUGAAAAUAUAUCCUGUGAAAAAAAAGUUACACGAUAUACAAAAAAAUUACGUCCAAUUAAUAAUGAUUACAAUUAGCAGAGACGGUUGCACCUGCAACCGUCCGUGCCUCGAGUCCAUGUGCAGAUGGCCAUGGCAGGAUCAGGUAUCAAUAGUUAUCAGUAAUAAUCGUUUUAAAUGAUGUAUAAUUUUACAUGAAUUAUUUAUAAAAUUUAAUAAUAGAGAUAUAAUUAUUACUUGUAAUAUAUCAUAUGUCUGGUAGGAGGAUGCACGGAAAGUCUAGGUAGAGUUACAAAACGUGACAAAAAUUACACGGUUCAGUGUCAACCAAACCUGCCCCACUUCCGGCCAUAACUGAGACAACUUCUCAGAACUUGACACUCUGAAAAGAAAGAACCCCUCUCUGGAGCUCUCUCUUCGGACCUCUCGUUGCUCUAGAACCCCUUCAGAAUGCGAGAAAGAACCCGAGAAAAGAAAAUCAAUACCAGACCCGAACCCCAAUUCCAGCCAAUUAUCAGCUGUAUUCCUGAUGAUAUUUUGCUUCAAAUAUUCACAAGGCUUCCGGUCAGAUCCCUGGGGAGGCUCAGCUGCGUUUCGAAAUCUUGGCAUUCCUUGAUCUUCAGCCCCAAUCUCGUCAAAUCCCAUUACAAAAGAUGCACGGAAGACAAGGAAAACGAGCAUCAUAGGAUCAUGUUCUUUAAGGUUGAGCUGGAACAUGAUGAAAGGCUCGGGUACGGGUCCGAGCUCGGGGUCAACUUUAGGCUCAGGCAGUUUGGGUGUUCCCUUCAUAGUGCUUUUUCCUGUGUGGUACCCAAGAAAAUUGAGGUAACCAGCGGCUUUAUUGGUAGUAUUCCUGUUGAAAAAUUCAGGUAUUAUAGAAACAAGGCUUGGGGUUGUUGUCAUGGGUUGGUUUUGAUCAUGGUUGAGCGAGAAAGUAUGUUGUUGUGGAAUCCUGCUACAAGAAAGUACAGAGAGUUGCCUGAUUCUGGGAUUAGAAAGGAGCAUAAGUUACCUGGCUCUUCUCGCUUGUCAUGUGGGAUUGGUUAUGAUGAGUCUAAUGAUGAUUUUAAGGUUCUUGUACUUUCCUCAGUUGGUGGUACGCGGAAUGAGACUCUGGCUAAGGUUUAUAGCUGGAAGACGGAUUCUUGGAAGAAGAUUGAAGAUCUUAAGUACUCUUUGAUUGAGCUAGGCGGCUGUUAUUAUCUGAAUGGGAUUUUACACUUUAUUGCAUAUGAUCCUCAAAGUCGCGGUACUUGGAAUAUGGCUUCUGAGCGGAAAAUUGUAGGUUUUGAUUUGGCGAAUGACAUUUUUAAACAGAUAGAACUCCCUGAAGAAUUGAUUACCAAAUGUACGUGGAAAAUAGGAACAUUAAGAGGAUGCCUCUCUUUGUUCGUUUAUUCUGGAGGCAAUCAGGUGGAUGUAUGGCUCAUGAAGGAGUAUGGAGUAAGAGAAUCUUGGUCUAAAGUGGUUGUUGCUCCUUUUUUUCAAGAUCCUCAUGGUACUGUGUUCAGCAAGCCUUUGAUUUUAUCAGAGAAUGGUCGGCUUUUGUUUGUGACUGCGCCAAGACCAAAGUUGGGAGUUUAUGAUCCAAAUGAGAAUUCACUCCACUAUUCUCAGUUUAUUAACUUGGAAUAUCCUUAUGAAGCAGAUGUGUGUGUUGAAAGCUUAAUUUCUCCGUAAUGCUGUUCAUGGAUUAAAAGGGACUUCAACCAUAAAGGUAAUUAGGGCUUUUCUAAUUUUCACCUGCUGAAUUAUUUUUUUAUUGCUGAUCUCUGUCCAGUAACACUUAAUUUUCUGCACUUACAUUAUUCACUAAAUUUUUACUGUCUGUAUGACAUAAACAAAACCAUCGGAAUGAGAAGUAUUGCUGAGAAAGUAUGCAUUGAUCAAGGAUUUGCUUUUCUAUAUUAUUUGCUUUAUUCCAACCAUAGGGCUCAGAUUAAUUGAAUUUUCUUGUUCUGCUUACUUCUUUACUUGUUUGUGUCUAAGCAAAAAGAAUGGAACUCUUUGAUUUCUAACCAUUAUUGUAUUUCCUGAUACUUUGGACAUUCUCAUCAAUGAAAUUCACAAAACUCAUUCCAGGAAAUGUUUUUCUUGUGCUUCAUAUGUAUCUUUAAUUGAUGCUAUCGUGGUGUAGAUCAUUGAUUCAUUUUGAUAGUCUUCUCUGUUUAUUUGUUCAAGAAAGCAAAUAAAUUAACUUUUUCCUAACAUGGCUGUUUUCUUUUUCUGCCCAUAGUUAAUACAUUAUGCUCAAACGUGUAUCUUCUGUGCCCUUUUUUAUAGUUCAAACCCAAAUUGCCUUUUAAGAACUCAACCAGAAAAAUGUAUUCUAUAGGAGCAAAGAAGCAAAAAAUGAAAUCUUUUGAAGCAUUCUUAGCAUAUUUCUUAAUUGCCCAUAUGGCAGAGGUCGUUUGGAGCUAUACUGCAUAGCACAUUUCACUGUUUGUCCUAUAUUGAAGGGAAAUGCACAAUGCACUAAAUCUGAAUUUUCCUUAUGUAUAUAAAUACAUAUUCUGCUAUAAAAGCACUAUGUUCCUGUUGUCUGCCAAAUGUAUUUGAUGAAUCUGUCAAUGUUCUUAUGCAUAAAGGGAAAGAAAAUUUAAGACACGUUUGCAGUACAAACAUAAAUCUAAUCAAUAUAGAAUCAUGUUAUAAUAAGCAAUCCAACAUCCUAGACUAGUGUGAUAGAAUCAUGUCAUAUGCAUCCAACAUCCUAGACUAGUGUGAUAGUCAUUUAAUUUAUCUCCUAUGAAGUCAUCUUCAUUGUCAUUGGACUUAUAACACUGAACAUCUUCCUCUUCCUUUUUUCAUCAUGUAUUUAAACUCAUUCUCUUCAUCAAUGGGGCAAACUGUUGAAUUGAAGAAGACGAGCAAUAAGAGAGAUAUUACCUACACAAGCAGAGGUUGGAGAGCGAGAACUGUGGUAAGAAAUGAGAGGAGUGUUGCAAGACAACUCUGGUUUUUUCCUUCAAUGUGCCGCAGAUUUGCCCCUUCUUUUUGUUUGGAAUUGUGAAAUUGUGUGUAUUUGGGUUUCACGGGUCACAACAAAAGAAGUACAGCCAGUUGAUUUAAUUGUUAAAGAUCCAUGGGGCCAGAUUAGACAUCUCCAAAACUUUAGGAAGGCAUGCUAGUUAGUGGUAGGCACUAUAGCGCAACACUAUUGGAAAGUCCCUAUACUAACACUGAACUAGUUGAGGAUGUAGCCCAUGUUUAAUAGCUAUGUUUCUUACUUAAUCAUCAAUAUCUCUUGUUGACAUGGUAGAUUAUGAACUAGGUGUUUGCUUCGAGGCUGCAGGAAUCAGGAAUGCAAUAACUUUAUUUAGAGUUUCUCAACCAAUUUUGAUGCCCCUGCAAUAUUUGUGAAUCAGAAAAUGCCCUUUUUUGGAUUUUUCACUUGUCACUAUUCUAUCGAGAACUAUCUCUUAACCUUUAAAAUUAACCAUAUUACUAGGGGUGUAGCGAUAUUUAUAUUUACUACGGCACAGUUUUAAUUAUUUUUAUUUCUAGUGAUGUCUUAAAAAUCUCUCUUUGGAAGCUUAUCUUGUGCAUUCACACUAAAUAAUCCAACCUUGCUCAUCAGUGAAGUCCACUUUCAUGGUAAUUCCCAUUCGAGAAAAUCCUAAGAUGUUGAAGGUGUCAAUUUAUUGAAGUCCACUUUUAACAUAUAUGCAAUUGAAUUUAAUGAAUGACUUAGCAUGUCAAGGUGCAACAAUUAUUGUAAAUGAAAUUGCCUGUUUACCAUAGUAAGAAAUGAGAGGAGAGUUAAGGUCACUGCUUUUGUCCUUGAAAUGCCACACAUGUGCCCCUUCUUUUAGUCUAGAAAUGUAAUGAUUUUAUGUAACAGGGUUGCAUGAGUCACAAAUUAAGAUGUACAACCAGUUGGUUUAAUUUUUUAGGCUAAGAUCCACAAUAGUCAAAUAGCCCAGAUUAGAAAUCUACAAGACUUUAGAAAAGCAUGCUAUUCAGCAGUAUCUGCUAUCACACACAUGCUGAGUGCUAUUCAAAAGUCGUUACGCUGUACACUAUAGCACUGAACUACAUUAGGGAUGUAACCUGCUAUUGACAAUUAUGUUUGUUGUUUUGUCCCUUUAUCUCUAAUUGGCACCUAGUUCUUAACCAGGUGUUUGUGGAGGGUAUGGGAAUUAGAAUUUGAUGGCUCCAUCCAGGUUUUUUUUACAUGUUGAUGCCCUUGCAAUAUUUGUGAACAGGUUUACCAUUUUUCUUUUUUUUUUUUUAAAGUGCAAGUGGGAGGGUUCGAACCCAAGACCUGCCACUUACACUCCUUCCCCCUGAACUACCCAACCCAUCCCUCCCCCCGUGUGAAUAGGAUUACCGGUUCUCUGUUUAUCAAAGAGAAGUGGAUUACAGGAAAUCAACUUUUGUUUAAACAUUAGAAGGGAAACAGAAAGGGUCCUAUCUUUGCUUCAGCAAUUGUUGCAUGAUCUGUAAACUUCUAAAAAAUAUCUGCUAGUCAUCGGUUUUAUUUGGGGUUGGUCAACAGUUGAAUUUGGGGUUGGUCAACUAGUCAUUGGUUUUAUUCUCUUGCUGCUCGAGAAAUCCUGUCUAUUUCAAUUUAUCCUGUUCAAAUGAGACAACUUCUAAGAACUUGACACCAGACCGUUAUCUUGUUUCAGACAUGUUUGGGACUAAUUCUUUGGUCAUAGGUACUGGCUAUCCAGCUGAGGCUGUAAAUUAUCCAUAACAGCAUUCAGUUGUACCAUGCCCUCGUAAUUGUGUUUCCUACUUAAAUGAACAUCAACCUUUCCUGAUGUAUCUUUCUCAACAUGAAUGUCUAAUCCUGGUUUUCUAUCCAGAUUAUGCACAUCAGUAACAUCUGUGGUUGCUAUAUCCCCAGUCAGAGCAAAAGAACCCUCUCCUGCUGCCAUUGAUGUUGAAUAUCCAAUAUAUCCAUGUUUAGCUAGAGCAUGUUUCACUGCAUGGACUACAGAGUCAGAACGGUCAUGAAGUUUAACUGCUAGUUAUAGUAAAGAACAUUUUGCGAACUUCAGGUAGUUAUCUAGUUUGGCUAACUGUUUACCAUUUUUGGAGGACAUCUUUGGACAUUUCGCAUCUACAAUUGACUUCAUCCUUAGCAAUGUAGACUUUUCUGAUAUGUAAGGCUGGAAGAGAAGUUAAUAUGUCAUGUUAAAAUGAUCAAAAGUUAGAAAAUAUUAGCAGCAUUUCUGUUCAAGCUUGUAUGAAGUAGAGUUGAAUCAAUAUGCUUUAGACUUUUGAGAAAUCCCCUUGAACAAGUGGUGUUGGACUAGGUAGAUAAAUUAAUCUUGAGCAUUGGUGUUGGACAUAUUGUAUAAAUAUCUUUGAUAUAUACAGUUACUCAGCUCCGGCUAUCAUGCACUAACUGGAAUAAAUUACCACACAAUGAUUGGACUAAGAUUCUUGAGAACCGUUUUGAAGAAACAGCGAGGGAAGUUUGAUGAGCUACAUGAUGAAAUGAAGUACCUUCUUGGAGCUUCAGUCAACGAAGUAGGAAUAUUGAUUUUCUCUCUUUCUGGCUUCUGCGUGCGAAAUGGUAGAAGACUCGACCAAAGAUUCAAAGAACUGGAGGUUGCGCUUUUUCCUCCCUACAAGAUUUUUGAGAAACUCUAAUUUUUUACUCCUUUAUUGGCAUUAUAUCGACCUCAGUACUUGAAAUCAGAAAUCAUGUAUUGGUCUCAUUCCAGUGUACAUUUUCUUGAAUCGGUUGACCUCUUUGAAAUUUGAUCGAAAGAGAAAUUUCUUGGCUAUCAUUCUUAAACCUAUCAGACAUACAUCUUAUCUGGUGAAUUCCUCAAUGUCCAGAAUCCAACACAUUUUCCAGCAAUUCAUGCAUUGGAAACUUGGGGUUGAUUGGAUUUCCUUGAAAAACAUAGGUGGAGAAUUUGAGGGGCCACCGUCAAUGACCAAUAAAUAUUUUGUUUAUCAAUUUCUGAGAAUUUUUCUGCACCUAAAAUGGUAAAAUUUUACAUACAAUCUGAAACAUUUUAUAAGCAGAAAUGAGAAUUGAAUAUGACUUGCAGUGACAAGUACAACAUGCAAAUUCACAUUAUUCUCCUCUCUCCAAUGGCACCUCACACAAAAAAGUAUGCAACGUAAAAGAACACCACUUGUUGGUAAAUUUUGAUAUCAAGGGCUAGGAGUAAACUAUUAAAUAACACUAUUGAUCUUUUUCCUUGUAUGCAAGUAAAUGUCUACCCUUUUGUUUUCUUCACAAAAAUAAACAAUUUUUACAUUAAUUAAACUAGAAGAAGAGAGAAAAUCAAGGUGGAGAAAAUGUUCAAGUCAAAGUUGCAAGAAUUGUGUCACCAGAAAAAAUGGGCUCUGCCAAUAUAUUCAUGCAUCAAGGAUGGAGCAGAGCAUAGCCCACAAUUCAAAGCUUCAGUUGUUGUUAAUGGCAUCAACUUUGAUUCACCUAGCAUUUCUAAGUCCUUGAAAGAAGCACAUAAUGAGGCUGCUAAAUUGGCUUUCCUCCACUUCACUUCUGGUGACUUAUCAAGAAAAUUUUAGAAUCUUCUUGAGUUUUGUGUGAAUUUGUUUCCUGUUUUGUUUUAUCAUUCAAUGUGAAAUAGUUGUGGCAGAAUACAAUAUGUCAGAUUUUGACAUUGAAAUUUCAGGGCUAAAGGACAUUAAAUUUAAGAUGCAAUUAGAUGAAACAAUUUUUUGCUACUAGCACAAUCAAUUGAGCUCAGAGAUUUUCAGUAUUAAAAGUUUUUUCAUCCAAAUUGCUAUGAAUUAUGUGCUAGGACUCUGUUUCAACAGAGCUUCAUGUAAAAUCAAAUUAUGUGACUUGCUUUAAGUAUCAUUUCGUAUAGACAACUUUUUUUUUAAAAAAAAAUUUCAAGUCAUGAAACGUUGGUGAAAGUCAGGAUUAAACACGUAAAGAAGUCUAACUAAUGUGGAUCAAUUGUGGUUUAAGUCCCAAUAUGUCUGUGUCUAAUUAGAAAUAUGCUAUUAACAGAAAUUAAAUCCACAAAACUUGAUUUCUGAGCUAUGUUAUUGCUAAUUGAAAGCCUAAUAUUUAAUUGGAGAGAAUAUCUAAUGUAUAAUAUCUUGGAGUAGACCAUCUUUCAAGUUGAAAUUUCCAGAAAGUUUUGCCUAAAAUAUUUCUGACUCUUAGCCACAGCAAUUCGCUAAGCUGUAGCAUUUUUUGUGCAUCUUUAACGUUUUUCACAUUUCAUGAAAUGUAGAUGAAAAAGCUAUUGUUGAAGGAUCAAAGACUGAACGAAGGUUGAAGGGCAGAGAUAUUAAUUCAAAUGCUUUGAGCAAUGAAGCUGGUAGGAAAAUUUAUCUCCUUUGCCUUGCUUCAGACACUUCUCUCACUUGCCUGCCUUAAUUGAUCCUUUUUUACUUUGAUUUCCUGUCAUUCUAAUCCCUUUCUUAGCUUCAUAUCCAUGUGAAUGACUUGAUUUAUUUUCUAAAUUUGUACCAGUCCAAUGUUGUUAACAUUUUAGUAAUGGUGGAUGAUAAAUCAACUAAUGCAGGUCCAGACAUCGAACAAGCACUGAAGGAUGGGGCUAUAAAUAGUAGCGAAGAUGGUAAGGAAGUCUGUGACCUUUGUCCCACCUUGCAUUUUACAUAUCUUUCCAAACUUUUUCAUCCAACUUUUGGAGGUCCUUACCGAUUAUAUUCUUACUUUUAUGGUAUCUUUGGUGGAAACAGCUUGAUUUUUUUUUUAAUUCCAUAGUCAAAACUAUGAUGAGAAGUUUACAUUUGCUUUGCAUGAAAUGAUCCUUUCAUCUAUAUAAUUAGGAUGUGGUCAACUAGAAUGCACUCUAUUGUCCCCAGAAAUUGUUCUUUCAUAUGUUUGAAAUUAGUAUGUUGUAUUCUGCUGUUUUUAGACAGCUUUCUUGAAGUUAAAUUUCAUCUCUGCCCAGCCACUUCAAAGUGCUCACCUGCAAUCUCAUUGGUGCUUCAUGCUUGCAGAAGUGCAACAAAAUUACAAGAGGAAGCUGCAGAAGUAUGCUCAGACAAAGAAACUUGAUUUUCCUUUAUACCGUACUAAGAGAGUGGAGCAAUCUGAUGCUCUUUGCUUCACAGCGAAAGUUUUAGUUGGUGAAGAUAUCUUUGAAAGUCCAGGAUUCUAUGAGACUACAAAAGAUGCAGAGGAUGCUGCUGCACAGGCUGCACUAACAUCGCUGACAAUGGAUGCCUUUCGCAAGGUAAGUUAUCAUUGGAUUCUCAAUUCUACCUUCUAAUUCUUUCUAAAGGGACAGUUGUUAAAAUAAGUAGUACGGGAGGAGGUGGCAAUAAAGAAAUGUAUUUCAUCAUUAUUCUAUUGUCCUUAGUCCUAUCUGUUCGCAUCUGUGUUAACCUUUUUGCUUUGUAUUUAUGAAGAGUGAUGAUAAUAUGUACAAGAAUCUGCUGCAAGAAUUUGCUCAGGAGAAUGGGUUUUUCUUGCCAAAAUACAAAACUAUGAAAUCUGGUGAGGAUCAUAAGUCAACAUUCUUCUCAACUGUGGAAGUAGGAGGAGAAAUUUUCCAUGGGAAUCCGGAGAAGUCCAAGAAGCUGGCAGAGUUUAGUGCUGCAAAGAUUGCACACACUGCUUUAAUGCAGGGUAAGUGACUCCUGCAACAUUAGUUCUUUUGCUUAUUACAACAUAUGGAACUUUUGGGAAACUAAGAAUCAUAACUACUUUAUAAAUUCAAGUAAAACUAAGCAGCCUCUGUUGCUUUUUUUUUUUUGAGAGGGGGGGGGGGGGGGGGGAGGGUACAAAGAUCAGCUAACAUAUACUAUAUCCUUGUGUAAGAAUUUUUGUUAAUAUGUUCAACUUCUCUCACAAGCUUAACGAUAUAACUAAUGAAGACUUUUAGUGGCAUAUUACCACAUGACUUCUGCUGAAUGGGAAUUGGGAAUCUCAACUACAUUGUAUUUGCAAGCUUAAGUUACUGUGUUUUAUUGUUAUAAUCUUUUGCUUGAACCUAGGUUUAUAGACGAUAUACAUAUAUAUACCUUAUGAAGUCCUGUCAAAUAUUGAACUGGUUGAAUACAUAAGGAAAACCAGGAGACGCACUUGAAGGUAAUUCAACUCUGAUAUUUGUUUAUCUUGGAUUUACAGCAUGCCUUGUGCUUUCUUGACUGAUUAAGUCUUCCCUGAUUCAGGAAAAUCCUGUUUGUUGGAUGACAAUACAUCUCUUUCCUCAAAGGAUGACAUUCUUGAAGUUGCUCCUAGCUUGGACUCACUCACCAUUGGUGAUCAGCAAAGGAACUCCAAUCCUGGAACUCAGGCUGAUGAAAGCAAAGGUUAAAUCAUUUGUAAUCUAAUUUCACUGGUUUCGUACCUGUUUAUUUCACAAACUCUUGCUCUUUCAUAUUUCAUUUUAAGAUUAAGGUUGGAUGAGAUAAUGGAUAAUUUCACUAUCUAGCAGAUGAAGAUGAAGAGACUGAUUCCAGCAAUCAUGAAUUUACAGCAAUCAUGAAUUAUACAUGAUAACAAAAUUGAUCAGAUGUUCUCUGAAGCCCGACUUAAGUGUGCUACUUAAGAACCAAUUGUGUUAAAUAUACUAUCAUGCCUUCUUACAUUUGCUUCGCGCUAACUGCAGAUUCUUCAAGCAAGAAGACUACAGAAGAUAUCAAUACAUACCUGCUAUGUAACAGGGUCAGAGUGUAUACAUGCAUUCCAGAGAUGAUCUUUUCCAAGGGCAAUGUAGCACUACCAAUUGCUGAGGGCAAGUGGGCAGUCGUGAACUUGGAGUUCCCCAAUGAAAAAGAUGCAUAACCAUUACUUCCUAUUAUGUAACUUGGUAUAAUUAAUUUCUGUUACUAUCUAAUUAUUCAAGUGAAACUAACCGCAGUUCAAACAAUUUGACUGAUAAUUUGAUAUGCAGCAUAUGCGCUGCAAUCUGCAUUUCAAAACAAUGAAUAUUUGCUCAGAUGGAUGAGACUAAAAUAGGCCCAAGUUGCAGAGAGGAUAUACAUUAAGUGCAUUUUCUGAUAUAUUGUGCAUUUGCCAAAACCAAGAUGCUCUUGAACUUCUUGCAAUUAGGGAACAGCUUUAUGCCUUUUGCAUCAACAUGACAUAUCUUUUGUGCAGACUUAGGUAAAGUUUGCAGAAAAUAAAAACAAACAAUGGUCCUUGACAUGCCCCCCAUCCUUUGGGAAAUGAAAGGGAGAGUAAAUCAUCAUAUAAAGUCAGAGCCAUGAUAAGUUCACGAAAGAGUUUCAACAACCUCAUUGAAGCAAUAAUAUGUUCUUUUAUAUAUCUUGUUCAACUUGAGAGCGUAAAAUAGAAUAGAAAUAUCAAAUUCAAUAUUUCUUUUUAUUGGACAUUCAUCGAGUAACUUUAGAGCCAUUCUCUGGGAAUCUGUCAGUCUGCAACCCAAAUUUUUUUAAAGAAAAAGAUCAGAACUAAAAGUAAGUUAAUAAUAUUUUUGUAAGGAGUGACAACAGUGAAUCCACAAAAGCUAACAAAAAAGGAUGCACCAUACCAUAUAAUAGAUCAAAUCAUGAAUGUAGACUUCUUGUAUACAAAAAAAAAAAAGAAAGAAAGAAAGUGCACAAAAUUAUCAUCCUUUAACCGCUUCAUAUAUGCAAAACAAUCGAUGAUAUGUGUGUCAAUAUAACCAAAAAAUAAGCUCAAAAGUUUUUUUUUUAAAAAAAAGACAUCAAUUAUCAAAAUUUCGAAAACCUAGAACAACGAAGAAAUUAUGAAAUUGAUAUGGUAAAAAAGCCAGUACCAUUAGAGAAUCUGCAAAACAGUUAUGCAGAAAAUAAUAAAUAAAACCUUCUCAUAGACUUGGCAAUGCAAUCUGUGACAACUAAUAGGGAUGAUUGUAUAGUCAAAGCACAUAAAUAGAACUUAAGAUGAAAAGGAUACCUUUAUAUUGAAAUUUUGAUUUGAAAAAAUAGAUUUUGACCGAUGAUGAAGAUAAGAGGUUUACAUAGUUGUGACUUGCUGAAGAUGAGAAAGCGUCAAAGAAGCAUGAGUAAGAAUUUUGUUUCAAGAAGCUUAUUGAUAAUUGAAAAAAUAAUAAUACAACAAAUCUAGAAUGAGAAAAUAAGGGUAAUCAACUAAACAAACUUAUAGGAUAAGGAAGACUAGCCUGAUAAGGAUAAUCCAGAUUAUAAAUUUUGAAAUUUUCAAAUAGAGAAUUUGUUAGGUUGUUGUUUGAAACUUGAAAGACAGACCAAGUGAUGGAGUUUAUGGAAAAGCUACUUGGAUUAGUGGAUAGAAAGAGAAAGAUGAAAAAGAUUAGCAAGCGGGCGUUUAUUUUUAGAGCACGUUGUAAUUACAUGCUUUUUCAUUAAGUUAAGUAGGAAAGAUAUAUAAAUAUAUAUAUAUACACACACAUGAUGCGAGUUGAAUUUGGAACAUCACUUCAUCGUGUAAAAGAGAUGACAAGGAUUAUAAGAUAAAAAAUUAAAUUUUUAUAUACUACUCCCUCCGUCCCAAAAAUUUCGUCGCACUUAGAAAACAGUGUGUUUUUUAUGAAUAGUUCCAGCACAAGUGAGUUGCUUACCAUUUUGUCCCUCGCCCAAGCUCUUCAUGUAAAUGCACUGGGGAUCCGAUAUUGAUGCUAAUUCAAAUUAAAAGCCUAAAGAACUACUGGAGGUAGGACCAGAACUUUUGUUUUGUUUGCAUAUGUCUUGUGCGUGCUUUGCACGCUGAAGUUUCAACCAAGUUCCUUUUGGUUUUUCACUCCACGCAUAUAUUCAUAUGAACUUUUGAAGCACGUGAAUACUGAACAAGUGGGUUCAAAGGGCACACUUCACUUGAUUAUUGUGGGGACCAAAAGGGUAAAAGAGUGAAAUUGAAUAAAAAGUCUUUACUAUAUUUAGUAAGUGACAAAUAUUUUGGGACAGCCCAAAAAGGAAAGCAUGACACUUUCAAUGGGACGGAGGGAGUAUUAGUGUAGAAUUUUUUUUUUACACUAUUAAUUUUAGAUAUAUGUCACGUGUAGAAAUUAAAUUUAAAAGUUGAAAUUAAAUAAUGUACUCUAUAAGAUGAAACAACAUGGGGUCAAUCUUUUAUCUUGUGCCUUCAUGCACAGAGUGGUAGAAUCCAACUUUAAAAAAAUGGUGAUGGGAAAUCAUAUGAUGGAGCCGUUAGUUGACGUGCCCAAUUUGCAGCACUACGAUAAGUUUGGUAGGGGAGAACUGGUAGAAGAAAUUAUUUUUUAUUCCUUUUUCAAGACGAGGAGAAAUUGAUAUAGUUUGAAUCGGAAUCCAGCUUUAUUUGGAGAAUAAAUUGGAUUCGAAAAGGAAGAGAAAAGAAAAGGAAAAAAGGGGGCACCUCAAUCAUCUAUAUAAAUAUGAGAUGAUGAGCAAAAGAUAAAAAUGUAAAGCAAAAGGUAGAUUACUUUAGAAUAAAGGUAAAGUAAAUUUAUCCAUUUAAAAGUACGAUAGGAUUCCGGAUAAGACUAUUCAAAACAUAUAUAAAUAUGUUGUAACCCAAGCAUUUAUUAUUCUCAAUUACUUGCAUAAUUCCUACUUUCCUAGCUUCCAAAAUCUAAAGCUUUUUAGACACGAAAAAAGGAGAAAAAAAAAAUCAAGAAGAUCAAUAUGGGUAGCUGUGAAGAAAACAUGGCUGCUUGGCUAUAUGGUGUUAAUGAUCUCAGAGUCCUGCCAUACAAACUCCCUGCCCUUGGUAAUUCAUCUCUUUGGUUUUUUUUUUUCAAUUUGUUGAUAAUUUUAAUUUGUGUUCCUUUGAAUCUGUUCUUUCCUAAUUUACCAGAUGAAUUAUUGUUAAUUAGUACUUUCCCAUGAGAAUCUGUUCAUGACAGUAUUUUAGCAAUCCUUCAAAAUACCAAAUUCUAUUAGGUGAAGAUAUUGAAAUGUUUUUUUUCCCAGUCUAUUAUUCUUUUCUUUUUUGUGAAUAUGCAUUGUUUCAUUUUUUUUUUUGGGCUAAUUUUUUUUUUUUUAAUUUUGUUCUAGGUCCUCGUGAUGUUAGGGUCAGUAUGAAAGCUGUUGGUAUAUGUGGGAGUGAUGUUCAUUAUCUCAAGGUAAAACCCCCUUAACUAUGGUACCAUAACCUUCUCUUUUCUUUUUUCUUUUUUUCUAUUUAUAUAAACAUUUAUCAAUAAAAUUAAAGGGCUGACAUCCCUUAUAUUAGAGGAAUUGUCCAGUCACCAAUUUAUUUCGCGUGCGUUAAAAAUUUUGAAAUUAUUUGUUGGAAGCGUUUGUUCACUAAUCCCAUUGUAGCAAUGCACAAAUCCUUGUUCUAUUUUAUAUGCAACGAAUAAUUUUAAGUUGUCGACAUUUGAUUGUAUAAAAAUUUUGUAUACUGUUAAUGUAGAAAAGAUUAAUCCUAAUGUCCAUAUCGAAAAUAUAUUCCUAGACUAUGAGCUGCGGGCACUUUCUUGUGAAAGAACCAAUGGUAAUUGGUCAUGAGAGCGCUGGAAUCAUUGAUGAAGUUGGAUCGGAGGUUACAACACUAGCCCCCGGCGACCGCGUUGCACUCGAACCCGGAACUGGUUGUUGGCGAUGUGAUCGUUGCAAAGAAGGCCGGUACAACCUUUGCCCUGAUAUGAAAUUUUUCGCCACCCCACCAAUCCAUGGCUCUCUUGCCAAAAAGGUAUCUGCCUGUUGAAAAUACUUGGUAAUAUAUAGAAUUUGGUUUCUAGCCAUGUUGAUCACUAAAGAUUUUUGCAACAUUUUCUUUCUCCCAAUAGAUUGUGCAUCCGGCGGAUUUGUGUUUCAAGUUGCCGGACAAUGUGAGCUUGGAGGAAGGGGCCAUGUGUGAACCAUUAAGUGUGGGUGUGUACGCUUGCCGUCGUGCUCAGAUUGGCCCUGAGACGAAUGUUUUGGUGAUGGGGGCAGGACCAAUUGGCCUCGUCUCUUUGCUAGCUGCUCGUGCAUUUGGUGCUCCAAGAAUUGUCGUUGUUGAUGUUGAUCGCAACCGUCUGUCCGUCGCAAAAGAGGUUGGAGCAUUUGCGACGGUACAAGUUUCAACCAAAACUGAGGUUUGUCCCACGUUACAAUAAAUCUUGCAUAGACUGACAGUAUAUUUUUCAAUCAGUGUGGAUGCAUGCCACUUAUAUAAAAUCAAAGUUCAAAUUCAAUUUGGGAUUAGAUGACAUGCUUCUAUAUCCAACCAAUAUACAAGAUUAAUCCAAUUUAAUUAUGUCUUAAUGCAAUUUUUUUUAUCCUUUUUUUUUUGGGCAAUAUGGAAGGAUAUUGAGAAAGAGGUGGAACAAAUCCAAAAGGCAGUGGGAGGAGUUGGCAUCGAUGUAACCCUAGAUUGUGUUGGUUUCAGCAAAACUAUGAGCACAGCUCUAUCUGCCACGAGAAGUGGUGGCAAAGUUUGCCUUGUGGGAAUGGGACACUGUGAUAUGACUAUUCCCCUCACCCCAGCUGCAGCAAGGUUGGUGUUUAUUUGGAUAAGUGUUCUUUUGGAAAAAUGUUUGUAUUGGAAUAUUUCGAAUAUGUUUUCCAAAGUUACUUUUGUGUAACUUUCUCUAUCAACUUUGCAUCUGGAAUAUUAUUUUUUUUUUCCUGCAAAUGUUUUGAAACAACUCGAUUGAUGGGGUUUUUCUAUGUUGAUAAUUAAUAGGGAAGUUGAUAUUCUUGGGGUAUUCCGCUACAAGAACACAUGGCCUCAAUGCCUUGAGUUUUUGAGCAGUGGCAAAAUUGAUGUGAAGCCAUUGAUAACCCAUAGGUAUGGCUUCUCUCAGGAGGAGGUUGUAGAUGCAUUUGAGACAAGUGCUCGUGGCAGUAACGCUAUCAAGGUCAUGUUCAAUCUUUAGAAAAGGGAACAUAUAUUAUGCUUUCUUUUUGGGAGAGGCUAUGGGAGAAGUUGCCCUAUAAAUGUUUUAAGGAUUAAGUGUGUUAAUUCACUUCCCUUUUGGUUUUUUCCUGCUUAAAUUUCCAGGGUUUUUGGAGAGUUUUAAGGCAGGUUGCCUAGGGUUGAUGUUUCUAUGUAUUCAAGUGUUAAUUCCUUUUCUUUUUUCUAUGUAAAUUUUGAUGUUUCUAUGUGAAAGGUCUGAUGCACCAAUUAUAUAAUCCGUUAUUAGGUUUAAAUGGUUCGAUUGUUGAAACACUUCUCAUUUUCUGUUCAUGUCAAUAUAUAGAUGAAUAAUAUCACCAUUUAUGUUUGAUAAGGUACUCAUUCUUAGAUGGAUUUUUUUUUUUACAGGACAUUUAUUCUAAUUCCUAGUUAAUCCACAUUGACACCAAAGUUUAAUUUCUUUGAUUGGGACGAGAAUUGGAGAAGAGCUUUGCUCUAUUUCUUUAUAUCUGUUCUUUGAUAUCUGUGUAUGUUUGAUGAUGUAAUUUCUGCCAUUAGUACAGAUUUUAAUGAAAUAUGAUAUUUUUAUCAAAAAAAAAAAAGAAGAAGAUAACUUUAAAAUCUCAAUUAUAUUCUAUAAAUAAAUUAUGACUUGGGAGUUUUGUAUCAUAUGGACCAAUCUUUUCACUAAUUUUAGCUAGUUCUCCCAUGAUGGCCUAAGGUUUUCCACCUUAGGGUGCUUAUUUCUAAACUGAUUAUCGAAUAUUCAAGUGAUUUGGGUCAUUUAUUGUCCUUAAAAUCUCAGAAUUUAAUGAUUUUUUUUGGCUAAUAGAUUGCAAGUGAAAAGUAAAAUUACAAAACUGUCAGCAGCGACUGCAUGGGGACGCGAUUAAAAGAAAGGGAUAGUUUCAGUAACCUCCCUCCAAGUUCAUGACAAUUUCACCUAGUACUAUUGAGAUUUUCAAUAUUAUAUUUACCUACCUCGGCCCUAUAAAAUAACCAUUAUAAUCUUAUCAUAUCAAUAUUUUUCAUGCAAUUAAACAAUCUGCUCCUAAUUAUAUGCAUAUAAGUGCAUUUCACACAAUUAGACAUUAAUGGAAACAAAAAUAAAAUUCAUUCAUAGAAUAACUAAUUAUGUCCUAAACACAAUUUUAACAUUAUAAUUAAUUUUAGCUUUGGUUGAAGCAUCUGGAGAUGAAUAAGAGAAGAUGCAGGUUAAAGGUUUAAGAAAAAGGCAACAAUAAUACUUGCUCUAUAAAGCACCCAAUGAAUUUCUCUUAAAAAAGCUUUUUCAGCCUCAGAUCUUCACAAGAUGGAGUGAUUUGCGGCUCCAACCCCUGCAUCCACAACCAGGAUUGCAAUGUCAUCUGAUUUUGGAACUAAUUCUUGUCUUAGGCUCUCUUCUUCUCCCCUUCCUUUUUCUUUCUAUAAUUUCUUUCAGUUUUGCUACUCUUUCUUGACACAACACGUUUCAAAGAUUCUCUUGUCCAAUAACUUCUAAGCCUUCUACUUUGACGUUUGAAAGAACUAAAUUAACCCCCCCAAGAAAAAAUAACAUAAACAAACUAAAAAAAAUGAUGUUACUGCAGGUAGUAAUCAAUGAAAUGCAAUUCUAGAAUCUUUUAUUCAUUUCUAGGGUCAGAAAAAUACAGGUAUUGAUCCAGAAUUAUACAAACACAAGUACAAGAGCAAAUCACGAUACAGCAAAUAUAUUAGCCUUAGUCUUCAGUUGUCCUCCUGAAACACCUGAGGCAAUUAAUGAUGUAUAGGCCAAUUACAACAGCCAAUAGAACAACCACAGCCACAUCCAUUGCUCUCCUUGACAUCUUCAGUUUUGCUGCCGGAUCAACUGCAGAUUGGUUGUAGUUAUCUACACUUGUUUUUCCACUUCCGUCCACAGUUUCACUAGUUCCUUUGUCCUUCAUAUCUGCAGCCUUUGCUUCUUCUUUCUCUGGCUUCUUCUGAGUAACAUCUUGAACAUCAGUCUGCUUAGAUGGACCAUCUAUUGGACUGGUUUUGUCUGCAGUUUUCUGCUGAACAGUCUCCUGAGGUCGUGCCUCAUCCUCAGGCUUCUGGAAUUGCCGUGGCUCAUCUGCAGGCUUCUGGGAUACUGUUGACUCAUCUGUAGGCCUCGAAAUGUCAGACUUAUCUGCAGGUUUCUGGGAUUGUUGUGGCUCAUCUGCAGGCUUCUGGGAUCCUCGUGACUCAUCUGUAGGUCUCAAAGAUUCAGGCUUAUGAUCUGCAGGCUUCUGGGAUCCUCGUGACUCAUCUGUAGGCCUCAAAGAUUCAGGCUUAUGAUCUGCAGGCUUCUGAGGUGUGGGACGUUCAGGGAUAGUCAAUUUGCUAUCUUGCUUGCCUCCUGGAGCGAUGAGUUUUGGUAGUCUAACGUACAAUAUGCCUCCGUCAAACUUGGCAGCAAUUUUUUUAGUGUUAAUAUCAGAUGAAAUACGAAAUUCUUUCUGGAAGCGGAUAACUUUAUUGUUUUCAGCCUCUCUCUCUCCACUGACCCUCAACUUUGCGCCUGCGGUCAGCUGGACGUUUAGUUUCUCCCUUCUAAAAUCUGCAGAAUUCUGUUUGUAAGAUUUCAAGACUUAAAAGUGCUUGUGAACCCUCCAUGAAUCAGACUAGAAUGGACACAGGAGGAAAGCAUGCGAUUUAUCCGGGUGCUAUUAUUGGAUGAUCCUCAGAUUCCAAGAAAAGAUCAUACUUAAGGGACAGCAAAUGUUCCAUAAUACAUGUAAAAACUUUACUGAUUGUUUGGCCCAAAAUAAUAUCCGAAAAGAAUACUCAUCAAAGGAAAUUAAGGCAAAAUAUACUUUGCAUUCAAGGUUUCAUUGAAUUAAUUUGUUUGCUUCAAACAGGAAAAUGGUAUCAAUCUUCUUAUAUACAAGAGAAAUGUGUUGGAAGAUCAAAUUGAAUACAUGUGAGAGAUUAAGGUUGAUAAAAAAAAAAAAAAAGAAAUAAAAAGGAUAGUCAGCCAAAAAUAAAGAAAGAAAAUAAUGAAUCUAAGAGAAUAAGGAGUAUACCAGGUAAAUGGAGAAGAAUGGUACUAUAAUCUUUAUCCUUCACAGUUUCAACUAAUGGUGCAAAUUCUUCAUCCUUGAUAACUGCUUGUGCAGCAGCCUCCAUCCUUCGAGUAAAUUCAAGAUUUUGGAUUUGUUUUCUUUUUUAAAUAUAUAUAAAUAUGUAUCUGUAUGGAUUUGGUGGUUUCUAAAGACUUUUAUGAUCAAUUGAAUAUACAGCAAGUCAGAUAAUCUAUGGAUUUAUACAUCCAUUUUUCAUCAGGGUUUUAUACAUUUUGAGUUUCCUUUGAUAUCAAAUAUACCUUUUAUUUUCUUGCUAGCUACAUCUUCCCUUUCUUUGUUUGAUAAUCUUCCACUAUUCCUCGGGAAAAGGCAUGUUCCCACUACUUUUCCUUGAGGGGAAAGGCACUACUUUUCCUUGAGGGGAAAGGCAAAGAGCUAAAACAGGAUUGCUUGAGCAAUUCAUUUUCCUUGAGGGUAUAAAUGUACUACUAGUUUUAGUAAAAUUAUAUAUUUUUUAACUCCAUUCUUAGCAAUGUGAUCCUUCAUCUAUCAUCAAAUAUUAAUUAGUCCCCUAUCUUUACAAAAAAUCAGUAACGUAGGACCUUUGACAGAAUUGGAGAAAAAAUAGAGAUAUGAGUGUUCCCCGAACCUAACUAGUGCAAUGUUCGUGUCCACAUUUUAUAUCAAUUAGAAAAUUUAGUGAUUUUGCUUGGAUAAGUGAUUUGCGGAAAACGUUGUCAGAAUUUUUUCUAAAUAAGUCUUUAAAAUUAUAUUUUCAGAAUUUUCAAUCAUUUUUUAAUCUCACAUAUGUUAUAUUGCACAAAGCAUUAAAGUGUUAUUCUAGAAAUUAUUUAAAAAAAAAAAAAAACAGAGACAACCAUGGCAAUCGUGAUUGGAUUUUGUAGUUUCUUUGGGUAUUCUUGGCAUAUUCCACAACAAUUUGUGGAUGCAAUUAAGACAGGUGUUCAUUGUAGUAGCCUGUGGAUGCUCAAAAAGAUAUGGUUUGAUUUUUUUCUAAUUGUAAUUUAAUCAUGCUUGUUUUGUUUUACCAUUUUUUGGCAAUUCAACUAUUGUUUGCGGAAGCCAAAGAAUGAAAAAAGUUUUAUUUUCACAUAUAAUUCUAAUAGCUCUGGCAAUCUAUGUGAUGGAUUAAGCAUAAAUAAAGUCCUUUAAUGAAAUUACCAGUAGUAUUGGGAGUAAAUGGAAAUCUAUUAAGUUCAAGCCAAAUGACAUUUAUGCUCGAGCUUAAUCUCUCUGUCACCCUGGCACACUUUGAGUUAAUCACAUUUGUUGUCCCUGAAAUUUGUGUUAAUUACAAAAUGGACAUCAAAAUUUGUCUAAAUUAAAGUCCAAUGCUUUGAAUAGAAAAUAUUUUUCAACGAAGCACCUUCCAAACAUUUACUAAGGAAACAUUUUCCAUUAGUCAAUUGAAAUAAUGGCAACAAAACUCUGUAUUAGUGGAAUCAUAAAAUCGUACAAUCCUACUACAAAUGCAAACAACCAACAUUUCAUUCAAUUGUAUGCUUAUAAUUCAUGAACACAUAGAAAUAGAUAUGAAAAAUGCAUCAAAAAAAUAAAUUUCUUCAACUAAGAUUUUUAAUUCUAUCAUCACAUCUCUACAAUAAUAAAACAAGAGCGGGAGUUUGGUUUGGUGUAAACAAUUUAGUGCCAUCUUUUGUGAUUUCAAUUUUAUCCUUCGAAUUAACUAUUAACCAAUAAUCAUGUAUACAACUAAAUCUUAACUGCUUAAUUGUCGAUAUACUCCAACUCUUUAAACUACACAACUACUUCUUUACGAUUAUAAAUUCCUCACCACCCAAUUAUAUAUCAAAUUAAACAGCUAAACAUCACAUAACUUCUAAAAAUCUUCGUGCUUACAACUUCUAAAUUCUCACUCCAUAAAAGAAUCUUUUGCCAUCUACCAUGACAAAGUACUUCUCCCGUUUCAUCUUUUUACUUGGUGCGUUCUUUUGGGACGUAGAUCUUUCAUUAAUCCAUAUUUCUUUUGUUUUUCAUUUUGACUUUCCUUUUAACAUGAUAUUUCUUUUGUCUUUCAUUUUUUGUCCUUCCAUCAAUCUGUUUAUCUAAUUCGAACAAUCAAUAAUACAAAAGUUCAAGUCACUCCAAAAUUGAUUCAACUUUAGCCAAGUGUAGAUGAUACAAACUCAUCAGAUAAAAAAAAAUUUUAAUUUCAAAUUAUUAGGAUAUCUCUUGGUUCAAAUACUAUGUAUUUAAAUCUUUAAUCUUCUAGUGAUCUAACUAUAAUCUACAAACUCUAAUGAUCCUACUAGUGUCGUGAUCGAAUUCAUAAAUUUUGAAUUAGGAUCGUAACAGCAGGAUCAGGAGUUUAAUAACCAUGGCGCUAGUAGUGGUUUGGUCACUACAAAUGCAGUUGCUCUAGUUCCUUGGUUUGGUCAAGACUGGAUAAUGUUUCUGCAAACACAUGUUCGCACCAAUUUGUUGCUAGAUGCCUCGAGCUUCGCCUUCCUGGACAGUGGUAUGGCGAAUGCAGUCAGUCAAGUCAUUUGGCCCUUCCACUAUCAAACAUGUCAGGCAGAGGCAGAGCAUCUGAUCAUGGAGCUAAUUCUUGUCUUAACCUCUCUUCUUCUGCCCUUCUCUUUCUUUCUUCAAUUACUUCAGUUUUGCUAUACCUUCUAACAUGUUUCAAGACUUUAUUGUCCAAAUUGUAAGCUCUACUUUAAUGUCCAAUCGGUACAAUGAAAGAACUAAAUUAAACCACUCAAAAAUCAAUCAAAAAAGCAAACUAAAAAGAUAAAACUGCAAUUGUCGUGCACGAGCGCAACCACUAGACAGCAAUAAAUAAGCCUCAGUCUUGAGCUUUCCUCCAGAAAGACCUGAUGAAAUUAGGGAAGUAUAGACCAAGUACUACACCAAAAAAACCAACCAAAACCACAUUCUUUACUCUCCUUGACAUCUUCAGUUUUGCUGCCAGAUCAAGUGCAGUCCUCAUGUAAUUUUCUAUCCAUUUGCAUUUUCAUUAGUUCCUUUGUCAACCUCAUCUGCAGGCUUCUGGGAUGGCUGUGGCUUAUCUGCAGGCAUCCAAGAUUCUGGCUUGUCUGCAGGAGUCUGAGGUGUUGGAGGCUCAGGGAUAGGCAAUUUGCUAUCUUGCUUGCCUUCUGGAGCGGUGACUUUUGGUAGUCUAACAUACAAGAUGCCAUCUUCAAACUUAGCACUAACUCUGUUGAAUCAUAAUCAGAUGAAACAGAGAAAUCUUUCCGAAAGCUGAUAGUUUUAUUGUUUUCAUCCUCUCUCUGUCCUCUGAUCCUUACAGUAUUUACUGAAGUCAGUUGGACCUUCAGUUCCUCCUUUCUGAAACCUGCCGGAUUCAGUUUGUAAGUUUCUAUGGUCUGAAUUAAAGUACUUGUGAACCUUUCAAAUAUCAGAAUGAACUGGACAUGGGAGCAAAGUGAGUAAAAUUCACUCUAUACUCCAAAAAUAAUGAAAUUAAAUCAAAGAGUAGAAACCAUAGCAGGUUUCAUCUUAGUUUUUUGUUUGCUCCACAUGAAAAGCUGAUAUCAAUCUUCUAUCUUCUUGUAUAGAAAUACAGGAGAAAUAUGUCAAAGAUCAAAUGUAAUAUAUGUAAGAGACUGAGUUGGGGUUGAUCAAAAUACAUUAGCCUCUAAGAGUAGCAUAUAUCCAAUCACAACUCACAAGAUUUGGUAAACAAGAUAAUCAGCUAAAUUGCAGGAAGAUUACAGUCCAUUGAGGACAUUGUCUGUCAAAACUAGAUUUCACAAGCAUACAUAUUGUGAACAUGAAAAACCUUCACAUAAAGAAUAAUCCAACAGUGCAUAACAUUUCCCGAAGUAGAAAAGAACAUGAAGUCAUAUGCUAAUUAAAUGGUUCAUAGCAAUUAAGCAUAAAAUGUUAGGAAACAGGUGUUAAAGUCCCAAAAAAAAAGGAAAAAAGGAAGAAGAAAAUCCCACUAGGGUGAGGAGGUGGGGGGGGGGGUCGGGCGAAAUAAAAGGACUAUAUAUACCAGGUACAUGGAGAAGAAUGGUGUCACAAUCUUUUGCCUCCACAGUUUCAGUUAGUGGUUCAAUUUCUUCAUACAUGAGAGAUGCAGGUGCAGCAGCCUCCAUUCCCCGAGUAAAUUCAAGAAUUUGGACUUGCUUUCUUCACUCAAGAUACAUGUAUAUUGAUUAGCUGGUUUCUAAAGACUCCUGUGGUGAAUGGGAUGUGUAGCCAGUCGGUUCAUCUAUGUAUAUAUAACUUUUUAAUACAAUUUUCACUUAAUACAUACACUUUUUUUUUCUUACUAGCUAUAUCUUCACUUUCUUUGUUUGAUACCUUCUGCUUUUCUUUUGUAAAAAGACAUGUUCCUAUUACUUUUACUUGUGGGAAAGGCAAAACAGCUAACCAUGAUUGCUUUAUCUAUUCAUGUUCUAUGAGCGUAUAAUUUUACUAGUUUAAUUCUCUUGUUGCAGCUUUCAUGGCUAAAGUGGAACUAUUCUUUGUUUUGUUAAUACUCCUCCAAGAAUAUUGGUACUCUCCUUGGUGGUAGCUGGGCAAGCAUAUACAUUCCUGCCAUCAUCUCAUGCCAUGAUAUUUAUAUGUAUGAAAACAAAGACUGCUUUUCUUUGCUGGCUUUUUUUCCCUUUUCUUUUUUAUACAUUAUCUUUGCAUGUUCCAUAUUUCUUUUGGAUCAAGUGCAAUCUACCACUUCAACUUUAAUUACCUUUGCAUUUGCUAAUUUCUUAUAGCAGACUACAUCAACCAUAUCCUUUCAUUUCAAUUAAGUGUAACUUUUCUUCAAACCCCCAAAUCCCCAAUCUUUUGUUAAAGAGGACAUGUAAUAUCCGAGCAGGCAACUUUUUUUAAUCAUCCAAGUUGCAAAAGAGAAAUUAGUUUUGCUUAGCAAAGAGAAUAAUUAUCUUUUAGGUGAUAAAAAUAAUUACGUUCAGCUGAAGAGUGUUUUUAAGUUCUCAGACAGAAGUAAUGAGAGAGCUACUGAUCUUUGGUUUAAUUCAGAGGUAUCAUUUCUCAAGGUUUUAUCACCUGGGCCUGAGUAUCUUGCUGCUAGCAUAGGACAUCUACACUAUUGAAGGUUUCUACUGUCAACAAUGAAAGUAAAGUGAAGAAACCAAUGGAAUUCAACAGGGCUUUGUCUUGUACCAAAGUUCAUGAAAGUAAUUAAACAAUGAAGAGAAGACUUAAUCUUGGUAGUAAAGUGACUGCAGAGCGGAGGAAGGCUGUUUAGGCCUACCUUCAGCUGUUGAGCUAUAACUGCUGGGCAGAAUCCAUAAUGGUCCACAAUUCAAACGUGGGGAAUAUUAGGAGUGUUGCAAAAUCAAGGAGCAGCAUAUUAUUGACAACUUUGUUCUGGAAAGUAUACAUAUAAAUCUCAACAGAAUUGUCACUCUGAUAACAUCUACAUCAUGGUACUUUCUGUCUCAACUGUAUUUGAUCAUCUAGAAGACGUACAGAAUGAGCACCUUCAUGUGCUCUGAAAAAUCAACAAACUCGAACUUCUACCAUUCUCUAACAGCAAACUUCCUUCCCAAACUAGGAGCUCUUGUCAAAAGCAAAGGAGACACCCCAACAAAUGCAAGAAUACACGGAAGAUUGUAUUGACAGAUACCAAAUUAUGUAUUACUACCAAGAUUGGGAAUUUUGUACUGGUCAGCUUAACUUCUCAAUGUUAUUAUGAUGUCCCACGAAAAAUAGUAGACCCUCGACAUCAGUAAGUGCUUUUGGAAGUCAUUAACUAUCUGUAUAUCCUCGUUGCCUUUCCAGAAUAUAGCCGAGAGAGAUAUGUUGCAGCUUAAUCAACUUCACUCUAGCAUGCACGGUACCCAUGAUUACCUACACGAUGUAAAAGAAGAUGACUUUACAUUCAAUGCCAAAAAUUCAAGCUCUCGAAACUAAAUAUUACUUUAACAUAUUUGAAGAAUCAGCGCUAUUAAUCUAGACAACCAUAGAACAACUGGAAAAUUGCUUCAUUAAAGUAUAACAGGAAUUGGCAUUUGCUCAUACCCCAAAUAGCAUCAUACCCUGCCCUAAAUACAUUACAUGCAUCAGCGUCUUUGCUGCAAAUCUUGAACAACAGUAAUCAAAGCUGUCUCAGAAUUGUUGGCAAUGCUAAAUUUACAGUAUAAGACAUUACCUGCAUAUAGGAGGACCGGUACAUUAGAACUCGAAAAGAAGCCCUGGGAAGUACUUUCCAGAUACUGAUAUACCUCUUAGUUUCUGAGUAACAUGUUUCAAGAUUAAAGUGUUAAAAGAAACCAGGAAUUCAUUGAUUAAACAGGUGGUACUUUGCAAAAUGUUAAACACUAGUACAAAUGAAGGUCAGCAUUGUGAGGCAAUUCCAUCUUUUGAUGCUUAUCUAGUCAGUUUCUAAUGUUUGUGAUCCUAUACAGUUUAUUAUUGAUUUUUCAACAGUUUAUCUUUGGGUGAAGGCUAAAUUGCUAAAAUGAUGCAGGGACUAAUUUAUAAAAUCUCAGAAUUUAAAUGUAAUUUUUUAUAGCACUAAAAAGCCUUAAAAGAAUUUACUUCGAACCUAUUAUCAUAAAUGUAAAUUCACAUAUGUUUCCUUUCUCUAUUCUUUUUGUUCCUACCUUUGGUUUUCUUCUUUUCUCAAUUUUCUUCCCUACUCUAAAGCUAAUUAUGACAAAGACCAGUUUCAUCCCACCCCCCAACCCUAUCCUUCUCACUGCCUUCCACCAUCCAUGGCACUCCCUUCAACUCCCUUCCACCCUGCUCCCUUCCCUCCAAAUGCCAGUACCUCCAUCAAUCCACUAAUCCAUGAUGAUGGAUUAUGGCAGGCACCACUAUGUUCUUCAGUGUAUAGUUGUCAUGCACAGCAGGUUAUGUCCAACAGGUAUCUUUUUCGUGGUAAAAAUUCCAAAUGUACACAAUAGCAAACACCAUGUUUGAAAAGGUCUCAUUCCAUUCUAAUUGUUGGCGCCAACUCUGGAAGGAAGGGAGUAAUUCAACCAGAAUCAGUACCAAAAUUACUAUUAAGCAUUGCUUUAAGGAGGGGAAAAAAAGAUCAUCAUGGAAAGAAUUCAAAAAGAUUCUCACCUUGGUAAAGGAAACCUAAGCAACCCAAUGGAAGGCCACUUAAGGGCAAAAGAGGGAUUAUAUAGACAAAAAUAGUUACACUUAUUCUUUUUUUUUCUUUAAUGCUAGAUAGAAAAAUUAAUCUUUAGAGAUCGACUUCUAAAUAAGAUCAUAUAUCUUCAUCUCUCCCCCUCUCUCAACCAUAGUUCUUCCCCCCUUGCAGAGAACCCUCAGUUCUCUCUCCAUCAUCUGGACUACUUCCUCUCUCCAAUUCCUCAAUAUCAUCUUCUCUCACACUCCCAAAUUUAACACCAACAUAACUGUACCUAUAGUACUCCAUCCAAAUCAACGACCACACAUGCUCAAAACAGUUGUUACAGAAAGCAUCUUAAGAUUCAAUCUGGUAAACCAUAAAGCCUUGGUUGAAAAGAGUGUAAAGAUCGAAACUUUAAGAAAUAAUAAUCACCAAAAAAAGGAAAAAGAAAAUGCCACAAGUACCCAUAUACUGAUAUUAAACAGUCAUGGCAGCUAUUAGGAAAUUAGACAGAAAAAUAGUUGUCUCACUUCUAAAAUAUUACAGGUGAAAGUUGAUUUCUGGGGAUACACCCCUUUUAUUUGAGUAUCAUCAACUUUAAAUUCAAUUCUUACAUGAUGACUUUCUAUAUUUUGGAAUACAAAAUAAAGCCCUUAAUGUGCUCUUUCUUUGCCCUGAUAAAACACAAGACACUUGUAAAUAACCCCCCAAAAAUCAUUAUGAAAAACCGGGACAAGAUGAGGGAAAAGGAGGUCGACCAAAGUAUAAAGUACAGGUUAGACUUGCUUUAUCUUGUCUGCUAAUAAGAAGAAAAUAGAAUUACCAUGCAGUAUCACUCUUUAACUUCAAGUUUUGACAAUUUGCUAUUCACACAACGGAUAUCUUAUUUUUCAAAGAUCCUUAACCACUUCAUUGUGCUCUAACCAAGUUUCUCCUGUCCAGUCACUGCAACCAGUUUAAGCACUGGACAAAGCUGGAAUUUCUAUUUAAUUCCAUUUUAAAGCCAUAAUAUUGAUAAGGUAAUACAGGGUUAGAGAAGCUUAAGAUCCUAAGGUUAACAUUAUACUACCUCAAGUGGAUUGCUGAUGUGUAGGAUUCAACAUCAGAUAGAGAAGGAAUUACUCUACCCUGUUUUCCUGAAAAGUUGUUGAUUCUAACUUCUCACAACUUAUCAGCAGCUUAAAGUAGUGUUGAAGUUCAUUAAAUUGUGUUAUAAUAUAGAAAAUAGCAAUGCUCAAAGGAUAUUCUUCCCUGCUCCAUAAUUUGCCAAGCAUUAAACUUUCUUUUUAAAUUUUGCUUGCCUAGAGACAUAUCAAAAGAAAGUAUAGGAAACAUGGCACUUGGAAGCAGAAAAUAAGAAGAAAGCAACAAAGAAUUGGAAGAUGUUGGAGGUACAGGAAAAUGAAAUCCAUUUUUUCCCUUGUUUUAUAGAGCAGCUUGUUGUCCAAUAUGCAGUAGGUUGAGACAAUCACACAAACUUAGCAGCAAUUUCAUUAGUUUCUUAUUUAGGAAGGAAUGCCUCUGAAAACCGAUUAUGCCUAUUAUCUCUAUGUUCCCUCUCCUCUGAUCCUCAAGAUAUUCUGUCUUAGGUAGACAAUUAGUUUUUUUUCCUUUUCUAGCACCCGAAGCAAUCAGUUAAUAAGGUGUCUGAUUAGAGAUGCAGUGUCCACCUUCUACAAAUCUAAUUAAAUGACAAUAGCAGACUACAGAAUCCCAUGGUUAAUACUAAUUGUUGUUCCCCGAAGAAGAAAAGCAAAUUUGAAAUCAAAUAUAAGAUUAGAGUCAAGGGAUUAUAAUGUUACAAAAUCAAAAGAGUGCGGAAAAUACAGAUAUACAGACUACAGAAUCCCAUGGUUACUACUAAUUGUUGAUCCCUGAAGAAGAAAAGCAAAUUUGAAGUCAACUAUAAGAUUAGAGUCAAGGGAUUAUAAUGUUACAAAAUCAAAAGUCUGGAAAAUAAAGAUAUACACAAAAAAAGAAAAAAGGGAUGGGACAGAGUGAGAAUUAUAGAUAGGUUUGACUGAUUACUUAAAUGUUAGUUUCACCUUUGGCCUGGAAAUAUCCACUUCUACAUUUUUUUUUGCCUGCUAAAUAUUUUUUACUAUUAAGUGAUACACAACAUGACUGAGAAUCGACAAAAUCACAGAUUAAGAAACAUAUAUAGUUUAGGGAGAGCGAUAGAUACUUGUUUGGCAGGAGGAGGUUGAGUGUGUAAUCUAAAACUACAUAGAUGAAUUGUCAAUUAAAUAUAAGGUUUUGCAUUUAAAAAUGCCAUAAAUGCAGCUAAAACAACAAAGAAAAGUGCGUAGAAGGCCAGCAAAGUAAGUUUCUUAGUAAGCACUACAUAUCAAACGGUAUAGCUGUGACAGAUGCACACUGGCAAACAUGUACACAAUAUAAGCCACCUUAAACACAUAAAAUAGGAUUGUCGACACACAAUUAUAUCGGCAUACUGUCAAGCAAGAUAUUCCAAUUAACUUAAGACAAGAAUGAGACAGAAGCAAAAAAUGUGGGGCUCACAAUGCAUACCUUUGUGAAGACAAACUAUUAGCAGAAUUAGAGAAGGCAGCAAACACAUUGGAAUAGGACCGGGUCAGAUAAGCGAAAUUGGAAACUGGAGGUAGUGCAUGCAUCCGUUCACCUUUCUUCAAAAGCUUCUCUAAGUUAAGCCUCUGUAAGGUCAAAACUGAUUUAGACUCCCUCCAUACAAAAGCGAGCAGUCCAUCUUGAAUCACAAAUAAAGAGCCAGGUUUUGAACCAGGAUAUCUGAAACCGUACCCAUUUGCAAUACCUUCCCCAUUAUAAGCACACUCUACGUUAAGAACACGGCCAUCUUCAUCAGCCUCCCAAGGAAAUGGCUCCAGUGAAGAUUCAUCAAUAUUGACUAUGAACAUAGCAGAGCCAUUUGGAUGAAGAACGUAAUGAGUACCUUCUAAUAUCUUGGUAGCUAUGAGUAAAGUCUGACCCUGUGACUCCUCAUAAGAGAGCAAAAGGAAAAAGAGAGCCUUUCCAAGCUUGUCUUCGCUAGGCCGCCCAGGAGGCCAACCAAAUGUACCUCCCCAAAGACCAGAAUAUUCUUGGCCUGCUACUGGCUCCCGCAUGGGCAGCUUGUAAAGAGCAAACCGACUAUCAUGCAUAUUAGGCCAUGCCCUGUAAGACGAUAAUUUCACAGUUGAAGCAUGUAACAUCAGUCCUAUAGUGUCACCAGAAUGCAGAAACUCAUGAAGCUGUGCAUGUCUGUUCCCCCCGGAAGAAAAAUUCUUUUUCAAUGUCUCACGGCUACCAUUAAUUGAGUUUGAUUUCCCAAGCAUAUGCCUAAAACUAUCCCUGAAAUAUCCAGUAAGAGUUUUCUUUUUCAUGCACUGAGUCUGGCUGCCAUCACCAUACCAUGAAGUUUCACAGCCAUGUGUACAAUUCAUAUUCUUUCUGAUUUCACUCAUUUCUAAUUGAGUAGGAUCCAACAGCAAUCUGGCACCAGCUUUCCUAUCACUGGGGCUGCUACCAAGAUUAUACAUCUGCAUAAGCAGCAAUCUUCUUUCAGAUAGGAUUGCUAUAUCCUCUGAUAAAUCAACAUCACCCCUUAAACGAGGAAACAGGAGUGAAUUUUUUGCGUCUGGGACCUGCAGCCGGACUUGACCAGUGACAAGGUCUAGAAGCUUUCUCCUAUCACCAAAUGCCAUUCUGCUAAAAGGCACCAUUGAGGCAUUGUGUCCAACAAUUCUGUUUGACUUUGAAAUACCACUAUCCGACCGAGAAAUCUUCCGUGAGAAAUCCUUAUCCAAAUCAUGGGCAAAACUUUUGCUGUGGGCCAAUAUACCCCCAUUCCUCUGCUGCCGAGGCUCAACCUCAAGUAAGAGCACAUUACAAGUCCUAUCAACUGCCUUGAGUGAACCAGGAUAGACAUAGUCAUGGUCUCUCUCCCUUCCAUGCAAGAAAAAUUCAGCAGAGCCCUCAAAAUCACAAAGAAUCUCAAAUACGGGCGCCCAUAAAAUUGGGCCAUCUUCAAUCCCUAAAGGUCCAAUUUCUUGAGGUAUAAUUCGGCACCCAACAACCGACACAAAACCAGGCAUGACAUAAACUACAUUGCCAAGCUCAGGAUUUUGGUGAACCCAUAUUCCAAGCAGAGGAAAGACACCAACAAGAAACCGGCAAAUCGCCUUGUAGGAUGAAACUCCUUUCCUCCACUCACUAAGAUCCUUAUAAGGAACUACCCCCAGCUUAUCACACUGUGCAAGCCAGACCUUCUCAGAGGCCACUAAUUCACACAGCCCUCGACAGCAAAGACCAAGAUUACAUAAAUCCUUGGGAGUGAGGGACCUGGUGACUAUGAUUAGAACAUCAUCUGGUAGAUGCAGAAGCAAGCUAGAUCCACACUGAUCAGGCAACAUGACAAAACAACACCACAAAUUCUCUUUUAGGCUUCAAACUUCAGCUAUAAAAAUCCCCUUUUGUACAUGAAAAAAGCAAUGUAAUCAUACCCUUUCAGGUUUCAAACUUCAGCAACAAAAGCUAUGUUCUUUUCUGGGCAUAUAAUUGCAAAUCCCGCAACAAAUAAAGGAAAAACAAAAAAUCUAUUAACUUUAAAAACCUCCAGUAACUCGAGAGUAGUACAGGCUGAAAAAGCUAUUGCUCAUACCUCUUCAAGAUCAAAAGAGUAGUACAUACUUUAAAAAGCUAUAGCUAUAGCUAUUCUCACAGCUUAUCCAACUGAGAGAAAAUUUGAGAACAACAUCAAAAGGGUUUGCCUUGGAUUCUUGAAAGAUUUCCCUAAUCAGCUGAAGCCCAAUUGCUAUGCCCCAGAUGCUUCAAUUUCUUGAACUUCAGAAAGGGGGUAAUUAAGCUUGAUUAAGGAAAAAAGAAAGCUUGGAGAUGAAGGAGACAGAAAUCAUCACCCAAUAUGAAGAGGGAUGAUGUCCAGAUAAUUGAUCAAAGCUGGAAGUCUGGAGUAUUUUAGAAGGAAUUAUUGAGGAUGACAAAAGAUGCAUUGGAAUAAGAAUUGUCCCUGUCCUGUUUCUGCUGUAGGACUUGGGAGGGGCCCUCUCCUCCAAACUAGGCCAGGCCAGCUUGACAAUGUUGAAUGUUGAAUGCUAAUAAUGGUGGUUAAACUUGGAAGUAGAAGAUGAAAGUCCUUCCCAAGUCCAAAAUCGUUGUCUGCACAUAUGGUCCACUCGGCAGCACGCACUCCCCACGUUUCCAUUUUCUUGCGUUUCCAUUUUCUUGAUUGCGAAAGGAAAGCAAGUUUCUAUAGAAUGGAAUCGAGUGAAAUGAAAUCAGAUAUACUGCGGAUUGAUCCAAUUAUUCAAUUGAUGGGUUAUUCGGUAGAAUUUUGCAUUGGUGAAUUUUUUUGAUAGAAAUUAUCAUUUCAUUUGUGAAAUAUGCACUAUAAUGAAAUUAGGUACUGUGGAUUGAUCCGGUUAUGUGAUUGAUGGGUUAUUCGUUAGAAUUUUAUAUUAGUGAAAUUUUUUUUGAUAGAAAUUAUUAUUUCAUCUAUGAAAUAUGUCGUCAUACAUAUCACAAAAAUAUUAGAUUUAAAUGAUACAGAUACACUAGAUAUGAGAAAAUUAUAACUAUUACAUUAUAAAUUUUCAAUCCAUUCCAAAUCAUAUCAAUCUCUUCGAACCCAACAAACAUGGUAUUAGUAGAAGUUAGUGAUGAAUAAUCCGGAAGAAUUUAUACUCGACUCGAUGAUUGAUCCAAUUAAACGAUUAAAGGGUUAUUCACUGAAAUUUGAUAUUAAAAAAUGUUAAGUCAGUAACAAGUAAUGAGAUUGGGUUUAAUAAGACAUUCUUAAAAUCUCGAUACUUAUACAUAUGUAUUUUUACAAUUUAUGCCAUAGGAUGGCAAUUACUAAAAACAAGAGUCAAAUCUCC